RNAcentral lists this long non-coding RNA (89522 nucleotides) under Triticum aestivum (bread wheat). RNAcentral's name for it is "long non-coding RNA (TAES_LNC023460)". The record is from RNAcentral. Lineage: Eukaryota; Viridiplantae; Streptophyta; Magnoliopsida; Poales; Poaceae.
UUAAAUGAUUACUAGUUAUAAGUUGUUAUACGAGAUCGAUAUGGUCAAACAUACAACUUGCAAAGCUUGAAAAGAAGAAAUGCUGGUGUAAUUUCUAAAUGAUGCUAUUUGAUUAAGUUUUAUUUUUAGCAAACAGAAAACUACGAUAAGGGAUAAAAAGUUUAUGUGAAGGUUCUAAAUAAGAAUAAUUUAUGUGGAUAAGUUGUUCUUUUACUUCCAUACGACGGUUGAGACUACUCUCGAAGAAUGGAAUGAUAGAAAGGCUGUUAUAAUGUGUCGAAUGUCCUAUUUAAAUUAGUUCUAAGUUUCGAAGGGGGAGAAAAUGUAAAUUAAUAAAUCAAAAGGUUAAAAAAACUACUAAAAAUUAUAUGAGUCCUACAUAGAUAAGUUGUUGUAGGAUUUUCAAAUGGCGGCACAGACAACUUCGAAACAAGAAACGAAGCAAGGCUUCUAUCACUUAUUGGUAAUGCUAUUUAAACAUGUUUUUAGUUUCACAAAAAUAGAAAAUCUACCAUGAUGGAUAAAAACAGUUAAUAAAUAUACCAAAUUGUCUAAUUUCCAUAGGUAAGUUGCUAUCUGAGGUGCAUAUUGAUGCACAGACUACCCUCGAAGCAUGAAAUGGUGGAAAUGAUUUCGGAAUAUGUCGAUGAUGCUUCAUUAAUAAUUUUUCAGUUUUCAACGAAAUGAAAAUCUAUAGUGAUGGAUCAAAAGGGAACAAAAUUGGUGAUGGAAUUAAAUGAUUACUAGUUAAGAUGUUAUUUGAGAUCCAUAUAUGGUCAAACAUACAACUUCCGAAGCUUGAAAGGAAGAAAUGCCGGUGGAAUUUCUAAAUGAUGCUAUUUAAGUAAGUUUUCUUUUUAGCGAAUAAAAAAUCUACGGUAUCGGAUCAAAAGUUUAUGUAAAGUUGCUAAACAUGAAUAAUUUAUUUGGAUAAGAUGUUCUAUGACUUCCAUACGAAGGUCGAGACCACUAUAGAAGAAUUGAAUGAUUGAAAGGCUGUUAUAAUUUGUCGAAUGUCCUAUUUAAAUGAGUUCUAUAAUUCGAAGGAGGAGAAAAUGUAAAGUAAUAAAUCAAAAGGUUAUGUAAAACUACUAAAAAUUAUGUGACUCCUACAUAUAUAAGUUGUUGUAGGAUUUUCAAAUGGCGACACAGACAACUUCGAAACAAGAAACGAAGCAAGGCUUCUAUCACUUAUCGGUAAUGCUAUUUAAGCAUGUUUUUAGUUUCAAAAAAAUAGAAAAUAUACCAUGAUGGAUAAAAAAGGUUAAUAAAUGUACCAAAUUCUCUAAUUUCUAUAGGUAAGUUGCUAUCUGAGGUGCAUAUAGAUGCACAAACUACCCUCGAAGCAUGAAAUGGUAGAAAUGAUUUCGGAAUAUGUCGAUGAUGCUUCAUUAAUAAGUUUUGAGUUUUCAACGAAAUGAAAAUCUAUAGUAAUGUAUCAAGAGGGAACAAAAUUGGUGAUGGAAUUAAAUGAUUACUAGUUAUAAGUUGUUAUUUGAGAUCCAUAUAUGGUCAAGCAUACAACUUCCGAAGCUUGAAAGGAAGAAAUCCCGGUGGAAUUUCUAAAUGAUGCUAUUUAAGUAAGUUUUCUUUUUAGCGAAUAAAAAAUCUAUGGUAAUGGAUCAAAAGUUUAUCUAAAGGUGCUAAACAUGAAUAAUUUAUUUGGAUAAGCUGUUCUAUGACUUCCAUACGACGGUCGAGACUACGAUCGAAGAAUUGAAUGAUUGAAAGGCUGUUAUAAUGUGUCGAAUGUCCUAUUUAAAUGAGUUCUAUGACUCGAAGGAGGAGAAAAUGUAAAGUAAUAAAUCAAAAGGUUAUGUAAAACUACUAAAAAUUAUGUGACUCCUACAUAUAUAAGUUGUUGUAGGAUUUUCAAAUGGCGGCACAGACAACUUCGAAACAAGAAACGAAGCAAGGCUUCUAUCACUUAUCGGUAAUGCUAUUUAGACAUGUUUUUACUUUCACAAAAUUAGAAAAUCUACCAUGAUGGAUAAAAACGGUUAAUAAAUGUACCAAAUUUUCUAAUUUCUAUAGGUAAGUUGCUAUCUGAGGUGCAUAUAGAUGCACAGACUACCCUCGAAGCAUGAAAUGUGGAAAUGAUGUCGGAAUAUGUCAAUGAUGCUUCAUUAAUAGGUUUUCAGUUUUCAACGAAAUGAAAAUCUAUAGUGAUGGAUCAAAAGGGAACAAAAUUGGUGAUGGAAUUAAAUGAUUACUAGUUAUAAGUUGUUAUUUGAGAUCCAUAUAUGGUCAAACAUACAACUUCCGAAGCUUGAAAGGAAGAAAUGCCGGUGGAAUUUCUAAAUGAUGCUAUUUAAGUAAGUUUUCUUUUUAGCGAAUAAAAAAUCUACGGUAACGGAUCAAAAGCUUAUGUAAAGGUACUAAACAUGAAUAAUUUAUUUGGAUAAGCUGUUCUAUGACUUCCAUACAAAGGUCGAGACUACUAUCCAAGAAUUCAAUGAUUGAAAGGCUGUUAUAAUGUGUCGAAUGUCCUAUUUAAAUGAGUUCUAUGAUUCCAAGGAGGAGAAAAUGUAAAGUAAUAAAUCAAAAGGUUAUGUAAAAAUACUAAAAAUUAUAUGACUCCUACAUAUGUAAGUGGUUGUAGGAUUUUCAAAUGGCAGCACAGACAACUUCGAAACAAGAAACGAAGCAAGGCUUCUAUCACUUAUCGGUAAUGCUAUUUAAACAUGUUUUUAGUUUCACAAAAAUAGAAAAUCUACCAUGAUGGAUAAAAAUGGUUAAUAAAUGUACCAAAUUGUCUAAUUUCUAUAGGUAAGUUGCUAUCUGAGGUGCAUAUAGAUGCACAGACUACCCUCGAAGCAUGAAAUGGUGGAAAUGGUUUCGGAAUAUGUCGAUGAUGCUUCAUUAAUAAGUUUUCAGUUUUCAACGAAUGAAAAUCUAUAAUGAUGGAUCAAAAGGGAACAAAAUUGGUGAUGGAAUUAAAUGAUUACUAGUUAUAAGUUGUUAUUUGAGAUCCAUAUAUGGUCAAACACACAACUUCCGAAGCUUGAAAGGAAGAAAUGCCGGUGGAAUUUCUAAAUGAUGCUAUUUAAGUAAGUUAUCUUUUUAGCGAAUAAAAAAUCUACUAUAACGGAUCAAAAGUUUAUGUAAAGGUGCUAAACAUGAAUAAUUUAUUUGGAUAAGCUGUUCUAUGACUUCCAUACGACGGUCGAGACUACUAUCGAAGAAUUGAAUGAUUGAAAGGGUGUUAUAAUGUGUCGAAUGUCGUAUUUAAAAGAAUUCUAUGAUUCGAAGGAGGAGAAAAUCUAAAGUAAUAAAUCAAAAGGUUAUGUAAAACUACUAAAAAAUAUGUGACUCCUACAUAUAUAAGUUGUGGUAGGAUUUUCAAAUGGCGGCACAGACAACUUUGAAACAAGAAACGAAGCAAGGCUUCUAUCUCUUAUCGGCAAUGCUAUUUAAACAUGUUUUUAGUUUCACAAAAAUAGAAAAUCUACCAUGAUGGAUAAAAAUGGUUAAUAAAUGUACCAAAUUGUCUAAUUUCUAUAGGUAAGUUGCUAUCUGAGGUGCAUAUAGAUGCACAGACUACCCUCGAAGCAUGAAAUGGUGGAAAUGGUUUCGGAAUAUGUCGAUGAUGCUUCAUUAAUAAGUUUUCAGUUUUCAACGAAUGAAAAUCUAUAAUGAUGGAUCAAAAGGGAACAAAAUUGGUGAUGGAAAUAAAUGAUUACUAGUUAUAAGUUGUUAUUUGAGAUCCAUAUAUGGUCAAACAAUCAACUUCCAAAGCUUGAAAGGAAGAAAUGCCGGUGGAAUUUCGAAAUGAUGCUAUUUAAGUAAGUUUUAUUUUUAGCGAAUAAAGAAUCUAUGGUAACGGAUCAAAAGUUUAUGUAAAGGUGCUAAACAUGAAUAAUUUAUUUGGAUAAGCUGUUCUAUGACUUCCAUACGAAGGUCGAGACUACUAUCGAAGAAUUGAAUGAUUGAAAGGCUGUUAUAAUGUGUCGAAUGUCCUAUUUUAAUGAGUUCUAUGAUUCGAAGGAGGGGAAAAUGUAAAGUAAUAAAUCAAAAGGUUAGGUAAAACUACUAAAAAUUAUGUGACUCCUACAUAUAUAAGUUGUUGUAGGAUUUUCGAAUGGCGGCACAGACAACUUCGAAACAAGAAACGAAGCAAGGCUUCUAUCACUUAUCGGUAAUGCUAUUUAAACAUGUUUUCAGUUUUGGAAAAAUAGAAAAUCUACCUUGAUGGAUAAAAACGGUUAAUAAAUGUACCAAAUUGUCCAAUUUCUAUAGGUAAGUUGCUAUCUGAGGUGCAUAUAGAUGCACAGACUACCCUCGAAUUAUGAAAUGGUGGAAAUGAUUUCGGAAUAUGUCGAUGAUGUUUCAUUAAUAAGCUUUCAGUUUUCAACGAAAUGAAAAUCUAUAGUAAUGGAUCAAAAGGGAAAGAAUUGGUGAUGGAAUUAAAUGAUUACUAGUUAUAAGUUGUUAUUUGAGAUCCAUAUAUGGUCAAACAUACAACUUCCGAAGCUUGAAAGGAAGAAAUGCCAGUGGAAUUUCUAAAUGAUGCAAUUUAAGUAUGUUUUCUUUUUAGCGAAUAAAAAAUCUAUGGUAACGGAUCAAAGUUUAUGUAAAGGUGCUAAACAUGAAUAAUAUAUUUGGAUAAGCUGUUCUAUGACUUCCAUACGACGGUCGAGACUACUAUCGAAGAAUUGAAUGAUUGAAAGGCUGUUAUAAUGUGUCGAAUGUCCUAUUUAAAUGAGUUCUAUGAUUCGAAGGAGGAGAAAAUGUAAGGUAAAAAAUCAAAAGGUUAGGUAAAACUACUAAAAAUUAUGUGACUCCUACAUAUAUAAGUUGUUGUAGGAUUUUCAAAUGGCGGCACACACAACUUCGAAACAAGAAACGUAGCAAGGCUUCUAUCACUAAUCGAUAAUGCUAUUUAAACAUGUUUUUAGUUUCACAAAAAUAGAAAAUCUACCAUGAUGGAUAAAAACGGUUAAUAAAUGUACCAAAUUGUCUAAUUUCUAUAGGUAAGUUGCUUUCUGAGGUGCAUAUAGAUGCACAGACUACCCUCGAAGCAUGAAAUGGUGGAAAUGAUGUCGGAAUAUGUUGAUGAUGCAUCAUUAAUAGGUUUUCAGUAUUCAACGAAAUGAAAAUCUAUAGUGAUGGAUCAAAAGGGAACAAAAUUGGUGAUGGAAUUAAAUGAUUACUAGUUAUAAGUUGUUAUUUGAGAUCCAUAUAUGGUCAAACAUACAACUUCCGAAGCUUGAAAGGAAGAAAUGCCGGUGGAAUUUCUAAAUGAUUCUAUUUAAGUAAGUUUUCUUUUUAGCGAAUAAAAAAUCUACGGUAACGGAUCGAAAGUUUAUGUAAUGGUGCUAAACAUGAAUAAUUUAUUUGGAUAAGCUGUUCUAUGAGUUCCAUACGACGGUCGAGACUACUAUCGAAGAAUUGAAUGAUUGAAAGGCUGUUCUAAUGUGUCGAAUUUCCUAUUUAAAUGAGUUCUAUGAUUCGAAGGAGGAGAAAAUGUAAAGUAAUAAAUCAAAAGGUUAUGUAAAACUACUAAAAAUUAUGUGACUCCUACAUAUAUAAGUUGUUGUAGGAUUUUCAAAUGGCGGCACAGACAACUUCGAAACAAGAAACGAAGCAAGGCUUCUAUCACUUAUCGGUAAUGCUAUUUAAACAUGUUUUUAGUUUCACAAAAAUAGAAAAUCUACCAUGAUGUAUAAAAACGGUUAAUAAAUGUACCAAAUUGUCCAAUUUCUAUAGGUAAGUUGCUAUCUGAGGUGCAUAUAGAUGCACAGACUACCCUCGAAGCAUGAAAUGGUGGAAAUGAUUUCGGAAUAUGUCGAUGAUGCUUCAUUAAUAGGUUUUCUGUUUUCAACGAAAUGAAAAUCUAUAGUGAUGGAUCAAAAGGGAACAAAAUUGGUGAUGGAAUUAAAUGAUUACUAGUUAUAAGUUGUUAUUUGAGAUCCAUAUAUGGUCAAACAUACAAGUUCCGAAGCUUGAAAGGAAGAAAUGCCGGUGGAAUUUCUAAAUGAUGCUAUUUAAGUAAGUUUUCUUUUUUGCGAAUAAAAAAUCUACGGUAACGGAUCAAAAGUUUAUGUAAUGGUGCUAAACAUGAAUAAUUUAUUUGGAUAAGCUGUGCUAUGACUUCCAUACGACGGUCGAGACUACUAUCGAAGAAUUGAAUGANNNNNNNNNNUGAAAGGCUGUUAUAAUGUGUCGAAUGUCCUAUUUAAAUGAGUUCUAUGAUUCGAAGGAGGAGAAAAUGCAAAGUAAGAAAUCAAAAGGUUAUGUAAAACUACUAAAAAUUAUGUGACUCCUACAUAUAUAAGUUGUUGUAGGAUUUUCAAAUGGCGGCACAGACAACUUCGAAACAAGAAACGAAGCAAGGCUUCUAUCACUUAUCGGUAAUGCUAUUUAAACAUGUUUUUACUUUCACAAAAAUAGAAAAUCUACCAUGAUGGAUAAAAACGGUUAAUAAAUGUACCAAAUUGUCUAAUUUCUAUAGGUAAGUUGCUAUCUGAGGUGCAUAUAGAUGCACAGACUACCCUCGAAGCAUGAAAUGGUGGAAAUGGUUUCGGAAUAUGUCGAUGAUGCUUCAUUAAUAAGUUUUCAGUUUUCAACGAAUGAAAAUCUAUAAUGAUGGAUCAAAAGGGAACAAAAUUGGUGAUGGAAUUAAAUGAUUACUAGUUAUAAGUUGUUAUUUGAGAUCCAUAUAUGGUCAAACAAUCAAUUUCCAAAGCUUGAAAGGAAGAAAUGCCGGUGGAAUUUCUAAAUGAUGUAAUUUAAGUAAGUUUUCUUUUUAGCGAAUAAAAAAUCUAUGGUAACGGAUCAAAAGUUUAUGUAAAGGUGCUAAUCAUGAAUAAUUUAUUUGGAUAACCUGUUCUAUGACUUCCAUACGAAGGUCGAGACUACUAUCGAAUAAUUGAAUGAUUGAAAGGCUGUUAUAAUGUGUCGAAUGUCCUAUUUAAAUGAGUUCUAUGAUUCGAAGGAGGGGAAAAUGUAAAGUAAUAAAUCAACAGGUUAGGUAAAACUACUAAAAAUUAUGUGACUCCUACAUAUAUAAGUUGUUGUAGGAUUUUCAAAUGGCGGCACAGACAACUUCGAAACAAGAAACGAAGCAAGGCUUCUAUCACUUAUUGGUAAUGCUAUUUAAACAUGUUUUCAGUUUUGGAAAAAUAGAAAAUCUACCUUGAUGGAUAAAAACGGUUAAUAAAUGUACGAAAUUGUCCAAUUUCUAUAGGUAAGUUGCUAUCUGAGGUGCAUAUAGAUGCACAGACUACCCUCGAAGCAUGAAAUGGUGGAAAUGAUUUCGGAAUAUGUCGAUGAUGCUUCAUUAAUAAGCUUUCAGUUUUCAACGAAAUGAAAAUCUAUAGUGAUGGAUCAAAAGGGAAAGAAUUGGUGAUGGAAUUAAAUGAUUACUAGUUAUAAGUUGUUAUUUGCGAUCCAUAUAUGGUCAAACAUACAACUUCCGAAGCUUGAAUGGAAGAAAUGCCAGUGGAAUUUCUAAAUGAUGCUAUUUAAGUAAGUUUUCUUUUUAACGAGUAAAAAAUCUACAGUAAUAGAUCAAAAGUUUAUGUAAAGGUGCUAAACAUGAAUAAUUUAUUUGGAUAAGCUGUUCUAUGACUUCCAUACGACGGUCGAGACUACUAUCGAAGAAUUGAAUGAUUGAAAGGCUGUUAUAAUGUGUCGAAUGUCCUAUUUAAAUGAGUUCUAUGAUUCGAAGGAGGAGAAAAUGUAAAGUAAUAAAUCAAAAGGUUAGGUAAAACUACUAAAAAUUAUGUGACUCCUACAUAUAUAAGUUGUUGUUGGAUUUUGAAAUGGCGGCACACACAACUUCGAAACAAGAAACGAAGCAAGGCUUCUAUCACAAAUCGAUAAUGCUAUUUAAACAUGUUUUUAGUUUCACAAAAAUAGAAAAUCUACCAUGAUGGAUAAAAGCGGUUAGUAAAUGUACCAAAUUGUCUAAUUUCUAUAGGUAAGUUGCUUUCUGAGGUGCAUAUAGAUGCACAGACUACCCUCGAAGCAUGAAAUGGUGGAAAUGAUGUCGGAAUAUGUCGAUGAUUCUUCAUUAAUAGGUUUUCAGUAUUCAACGAAAUGAAAAUCUAUAGUGUUGGAUCAAAAGGGAACAAAAUUGGUGAUGGAAUUAAAUGAUUACUAGUUAUAAGUUGUUAUUUGAGAUCCAUAUAUGGUUAAACAUACAACUUCCGAAUCUUGAAAGGAAGAAAUGCCGGUGGAAUUUCUAAAUGAUUCUAUUUAAGUAAGUUUUCUUUUUAGCGAAUAAAAAAUCUACGGUAACGGAUCAAAAGUUUAUGUAAUGGUGCUAAACAUGAAUAAUUUAUUUGGAUAAGCUGUUCUAUGACUUCCAUACGACGGUCGAGACUACUAUCGAACAAUUGAAUGAUUGAAAGGCUGUUAUAAUGUGUCGAAUGUCCUAUUUAAAUGAGUUCUAUGAUUCGAAGGAGGAGAAAAUGUAAAGUAAUAAAUCAAAAGGUUAUGUAAAACUACUAAAAAUUAUGUGACUCCUACAUAUAUAAGUUGUUGUAGGAUUUUCAAAUGGCGGCACAGACAACUUCGAAACAAGAAACGAAGCAAGGCUUCUAUCACUUAUCGGUAAUGCUAUUUAAACAUGUUUUUAGUUUCACAAAAAUAGAAAAUCUACCAUGAUGUAUAAAAACGGUUAAUAAAUGUACCAAAUUGUCCAAUUUCUAUAGGUAAGUUGCUAUCUGAGGUGCAUAUAGAUGCACAGACUACCCUCGAAGCAUGAAAUGGUGGAAAUGAUUUCGGAAUAUGUCGAUGAUGCUUCAUUAAUAGGUUUUCAGUUUUCAACGAAAUGAAAAUCUAUAGUGAUGGAUCAAAAGGGAACAAAAUUGGUGAUGGAAUUAAAUGAUUACUAGUUAUAAGUUGUUAUUUGAGAUCCAUAUACGGUCAAAGAUACAACUUCCGAAGCUUGAAAGGAAGAAAUGCCGGUGGAAUUUCUAAAUGAUGCUAUUUAAGUAAGUUUUCUUUUUUGCGAAUAAAAAAUCUACGGUAACGGAUCAAAAGUUUAUGUAAUGGUGCUAAACAUGAAUAAUUUAUUUGGAUAAGCUGUUCUAUGACUUCCAUACGACGGUCGAGACUACUAUCGAAGAAUUGAAUGAUUGAAAGGCUGUUAUAAUGUGUCGAAUGUCCUAUUUAAAUGAGUUCUAUGAUUCGAAGGAGGAGAAAAUGUAAAGUAAGAAAUCAAAAGGUUAUGUAAAACUACUAAAAAUUAUGUGACUCCUACAUAUAUAAGUUGUUGUAGUAUUUUCAAAUGGCGGCACAGACAACUUCGAAACAAGAAACGAAGCAAGGCUUCUAUCACUUAUCGGUAAUGCUAUUUAAACAUGUUUUUACUUUCACAAAAAUAGAAAAUCUACCAAGAUGGAUAAAAACAUUUAAUAAAUGUACCAAAUUGUCUAAUUUCUAUAGGUAAGUUGCUAUCUGAGGUGCAUAUAGAUGCACAGACUACCCUCGAAGCAUGAAAUGGUGGAAAUGAUGUCGGAAUAUGUCGAUGAUGCUUCAUUAAUAGGUUUUCAGUUUUCAAUGAAAUGAAAAUCUAUAGUGAUGGAUCAAAAGGGAACAAAAUUGUUGAUGGAAUUAAAUGAUUACUAGUUAUAAGUUGUUAUUUGAGAUCCGUAUAUGGUCAAACAUACAACUUCCGAAACUUGAAAGGAAGAAAUGGCGGUGGAAUUUCUAAGUGAUGCUAUUUAAGUAAGUUUUCUUUUUAGCGUAUAAAAAAUAUACGGUAACGGAUCAAAAGUUUAUGUAAUGGUGCUAAACAUGAAUAAUUUAUUUGGAUAAGCUGUUCUAUGACUUUCAUACGACGGUCGAGACUACUAUCGAAGAAUUGAAUGAUUGAAAGGCUGUUAUAAUGUGUCGAAUGUCCUAUUUAAAUGAGUUCUAUGAUUCGAAGGAGGAGAAAAUGUAAAGUAAUAAAUCAAAAGGUUAUGUAAAACUACUAAAAAUUAUGUGACUCCUACAUAUAUAAGUUGUUGUAGGAUUUUCAAAUGGCGGCACAGACAACUUCGAAACAAGAAACGAAGCAAGGCUUCUAUCACUUAUCGGUAAUGCUAUUUAAACAUGUUUUUAGUUUCACAAAAAUAGAAAAUCUACCAUGAUGGAUAAAAACGGUUAAUAAAUGUACCAAAUUGUCCAAUUUCUAUAGGUAAGUUGCUAUCUGAGGUGCAUAUAGAUGCACAUACUACCCUCGAAGCAUGAAAUGGUGGAAAUGAUUUCGGAAUAUGUCGAUGAUGCUUCAUUAAUAGGUUUUCAGUUUUGAACGAAAUGAAAAUCUAUAGUGAUGGAUCAAAAGGGAACAAAAUUGGUGAUGGAAUUAAAUGAUUACUAGUUAUAAGUUGUUAUUUGAGAUCCGUAUAUGGUCAAACAUACAACUUCCGAAGCCUGAAAGGAAGAAAUGCCGGUGGAAUUUCUGAAUGAUGCUAUUUAAGUAAGUUUUCUUUUUAGCGUAUAAAAAAUGUACGGUAACGGAUCAAAAGUUUAUGUAAAGGUGCUAAACAUGAAUAAUUUAUUUGGAUAAGCUGUUCCAUGACUUCAAUACGACCGUCGAGACUACUAUCGAAGAAUUGAAUGAUUGAAAGGUUGUUAUAAUGUGUCUAAUGUCCUAUUUAAAUCAGUUCUAUGAUUCGAAGGAGGAGAAAAAUGUAAAGUAAUAAAUCAAAAGGUUAUGUAAAACUACUAAAAAUUAUGUGAUUCCUACAUAUAUAAGUUGUUGUAGGAUUUUCAAAUGGCGGCACAGACAACUUCGAAACAAGAAAUGAAGCAAGGCUUCUAUCACUUAUCGGUAAUGCUAUUUAAACAUGUUUUCAGUUUUGCAAAAAUAGAAAAUCUACCUUGAUGGAUAAAAACGGUUAAUAAAUGUACAAAAUUGUCCAAUUUCUAUAGGUAAGUUGCUAUCUGAGGUGCAUAUAGAUGCACAUACUACCCUCGAAGCAUGAAAUGGUGGAAAUGAUUUCGGAAUAUGUCGAUGAUGCUUCAUUAAUAGGUUUUCAGUUUUCAACGAAAUGAAAAUCUAUAGUGAUGGAUCAAAAGGGAACAAAAUUGGUGAUGGAAUUAAAUGAUUACUAGUUAUAAGUUGUUAUUUGAGAUCCAUAUACGGUCAAACAUACAACUUCCGAAACUUGAAAAGAAGAAAUGCCGGUGGAAUUUCUAAAUGAUGCUAUUUAAGUAAGUUUUCUUUUUAGCGAAUAAAAAAUCUAUGGUAACGGAUCAAAAGUUUAUGUAAAGGUGCUAAACAUGAAUAAUUUAUUUGGAUAAGCUGUUCCAUGACUUCCAUACGACAGUCGAGACUACUAUCGAAGAAUUGAAUGAUUGAAAGGCUGUUAUAAUGUGUCGAAUGUCCUAUUUAAAUGAGUUCUAUGAUUCGAAGGAGGAGAAAAAUGUAAAGUAAUAAAUCAAAAGGUUAUGUAAAACUACUAAAAAUUAUGUGAUUCCUACAUAUAUAAGUUGUUGUAGGAUUAUCAAAUGGCGGCACAGACAACUUCGAAACAAGAAAUGAAGCAAGGCUUCUAUCACUUAUCGGUAAUGCUAUUUAAACAUGUUUUCAGUUUUGCAAAAAUAGAAAAUCUACCUUGAUGGAUAAAAACGGUUAAUAAAUGUACCAAAUUGUCCAAUUUCUAUAGGUAAGUUGCUAUCUGAGGUGCAUAUAGAUGCACAGACUACCCUCGAAGCAUGAAAUGGUGGAAAUGAUUUCGGAAUAUGUCGAUGAUGCUUCAUUAAUAGGUUUUCAGUUUUCAACGAAAUGAAAAUCUAUAGUGAUGGAUCAAAAGGGAACAAAAUUGGUGAUGGAAUUAAAUGAUUACUAGUUAUAAGUUGUUAUUUGAGAUCCAUAUACGGUCAAACAUACAGCUUCCGAAGCUUGAAAAGAAGAAAUGCCGGUGGAAUUUCUAAAUGAUGCUAUUUAAGUAAGUUUUCUUUUUAGCGAAUAAAAAAUAUACGGUAACGGAUCAAAAGUUUAUGUAAAGGUGCUAAACAUGAAUAAUUUAUUUGGAUAAGCUGUUCUAUGACUUCCAUACGACCGUCGAGACUACUAUCGAAGAAUUGAAUGAUUGAAAGGUUGUUAUAAUGUGUCUAAUGUCCUAUUUAAAUCAGUUCUAUGAUUCGAAGGAGGAGAAAAAUGUAAAGUAAUAAAUCAAAAGGUUAUGUAAAACUACUAAAAAUUAUGUGAUUCCUACAUAUAUAAGUUGUUGUAGGAUUUUCAAAUGGCGGCACAGACAACUUCGAAACAAGAAAUGAAGCAAGGCUUCUAUCACUUAUCGGUAAUGCUAUUUAAACAUGUUUUCAGUUUUGCAAAAAUAGAAAAUCUACCUUGAUGGAUAAAAACGGUUAAUAAAUGUACCAAAUUGUCCAAUUUCUAUAGGUAAGUUGCUAUCUGAGGUGCAUAUAGAUGCACAUACUACCCUCGAAGCAUGAAAUGGUGGAAAUGAUUUCGGAAUAUGUCGAUGAUGCUUCAUUAAUAGGUUUUCAGUUUUCAACGAAAUGAAAAUCUAUAGUGAUGGAUCAAAAGGGAACAAAAUUGGUGAUGGAAUUAAAUGAUUACUAGUUAUAAGUUGUUAUUUGAGAUCCAUAUACGGUCAAACAUACAACUUCCGAAACUUGAAAAGAAGAAAUGCCGGUGGAAUUUCUAAAUGAUGCUAUUUAAGUAAGUUUUAUUUUUAGCGAAUAAAAAAUCUAUGGUAACGGAUAAAAAGUUUAUGUAAAGGUGCUAAACAUGAAUAAUUUAUUUGGAUAAGCUGUUCCAUGACUUCCAUACGACAGUCGAGACUACUAUCGAAGAAUUGAAUGAUUGAAAGGCUGUUAUAAUGUGUCGAAUGUCCUAUUUAAAUCAGUUCUAUGAUUCGAAGGAGGAGAAAAAUGUAAAGUAAUAAAUCAAAAGGUUAUGUAAAACUACUAAAAAUUAUGUGAUUCCUACAUAUAUAAGUUGUUGUAGGAUUUUCAAAUGGCGGCACAGACAACUUCGAAACAAGAAAUGAAGCAAGGCUUCUAUCACUUAUCGGUAAUGCUAUUUAAACAUGUUUUCAGUUUUGCAAAAAUAGAAAAUCUACCUUGAUGGAUAAAAACGGUUAAUAAAUGUACCAAAUUGUCCAAUUUCUAUAGGUAAGUUGCUAUCUGAGGUGCAUAUAGAUGCACAGACUACCCUCGAAGCAUGAAAUGGUGGAAAUGAUUUCGGAAUAUGUCGAUGAUGCUUCAUUAAUAGGUUUUCAGUUUUCAACGAAAUGAAAAUCUAUAGUGAUGGAUCAAAAGGGAACAAAAUUGGUGAUGGAAUUAAAUGAUUACUAGUUAUAAGUUGUUAUUUGAGAUCCAUAUACGGUCAAACAUACANNNNNNNNNNNNNNNNNNNNNNNNNNNNNNNNNNNNNNNNNNNNNNNNNNNNNNNNNNNNNNNNNNNNNNNNNNNNNNNNNNNNNNNNNNNNNNNNNNNNNNNNNNNNNNNNNNNNNNNNNNNNNNNNNNNNNNNNNNNNNNNNNNNNNNNNNNNNNNNNNNNNNNNNNNNNNNNNNNNNNNNNNNNNNNNNNNNNNNNNNNNNNNNNNNNNNNNNNNNNNNNNNNNNNNNNNNNNNNNNNNNNNNNNNNNNNNNNNNNNNNNNNNNNNNNNNNNNNNNNNNNNNNNNNNNNNNNNNNNNNNNNNNNNNNNNNNNNNNNNNNNNNNNNNNNNNNNNNNNNNNNNNNNNNNNNNNNNNNNNNNNNNNNNNNNNNNNNNNNNNNNNNNNNNNNNNNNNNNNNNNNNNNNNNNNNNNNNNNNNNNNNNNNNNNNNNNNNNNNNNNNNNNNNNNNNNNNNNNNNNNNNNNNNNNNNNNNNNNNNNNNNNNNNNNNNNNNNNNNNNNNNNNNNNNNNNNNNNNNNNNNNNNNNNNNNNNNNNNNNNNNNNNNNNNNNNNNNNNNNNNNNNNNNNNNNNNNNNNNNNNNNNNNNNNNNNNNNNNNNNNNNNNNNNNNNNNNNNNNNNNNNNNNNNNNNNNNNNNNNNNNNNNNNNNNNNNNNNNNNNNNNNNNNNNNNNNNNNNNNNNNNNNNNNNNNNNNNNNNNNNNNNNNNNNNNNNNNNNNNNNNNNNNNNNNNNNNNNNNNNNNNNNNNNNNNNNNNNNNNNNNNNNNNNNNNNNNNNNNNNNNNNNNNNNNNNNNNNNNNNNNNNNNNNNNNNNNNNNNNNNNNNNNNNNNNNNNNNNNNNNNNNNNNNNNNNNNNNNNNNNNNNNNNNNNNNNNNNNNNNNNNNNNNNNNNNNNNNNNNNNNNNNNNNNNNNNNNNNNNNNNNNNNNNNNNNNNNNNNNNNNNNNNNNNNNNNNNNNNNNNNNNNNNNNNNNNNNNNNNNNNNNNNNNNNNNNNNNNNNNNNNNNNNNNNNNNNNNNNNNNNNNNNNNNNNNNNNNNNNNNNNNNNNNNNNNNNNNNNNNNNNNNNNNNNNNNNNNNNNNNNNNNNNNNNNNNNNNNNNNNNNNNNNNNNNNNNNNNNNNNNNNNNNNNNNNNNNNNNNNNNNNNNNNNNNNNNNNNNNNNNNNNNNNNNNNNNNNNNNNNNNNNNNNNNNNNNNNNNNNNNNNNNNNNNNNNNNNNNNNNNNNNNNNNNNNNNNNNNNNNNNNNNNNNNNNNNNNNNNNNNNNNNNNNNNNNNNNNNNNNNNNNNNNNNNNNNNNNNNNNNNNNNNNNNNNNNNNNNNNNNNNNNNNNNNNNNNNNNNNNNNNNNNNNNNNNNNNNNNNNNNNNNNNNNNNNNNNNNNNNNNNNNNNNNNNNNNNNNNNNNNNNNNNNNNNNNNNNNNNNNNNNNNNNNNNNNNNNNNNNNNNNNNNNNNNNNNNNNNNNNNNNNNNNNNNNNNNNNNNNNNNNNNNNNNNNNNNNNNNNNNNNNNNNNNNNNNNNNNNNNNNNNNNNNNNNNNNNNNNNNNNNNNNNNNNNNNNNNNNNNNNNNNNNNNNNNNNNNNNNNNNNNNNNNNNNNNNNNNNNNNNNNNNNNNNNNNNNNNNNNNNNNNNNNNNNNNNNNNNNNNNNNNNNNNNNNNNNNNNNNNNNNNNNNNNNNNNNNNNNNNNNNNNNNNNNNNNNNNNNNUUAAACAUGUUUUUACUUUCACAAAAAUAGAAAAUCUACCAUGAUGGAUAAAAACGGUUAAUAAAUGUACCAAAUUGUCUAAUUUCUAUAGGUAAGUUGCUAUCUGAGGUGCAUAUAGAUGCACAGACUACCCUCGAAGCAUGAAAUGGUGGAAAUGAUGUCGGAAUAUGUCGAUGAUGCUUCAUUAAUAGGUUUUCAGUUUUCAAUGAAAUGAAAAUCUAUAGUGAUGGAUAAAAAGGGAACAAAAUUGUUGAUGGAAUUAAAUGAUUACUAGUUAUAAGUUGUUAUUUGAGAUCCGUAUAUGGUCAAACAUACAACUUCCGAAACUUGAAAGGAAGAAAUGGCGGUGGAAUUUCUAAGUGAUGCUAUUUAAGUAAGUUUUCUUUUUAGCGUAUAAAAAAUCUACGGUAACGGAUCAAAAGUUUAUGUAAUGGUGCUAAACAUGAAUAAUUUAUUUGGAUAAGCUGUUCUAUGACUUUCAUACGACGGUCGAGACUACUAUCGAAGAAUUGAAUGAUUGAAAGGCUGUUAUAAUGUGUCGAAUGUCCUAUUUAAAUGAGUUCUAUGAUUCGAAGGAGGAGAAAAUGUAAAGUAAUAAAUCAAAAGGUUAUGUAAAACUACUAAAAAUUAUGUGACUCCUACAUAUAUAAGUUGUUGUAGGAUUUUCAAAUGGCGGCACAGACAACUUCGAAACAAGAAACGAAGCAAGGCUUCUAUCACUUAUCGGUAAUGCUAUUUAAACAUGUUUUUAGUUUCACAAAAAUAGAAAAUCUACCAUGAUGGAUAAAAACAGUUAAUAAAUGUACCAAAUUGUCCAAUUUCUAUAGGUAAGUUGCUAUCUGAGGUGCAUAUAGAUGCACAUACUACCCUCGAAGCAUGAAAUGGUGGACAUGAUUUCGGAAUAUGUCGAUAAUGCUUCAUUAAUAGGUUUUCAGUUUUCAACGAAAUGAAAAUCUAUAGUGAUGGAUCAAAAGGGAACAAAAUUGGUGAUGGAAUUAAAUGAUUACUAGUUAUAAGUUGUUAUUUGAGAUCCAUAUAUGGUCAAACAUACAACUUCUGAAGCUUGAAAGGAAGAAAUGCCGGUGGAAUUUCUAAAUGAUGCUAUUUAAGUAAGUUUUCUUUUUAGCGAAUAAAAAAUCUACGGUAACGGAUCAAAAGUUUAUGUAAUGGUGCUAAACAUGAAUAAUUUAUUUGGAUAAGCUGUUCUAUGACUUCCAUACGACGGUCGAGACUACUAUCGAAGAAUUGAAUGAUUGAAAGGCUGUUAUAAUGUGUCGAAUGUCCUAUUUAAAUGAGUUCUAUGAUUCGAAGGAGGAGAAAAUGUAAAGUAAGAAAUCAAAAGGUUAUGUAAAACUACUAAAAAUUAUGUGACUCCUACAUAUAUAAGUUGUUGUAGUAUUUUCAAAUGGCGGCACAGACAACUUCGAAACAAGAAACGAAGCAAGGCUUCUAUCACUUAUCGGUAAUGCUAUUUAAACAUGUUUUUACUUUCACAAAAAUAGAAAAUCUACCAAGAUGGAUAAAAACUGUUAAUAAAUGUACCAAAUUGUCUAAUUUCUAUAGGUAAGUUGCUAUCUGAGGUGCAUAUAGAUGCACAGACUACCCUCGAAGCUUGAAAUGGUGGAAAUGAUGUCGGAAUAUGUCGAUGAUGCUUCAUUAAUAGGUUUUCAGUUUUCAAUGAAAUGAAAAUCUAUAGUGAUUGAUAAAAAGGGAACAAAAUUGUUGAUGGAAUUAAAUGAUUACUAGUUAUAAGUUUUUAUUUGAGAUCCGUAUAUGGUCAAACAUACAACUUCCGAAACUUGAAAGGAAGAAAUGGCGGUGGAAUUUCUAAGUGAUGCUAUUUAAGUAAGUUUUCUUUUUAGUGUAUAAAAAAUAUACGGUAACGGAUCAAAAGUUUAUGUAAUGGUGCUAAACAUGAAUAAUUUAUUUGGAUAAGCUGUUCUAUGACUUUCAUACGACGGUCGAGACUACUAUCGAAGAAUUGAAUGAUUGAAAGGCUGUUAUAAUGUGUCGAAUGUCCUAUUUAAAUGAGUUAUAUGAUUCGAAGGAGGAGAAAAUGUAAAGCAAUAAAUCAAAAGGUUAUGUAAAACUACUAAAAAUUAUGUGACUCCAACAUAUAUAAGUUGUUGUAGGAUUUUCAAAUGGCGGCAUAGACAACUUCGAAACAAGAAACGAAGCAAGGCUUCUAUCACUUAUCGGUAAUGCUAUUUAAAAAUGUUUUUAGGUUCACAAAAAUAGAAAAUCUACCAUGAUGGAUAAAAACGGUUAAUAAAUGUACCAAAUUGUCCAAUUUCUAUAGGUAAGUUGCUAUCUGAGGUGCAUAUAGAUGCACAUACUACCCUCGAAGCAUGAAAUGGUGGAAAUGAUUUCGGAAUAUGUCGAUGAUGCUUCAUUAAUAGGUUUUCUGUUUUCAACGAAAUGAAAAUCUAUAGUGAUGGAUCAAAAGGGAACAAAAUUGGUGAUGGAAUUAAAUGAUUACUAGUUAUAAGUUGUUAUUUGAGAUCCAUAUAUGGUCAAACAUACAACUUCUGAAGCUUGAAUGGAAGAAAUGCCGGUGGAAUUUCUAAAUUAUGCUAUUUAAGUAAGUUUUCUUUUUAGCGAAUAAAAAAUCUACGGUAACGGAUCAAAAGUUUAUGUAAAGGUGCUAAACAUGAAUAAGUUAUUUGGAUUAGCUGUUCUAUGACUUCCAUACGACGGUCGAGACUACUAUCGAAGAAUUGAAUGAUUGAAAGGCUGUUAUAAUGUGUCGAAUGUCCUAUUUAAAUGAGUUCUAUGAUUCGAAGGAGGAGAAAAUGUAAAGUAAGAAAUCAAAAGGUUAUGUAAAACUACUAAAAAUUAUGUGACUCCUACAUAUACAAGUUGUUGUAGGAUUUUCAAAUGGCGGCACAGACAACUUCGAAACAAGAAACGAAGCAAGGCUUCUAUCACUUAUUGGUAAUGCUAUUUAAACAUGUUUUUAGUUUCACAAAAAUAGAAAAUCUACCAUGAUGGAUAAAGAACGGUUAAUAAAUGUACAAAAUUGUCCAAUUUCUAUAGGUAAGUUGCUAUCUGAGGUGCAUAUAGAUGCACAGACUACCCUCGAAGCAUGAAAUGGUGGAAAUGAUUUCGGAAUAUGUCGAUGAUGCUUCAUUAAUAGGUUUUCAGUUUUGAAUGAAAUGAAAAUCUAUAGUGAUGGAUCAAAAGGGAACAAAAUUGGUGAUGGAAUUAAAUGAUUACUAGUUAUAAGUUGUUAUUUGAGAUCCGUAUAUGGUCAAACAUACAACUUCCGAAGCCUGAAAGGAAGAAAUGCCGGUGGAAUUUCUAAAUGAUGCUAUUUAAGUAAGUUUUCUUUUUAGCGUAUAAAAAAUCUACGGUAACGGAUCAAAAGUUUAUGUAAAGGUGCUAAACAUGAAUAAUUUAUUUGGAUAAGCUGUUCCAUGACUUCCAUACGACCGUCGAGACUACUAUCGAAGAAUUGAAUGAUUGAAAGGCUGUUAUAAUGUGUCUAAUGUCCUAUUUAAAUCAGUUCUAUGAUUCGAAGGAGGAGAAAAAUGUAAAGUAAUAAAUCAAAAGGUUAUGUAAAACUACUAAAAAUUAUGUGAUUCCUACAUAUAUAAGUUGUCGUAGGAUUUUAAAAUGGCGGCACAGACAACUUCGAAACAAGAAACGAAGCAAGGCUUCUAUCACUUAUCGGUAAUGCUAUUUAAACAUGUUUUCAGUUUCACAAAAAUAGAAAAUCUACCUUGAUGGAUAAAAACGGUUAAUAAAUGUACCAAAUUGUCCAAUUUCUAUAGGUAAGUUGCUAUCUCAGGUGCAUAUAGAUGCACAUACUACCCUCGAAGCAUGAAAUGGUGGACAUGAUUUCGGAAUAUGUCGAUGAUGCUUCAUUAAUAGGUUUUCAGUUUUCAACGAAAUGAAAAUCUAUAGUGAUGGAUCAAAAGGGAACAAAAUUGGUGAUGGAAUUAAAUGAUUACUAGUUAUAAGUUGUUAUUUGAGAUCCAUAUACGGUCAAACAUACAACUUCCGAAACUUGAAAAGAAGAAAUGCCGGUGGAAUUUCUAAAUGAUGCUAUUUAAGUAAGUUUUCUUUUUAGCGAAUAAAAAAUCUAUGGUAACGGAUCAAAAGUUUAUGUAAAGGUGCUAAACAUGAAUAAUUUAUUUGGAUAAGCUGUUCCAUGACUUCCAUACGACAGUCGAGACUACUAUCGAAGAAUUGAAUGAUUGAAAGGCUGUUAUAAUGUGUCGAAUGUCCUAUUUAAAUGAGUUCUAUGAUUCGAAGGAGGAGAAAAAUUUAAAGUAAUAAAUCAAAAGGUUAUGUAAAACUACUAAAAAUUAUGUGAUUCCUACAUAUAUAAGUUGUUGUAGGAUUUUCAAAUGGCGGCACAGACAACUUCGAAACAAGAAACGAAGCAAGGCUUCUAUCACUUAUCGGUAAUGCUAUUUAAACAUGUUUUCAGUUUUGCAAAAAUAGAAAAUCUACCUUGAUGGAUAAAAAGGUUAAUAAAUGUACCAAAUUGUCCAAUUUCUAUAGGUAAGUUGCUAUCUGAGGUGCAUAUAGAUGCACAGACUACCCUCGAAGCCUGAAAUGGUGGAAAUGAUUUCGGAAUAUGUCGAUGAUGCUUCAUUAAUAGGUUUUCAGUUUUCAACGAAAUGAAAAUCUAUAGUGAUGGAUCAAAAGGGAACAAAAUUGGUGAUGGAAUUAAAUGAUUACUAGUUAUAAGUUGUUAUUUGAGAUCCAUAUACGGUCAAACAUACAGCUUCCGAAGCUUGAAAAGAAGAAAUGCCGGUGGAAUUUCUAAGUGAUGCUAUUUAAGUAAGUUUUCUUUUUAGUGUAUAAAAAAUAUACGGUAACGGAUCAAAAGUUUAUGUAAUGGUGCUAAACAUGAAUAAUUUAUUUGGAUAAGCUGUUCUAUGACUUUCAUACGACGGUCGAGACUACUAUCGAAGAAUUGAAUGAUUGAAAGGCUGUUAUAAUGUGUCGAAUGUCCUAUUUAAAUGAGUUCUAUGAUUCGAAGGAGGAGAAAAUGUAAAGCAAUAAAUCAAAAGGUUAUGUAAAACUACUAAAAAUUAUGUGACUCCUACAUAUAUAAGUUGUUGUAGGAUUUUCAAAUGGCGGCACAGACAACUUCGAAACAAGAAACGAAGCAAGGCUUCUAUCACUUAUCGGUAAUGCUAUUUAAACAUGUUUUUACUUUCACAAAAAUUGAAAAUCUACCAUGAUGGAUAAAAACAGUUAAUAAAUGUACCAAAUUGUCUAAUUUCUAUAGGUAAGUUGCUAUCUGAGGUGCAUAUAGAUGCACAGACUACCCUCGAAGCAUGAAAUGGUGGAAAUGAUGUCGGAAUAUGUCGAUGAUGCUUCAUUAAUAGGUUUUCAGUUUUCAAUGAAAUGAAAAUCUAUAGUGAUGGAUCAAAAGGGAACAAAAUUGUUGAUGGAAUUAAAUGAUUACUAGUUAUAAGUUGUUAUUUGAGAUCCGUAUAUGGUCAAACAUACAACUUCCGAAUCUUGAAUGGAAGAAAUGGCGGUGGAAUUUCUAAGUGAUGCUAUUUAAGUAAGUUUUCUUUUUAGCGAAUAAAAAAUCUACGGUAACGGAUCAAAAGUUUAUGUAAAGGUGCUAAACAUGAAUAAGUUAUUUGGAUUAGCUGUUCUAUGACUUCCAUACGACGGUCGAGACUACUAUCGAAGAAUUGAAUGAUUGAAAGGCUGUUAUAAUGUGUCGAAUGUCCUAUUUAAAUGAGUUCUAUGAUUCGAAGGAGGAGAAAAUGUAAAGUAAGAAAUCAAAAGGUUAUGUAAAACUACUAAAAAUUAUGUGACUCCUACAUAUACAAGUUGUUGUAGGAUUUUCAAAUGGCGGCACAGACAACUUCGAAACAAGAAACGAAGCAAGGCUUCUAUCACUUAUUGGUAAUGCUAUUUAAACAUGUUUUUAGUUUCACAAAAAUAGAAAAUCUACCAUGAUGGAUAAAAAACGGUUAAUAAAUGUACAAAAUUGUCCAAUUUCUAUAGGUAAGUUGCUAUCUGAGGUGCAUAUAGAUGCACAGACUACCCUCGAAGCAUGAAAUGGUGGAAAUGAUUUCGGAAUAUGUCGAUGAUGCUUCAUUAAUAGGUUUUCAGUUUUGAAUGAAAUGAAAAUCUAUAGUGAUGGAUCAAAAGGGAACAAAAUUGGUGAUGGAAUUAAAUGAUUACUAGUUAUAAGUUGUUAUUUGAGAUCCGUAUAUGGUCAAACAUACAACUUCCGAAGCCUGAAAGGAAGAAAUGCCGGUGGAAUUUCUAAAUGAUGCUAUUUAAGUAAGUUUUCUUUUUAGCGUAUAAAAAAUCUACGGUAACGGAUCAAAAGUUUAUGUAAAGGUGCUAAACAUGAAUAAUUUAUUUGGAUAAGCUGUUCCAUGACUUCCAUACGACCGUCGAGACUACUAUCGAAGAAUUGAAUGAUUGAAAGGCUGUUAUAAUGUGUCUAAUGUCCUAUUUAAAUCAGUUCUAUGAUUCGAAGGAGGAGAAAAAUGUAAAGUAAUAAAUCAAAAGGUUAUGUAAAACUACUAAAAAUUAUGUGAUUCCUACAUAUAUAAGUUGUCGUAGGAUUUUAAAAUGGCGGCACAGACAACUUCGAAACAAGAAAUGAAGCAAGGCUUCUAUCACUUAUCGGUAAUGCUAUUUAAACAUGUUUUCAGUUUUGCAAAAAUAGAAAAUCUACCUUGAUGGAUAAAAACGGUUAAUAAAUGUACCAAAUUGUCCAAUUUCUAUAGGUAAGUUGCUAUCUGAGGUGCAUAUAGAUGCACAGACUACCCUCGAAGCAUGAAAUGGUGGAAAUGAUUUCGGAAUAUGUCGAUGAUGCUUCAUUAAUAGGUUUUCAGUUUUCAACGAAAUGAAAAUCUAUAGUGAUGGAUCAAAAGGGAACAAAAUUGGUGAUGGAAUUAAAUGAUUACUAGUUAUAAGUUGUUAUUUGAGAUCCAUAUACGGUCAAACAUACAACUUCCGAAACUUGAAAAGAAGAAAUGCCGGUGGAAUUUCUAAAUGAUGCUAUUUAAGUAAGUUUUCUUUUUAGCGAAUAAAAAAUCUAUGGUAACGGAUCAAAAGUUUAUGUAAAGGUGCUAAACAUGAAUAAUUUAUUUGGAUAAGCUGUUCCAUGACUUCCAUACGACAGUCGAGACUACUAUCGAAGAAUUGAAUGAUUGAAAGGCUGUUAUAAUGUGUCGAAUGUCCUAUUUAAAUCAGUUCUAUGAUUCGAAGGAGGAGAAAAAUUUAAAGUAAUAAAUCAAAAGGUUAUGUAAAACUACUAAAAAUUAUGUGAUUCCUACAUAUAUAAGUUGUUGUAGGAUUUUCAAAUGGCGGCACAGACAACUUCGAAACAAGAAAUGAAGCAAGGCUUCUAUCACUUAUCGGUAAUGCUAUUUAAACAUGUUUUCAGUUUUGCAAAAAUAGAAAAUCUACCUUGAUGGAUAAAAAGGUUAAUAAAUGUACCAAAUUGUCCAAUUUCUAUAGGUAAGUUGCUAUCUGAGGUGCAUAUAGAUGCACAGACUACCCUCGAAGCCUGAAAUGGUGGAAAUGAUUUCGGAAUAUGUCGAUGAUGCUUCAUUAAUAGGUUUUCAGUUUUCAACGAAAUGAAAAUCUAUAGUGAUGGAUCAAAAGGGAACAAAAUUGGUGAUGGAAUUAAAUGAUUACUAGUUAUAAGUUGUUAUUUGAGAUCCAUAUACGGUCAAACAUACAGCUUCCGAAGCUUGAAAAGAAGAAAUGCCGGUGGAAUUUCUAAAUGAUGCUAUUUAAGUAAGUUUUCUUUUUAGCGAAUAAAAAAUAUAUGGUAACGGAUCAAAAGUUUAUGUAAAGGUGCUAAACAUGAAUAAUUUAUUUGGAUAAGCUGUUCUAUGACUUCCAUACGACGGUCGAGACUACUAUCGAAGAAUUGAAUGAUUGAAAGGCUGUUAUAAUGUGUCGAAUGUCCUAUUUAAAUGAGUUCUAUGAUUCGAAGGAGGAGAAAAUGUAAAGUAAGAAAUCAAAAGGUUAUGUAAAACUACUAAAAAUUAUGUGACUCCUACAUAUAUAAGUUGUUGUAGGAUUUUCAAAUGGCGGCACAGACAACUUCGAAACAAGAAACGAAGCAAGGCUUCUAUCACUUAUCGGUAAUGCUAUUUAAACAUGUUUUUACUUUCACAAAAAUUGAAAAUCUACCAUGAUGGAUAAAAACAGUUAAUAAAUGUACCAAAUUGUCUAAUUUCUAUAGGUAAGUUGCUAUCUGAGGUGCAUAUAGAUGCACAGACUACCCUCGAAGCAUGAAAUGGUGGAAAUGAUGUCGGAAUAUGUCGAUGAUGCUUCAUUAAUAGGUUUUCAGUUUUCAAUGAAAUGAAAAUCUAUAGUGAUGGAUCAAAAGGGAACAAAAUUGUUGAUGGAAUUAAAUGAUUACUAGUUAUAAGUUGUUAUUUGAGAUCCGUAUAUGGUCAAACAUACAACUUCCGAAUCUUGAAAGGAAGAAAUGGCGGUGGAAUUUCUAAGUGAUGCUAUUUAAGUGAGUUUUCUUUUUAGCGUAUAAAAAAUCUACGGUAACGGAUCAAAAGUUUAUGUAAUGGUGCUAAACAUGAAUAAUUUAUUUGGAUAAGCUGUUCUAUGACUUUCAUACGACGGUCGAGACUACUAUCGAAGAAUUGAAUGAUUGAAAGGCUGUUCUAAUGUGUCGAAUUUCCUAUUUAAAUGAGUUCUAUGAUUCGAAGGAGGAGAAAAUGUAAAGUAAUAAAUCAAAAGGUUAUGUGAAACUACUAAAAAUUAUGUGACUCCUACAUAUAUAAGUUGUUGUAGGAUUUUCAAAUGGCGGCACAGACAACUUCGAAACAAGAAACGAAGCAAGGCUUUUAUCACUUAUCGGUAAUGCUAUUUAAACAUGUUUUUAGUUUCACAAAAAUAGAAAAUCUACCAUGAUGUAUAAAAACGGUUAAUAAAUGUACCAAAUUGUCCAAUUUCUAUAGGUAAGUUGCUAUCUGAGGUGCAUAUAGAUGCACAGACUACCCUCGAAGCAUGAAAUGGUGGAAAUGAUUUCGGAAUAUGUCGAUGAUGCUUCAUUAAUAGGUUUUCUGUUUUCAACGAAAUGAAAAUCUAUAGUGAUGGAUCAAAAGGGAACAAAAUUGGUGAUGGAAUUAAAUGAUUACUAGUUAUAAGUUGUUAUUUGAGAUCCAUAUACGGUCAAACAUACAAGUUCCGAAGCUUGAAAGGAAGAAAUGCCGGUGGAAUUUCUAAAUGAUGCUAUUUAAGUAAGUUUUCUUUUUUGCGAAUAAAAAAUCUACGGUAACGGAUCAAAAGUUUAUGUAAUGGUGCUAAACAUGAAUAAUUUAUUUGGAUAAGCUGUUCUAUGACUUCCAUACGACGGUCGAGACUACUAUCGAAGAAUUGAAUGAUUGAAAGGCUGUUAUAAUGUGUCGAAUGUCCUAUUUAAAUGAGUUCUAUGAUUCGAAGGAGGAGAAAAUGCAAAGUAAGAAAUCAAAAGGUUAUGUAAAACUACUAAAAAUUAUGUGACUCCUACAUAUAUAAGUUGUUGUAGGAUUUUCAAAUGGCGGCACAGACAACUUCGAAACAAGAAACGAAGCAAGGCUUCUAUCACUUAUCGGUAAUGCUAUUUAAACAUGUUUUUACUUUCACAAAAAUAGAAAAUCUACCAUGAUGGAUAAAAACGGUUAAUAAAUGUACCAAAUUGUCUAAUUUCUAUAGGUAAGUUGCUAUCUGAGGUGCAUAUAGAUGCACAGACUACCCUCGAAGCAUGAAAUGGUGGAAAUGGUUUCGGAAUAUGUCGAUGAUGCUUCAUUAAUAAGUUUUCAGUUUUCAACGAAUGAAAAUCUAUAAUGAUGGAUCAAAAGGGAACAAAAUUGGUGAUGGAAUUAAAUGAUUACUAGUUAUAAGUUGUUAUUUGAGAUCUAUAUAUGGUCAAACAAUCAACUUCCAAAGCUUGAAGGAAGAAAUGCCGGUGGAAUUUCUAAAUGAUGCUAUUUAAGUAAGUUUUCUUUUUAGCGAAUAAAAAAUCUAUGGUAACGGAUCAAAAGUUUAUGUAAAGGUGCUAAACAUGAAUAAUUUAUUUGGAUAAGCUGUUCUAUGACUUCCAUACGAAGGUCGAGACUACUAUCGAAUAAUUGAAUGAUUGAAAGGCUGUUAUAAUGUGUCGAAUGUCCUAUUUAAAUGAGUUCUAUGAUUCGAAGGAGGGGAAAAUGUAAAGUAAUAAAUCAACAGGUUAGGUAAAACUACUAAAAAUUAUGUGACUCCUACAUAUAUAAGUUGUUGUAGGAUUUUCAAAUGGCGGAACAGACAACUUCGAAACAAGAAACGAAGCAAGGCUUCUAUCACUUAUCGGUAAUGCUAUUUAAACAUGUUUUCAGUUUUGGAAAAAUAGAAAAUCUACCUUGAUGGACAAAAACGGUUAAUAAAUGUACCAAAUUGUCCAAUUUCUAUAGGUAAGUUGCUAUCUGAGGUGCAUAUAGAUGCACAGACUACCCUCGAAGCAUGAAAUGGUGGAAAUGAUUUCGGAAUAUGUCGAUGAUGCUUCAUUAAUAAGCUUUCAGUUUUCAACGAAAUGAAAAUCUAUAGUGAUGGAUCAAAAGGGAAAGAAUUGGUGAUGGAAUUAAAUGAUUACUAGUUAUAAGUUGUUAUUUGAGAUCCAUAUAUGGUCAAACAUACAACUUCCGAAGCUUGAAAGGAAGAAAUGCCGGUGGAAUUUCUAAAUGAUGCUAUUUAAGUAAGUUUUCUUUUUAGCGAAUAAAAAAUCUAUGGUAACGGAUCAAAGUUUAUGUAAAGGUGCUAAACAUGAAUAAUUUAUUUGGAUAAGCUGUUCUAUGACUUCCAUACGACGGUCGAGACUACUAUCGAAGAAUUGAAUGAUUGAAAGGCUGUUAUAAUGUGUCGAAUGUCCUAUUUAAAUGAGUUAUAUGAUUCGAAGGAGGAAAAAAUGUAAAGUAAUAAAUCAAAAGGUUAGGUAAAACUACUAAAAAUUAUGUGACUCCUACAUAUAUAAGUUGUUGUUGGAUUUUCAAAUGGCGGCACACACAACUUCGAAACAAGAAACGAAGCAAGGCUUCUAUCACAAAUCGAUAAUGCUAUUUAAACAUGUUUUUAGUUUCACAAAAAUAGAAAAUCUACCAUGAUGGAUAAAAGCGGUUAAUAAAUGUACCAAAUUGUCUAAUUUCUAUAGGUAAGUUGCUUUCUGAGGUGCAUAUAGAUGCACAGACUACCCUCGAAGCAUGAAAUGGUGGAAAUGAUGUCGGAAUAUGUCGAUGAUUCUUCAUUAAUAGGUUUUCAGUAUUCAACGAAAUGAAAAUCUAUAGUGAUGGAUCAAAAGGGAACAAAAUUGGUGAUGGAAUUAAAUGAUUACUAGUUAUAAGUUGUUAUUUGAGAUCCAUAUAUGGUCAAACAUACAACUUCCGAAGCUUGAAAGGAAGAAAUGCCGGUGGAAUUUCUAAAUGAUUCUAUUUAAGUAAGUUUUCUUUUUAGCGAAUAAAAAAUCUACGGUAACGGAUCAAAAGUUUAUGUAAUGGUGCUAAACAUGAAUAAUUUAUUUGGAUAAGCUGUUCUAUGACUUCCAUACGACGGUCGAGACUACUAUCGAACAAUUGAAUGAUUGAUAGGCUGUUAUAAUGUGUCGAAUGUCCUAUUUAAAUGAGUUCUAUGAUUCGAAGGAGGAGAAAAUGUAAAGUAAUAAAUCAAAAGGUUAUGUAAAACUACUAAAAAUUAUGUGACUCCUACAUAUAUAAGUUGUUGUAGGAUUUUCAAAUGGCGGCACAGACAACUUCGAAACAAGAAACGAAGCAAGGCUUCUAUCACUUAUCGGUAAUGCUAUUUAAACAUGUUUUUAGUUUCACAAAAAUAGAAAAUCUACCAUGAUGUAUAAAAACGGUUAAUAAAUGUACCAAAUUGUCCAAUUUCUAGAGGUAAGUUGCUAUCUGAGGUGCAUAUAGAUGCACAGACUACCCUCGAAGCAUGAAAUGGUGGAAAUGAUUUCGGAAUAUGUCGAUGAUGCUUCAUUAAUAGGUUUUCAGUUUUCAACGAAAUGAAAAUCUAUAUUGAUGGAUCAAAAGGGAACAAAAUUGGUGAUGGAAUUAAAUGAUUACUAGUUAUAAGUUGUUAUUUGAGAUCCAUAUACGGUCAAAGAUACAACUUCCGAAGCUUGAAAGGAAGAAAUGCCAAUGGAAUUUCUAAAUGAUGCUAUUUAAGUAAGUUUUCUUUUUUGCGAAUAAAAAAUCUACGGUAACGGAUCAAAAGUUUAUGUAAUGGUGCUAAACAUGAAUAAUUUAUUUGGAUAAGCUGUUCUAUGACUUCCAUACGACGGUCGAGACUACUAUCGAAGAAUUGAAUGAUUGAAAGGCUGUUAUAAUGUGUCGAAUGUCCUAUUUAAAUGAGUCCUAUGAUUCGAAGGAGGAGAAAAUGUAAAGUAAGAAAUCAAAAGGUUAUGUAAAACUACUAAAAAUUAUGUGACUCCUACAUAUAUAAGUUGUUGUAGUAUUUUCAAAUGGCGGCACAGACAACUUCGAAACAAGAAACGAAGCAAGGCUUCUAUCACUUAUCGGUAAUGCUAUUUAAACAUGUUUUUAGUUUCACAAAAAUAGAAAAUCUACCAUGAUGGAUAAAAACGGUUAAUAAAUGUACCAAAUUGUCCAAUUUCUAUAGGUAAGUUGCUAUCUGAGGUGCAUAUAGAUGCACAUACUACCCUCGAAGCAUGAAAUGGUGGAAAUGAUUUCGGAAUAUGUCGAUGAUGCUUCAUUAAUAGGUUUUCUGUUUUCAACGAAAUGAAAAUCUAUAGUGAUGGAUCAAAAGGGAACAAAAUUGGUGAUGGAAUUAAAUGAUUACUAGUUAUAAGUUGUUAUUUGAGAUCCAUAUAUGGUCAAACAUACAACUUCUGAAGCUUGAAAGGAAGAAAUGCCGGUGGAAUUUCUAAAUGAUGCUAUUUAAGUAAGUUUUCUUUUUAGCGAAUAAAAAAUCUACGGUAACGGAUCAAAAGUUUAUGUAAAGGUGCUAAACAUGAAUAAUUUAUUUGGAUAAGCUUUUCUAUGACUUCCAUACGACGGUCGAGACUACUAUCGAAGAAUUGAAUGAUUGAAAGGCUGUUAUAAUGUGUCGAAUGUCCUAUUUAAAUGAGUUCUAUGAUUCGAAGGAGGAGAAAAUGUAAAGUAAGAAAUCAAAAGGUUAUGUAAAACUACUAAAAAUUAUGUGACUCCUACAUAUACAAGUUGUUGUAGGAUUUUCAAAUGGCGGCACAGACAACUUCGAAACAAGAAACGAAGCAAGGCUUCUAUCACUUAUUGGUAAUGCUAUUUAAACAUGUUUUUAGUUUCACAAAAAUAGAAAAUCUACCAUGAUGGAUAAAAAACUUUUAAUAAAUGUACAAAAUUGUCCAAUUUCUAUAGGUAAGUUGCUAUCUGAGGUGCAUAUAGAUGCACAGACUACCCUCGAAGCAUGAAAUGGUGGAAAUGAUUUCGGAAUAUGUCGAUGAUGCUUCAUUAAUAGGUUUUCAGUUUUCAACGAAAUGAAAAUCUAUAGUGAUGGAUCAAAAGGGAACAAAAUUGGUGAUGGAAUUAAAUGAUUACUAGUUAUAAGUUGUUAUUUGAGAUCCAUAUACGGUCAAACAUACAGCUUCCGAAGCUUGAAAAGAAGAAAUGCCGGUGGAAUUUCUAAAUGAUGCUAUUUAAGUAAGUUUUCUUUUUAGCAAAUAAAAAAUAUAUGGUAACGGAUCAAAAGUUUAUGUAAAGGUGCUAAACAUGAAUAAUUUAUUUGGAUAAGCUGUUCUAUGACUUCCAUACGACGGUCGAGACUACUAUCGAAGAAUUGAAUGAUUCAAAGGCUGUUAUAAUGUGUCGAAUGUCCUAUUUAAAUGAGUUCUAUGAUUUGAAGGAGGAGAAAAUGUAAAGUAAGAAAUCAAAAGGUUAUGUAAAACUACUAAAAAUUAUGUGACUCCUACAGAUAUAAGUUGUUGUAGGAUUUUCAAAUGGCGGCACAGACAACUUCGAAACAAGAAACGAAGCAAGGCUUCUAUCACUUAUCGGUAAUGCUAUUUAAACAUGUUUUGAGUUUCACAAAAAUAGAAAAUCUACCAUGAUGGAUAAAAACGGUUAAUAAAUGUACCAAAUUGUCCAAUUUCUAUAGGUAAGUUGCUAUCUCAGGUGCAUAUAGAUGCACAUACUACCCUCGAAGCAUGAAAUGGUGGAAAUGAUUUCGGAAUAUGUCGAUGAUGCUUCAUUAAUAGGUUUCUGUUUUCAACGAAAUGAAAAUCUAUAGUGAUGGAUCAAAAGGGAACAAAAUUGGUGAUGGAAUUAAAUGAUUACUAGUUAUAAGUUGUUAUUUGAGAUCCAUAUAGGGUCAAACAUACAACUUCUGAAGCUUGAAAGGAAGAAAUGCCAGUAGAAUUUCUAAAUGAUGCUAUUUAAGUAAGUUUUCUUUUUAGCGAAUAAAAAAUCUACGGUAACGGAUCAAAAGUUUAUGUAAUGGUGCUAAACAUGAAUAAUUUAUUUGGAUAAGCUGUUCUAUGACUUCCAUACGACGGUCGACACUACUAUCGAACAACUGAAUGAUUGAAAGGCUGUUAUAAUGUGUCGAAUGUCCUAUUUAAAUGAGUUCUAUGAUUCGAAGGAGGAGAAAAUGUAAAGUAAUAAAUCAAAAGGUUAUGUAAAACUACUAAAAAUUAUGUGACUCCUACAUAUAUAAGUUGUUGUAGGAUUUUCAAAUGGCGGCACAGACAACUUCGAAACAAGAAACGAAGCAAGGCUUCUAUCACUUAUCGGUAAUGCUAUUUAAACAUGUUUUUAGUUUCACAAAAAUAGAAAAUCUACCAUGAUGUAUAAAAACGGUUAAUAAAUGUACCAAAUUGUCCAAUUUCUAUAGGUAAGUUGCUAUCUGAGGUGCAUAUAGAUGCACAGACUACCCUCGAAGCAUGAAAUGGUGGAAAUGAUUUCGGAAUAUGUCGAUGAUGCUUCAUUAAUAGGUUUUCAGUUUUCAACGAAAUGAAAAUCUAUAGUGAUGGAUCAAAAGGGAACAAAAUUGGUGAUGGAAUUAAAUGAUUACUAGUUAUAAGUUGUUAUUUGAGAUCCAUAUACGGUCAAAGAUACAACUUCCGAAGCUUGAAAGGAAGAAAUGCCGGUGGAAUUUCUAAAUGAUGCUAUUUAAGUAAGUUUUCUUUUUUGCGAAUAAAAAAUCUACGGUAACGGAUCAAAAGUUUAUGUAAUGGUGCUAAACAUGAAUAAUUUAUUUGGAUAAGCUGUUCUAUGACUUCCAUACGACGGUCGAGACUACUAUCGAAGAAUUGAAUGAUUGAAAGGCUGUUAUAAUGUGUCGAAUGUCCUAUUUAAAUGAGUUCUAUGAUUCGAAGGAGGAGAAAAUGUAAAGUAAGAAAUCAAAAGGUUAUGUAAAACUACUAAAAAUUAUGUGACUCCUACAUAUAUAAGUUGUUGUAGUAUUUUCAAAUGGCGGCACAGACAACUUCGAAACAAGAAACGAAGCAAGGCUUCUAUCACUUAUCGGUAAUGCUAUUUAAACAUGUUUUUACUUUCAACAAAAUAAAAAAUCUACCAUGAUGGAUAAAAACGGUUAAUAAAUGUACCAAAUUGUCUAAUUUCUAUCGGUAAUUUGCUAUUUGAGGUGCAUAUAGAUGCACAGACUACCCUCGAAGCAUGAAAUGGUGGAAAUGAUGUCGGAAUAUGUCGAUGAUGCUUCAUUAAUAGGUUUUCAGUUUUCAAUGAAAUGAAAAUCUAUAGUGAUGGAUCAAAAGGGAACAAAAUUGUUGAUGGAAUUAAAUGAUUACUAGUUAUAAGUUGUUAUUUGAGAUCCGUAUAUGGUCAAACAUACAACUUCCGAAGCUUGAAAGGAAGAAAUGGCGGUGGAAUUUCUAAGUGAUGCUAUUUAAGUAAGUUUUCUUUUUAGCGUAUAAAAAAUCUACGGUAACGGAUCAAAAGUUUAUGUAAUGGUGCUAAACAUGAAUAAUUUAUUUGGAUAAGCUGUUCCAUGACUUUCAUACGACGGUCGAGACUACUAUCGAAGAAUUGAAUGAUUGAAAGGCUGUUAUAAUGUGUCGAAUGUCCUAUUUAAAUGAGUUCUAUGAUUCGAAGGAGGAGAAAAUGUAAAGUAAUAAAUCAAAAGGUUAUGUAAAACUACUAAAAAUUAUGUGACUCCAACAUAUAUAAGUUGUUGUAGGAUUUUCAAAUGGCGGCACAGACAACUUCGAAACAAGAAACGAAGCAAGGCUUCUAUCACUUAUCGGUAAUGCUAUUUAAACAUGUUUUGAGUUUCACAAAAAUAGAAAAUCUACCAUGAUGGAUAAAAACGGUUAAUAAAUGUACCAAAUUGUCCAAUUUCUAUAGGUAAGUUGCUAUCUCAGGUGCAUAUAGAUGCACAUACUACCCUCGAAGCAUGAAAUGGUGGAAAUGAUUUCGGAAUAUGUCGAUGAUGCUUCAUUAAUAGGUUUUCUGUUUUCAACGAAAUGAAAAUCUAUAGUGAUGGAUCAAAAGGGAACAAAAUUGGUGAUGGAAUUAAAUGAUUACUAGUUAUAAGUUGUUAUUUGAGAUCCAUAUAGGGUCAAACAUACAACUUCUGAAGCUUGAAAGGAAGAAAUGCCAGUAGAAUUUCUAAAUGAUGCUAUUUAAGUAAGUUUUCUUUUUAGCGAAUAAAAAAUCUACGGUAACGGAUCAAAAGUUUAUGUAAUGGUGCUAAACAUGAAUAAUUUAUUUGGAUAAGCUGUUCUAUGACUUCCAUACGACGGUCGACACUACUAUCGAACAACUGAAUGAUUGAAAGGCUGUUAUAAUGUGUCGAAUGUCCUAUUUAAAUGAGUUCUAUGAUUCGAAGGAGGAGAAAAUGUAAAGUAAUAAAUCAAAAGGUUAUGUAAAACUACUAAAAAUUAUGUGACUCCUACAUAUAUAAGUUGUUGUAGGAUUUUCAAAUGGCGGCACAGACAACUUCGAAACAAGAAACGAAGCAAGGCUUCUAUCACUUAUCGGUAAUGCUAUUUAAACAUGUUUUUAGUUUCACAAAAAUAGAAAAUCUACCAUGAUGUAUAAAAACGGUUAAUAAAUGUACCAAAUUGUCCAAUUUCUAUAGGUAAGUUGCUAUCUGAGGUGCAUAUAGAUGCACAGACUACCCUCGAAGCAUGAAAUGGUGGAAAUGAUUUCGGAAUAUGUCGAUGAUGCUUCAUUAAUAGGUUUUCAGUUUUCAACGAAAUGAAAAUCUAUAGUGAUGGAUCAAAAGGGAACAAAAUUGGUGAUGGAAUUAAAUGAUUACUAGUUAUAAGUUGUUAUUUGAGAUCCAUAUACGGUCAAAGAUACAACUUCCGAAGCUUGAAAGGAAGAAAUGCCGGUGGAAUUUCUAAAUGAUGCUAUUUAAGUAAGUUUUCUUUUUUGCGAAUAAAAAAUCUACGGUAACGGAUCAAAAGUUUAUGUAAUGGUGCUAAACAUGAAUAAUUUAUUUGGAUAAGCUGUUCUAUGACUUCCAUACGACGGUCGAGACUACUAUCGAAGAAUUGAAUGAUUGAAAGGCUGUUAUAAUGUGUCGAAUGUCCUAUUUAAAUGAGUUCUAUGAUUCGAAGGAGGAGAAAAUGUAAAGUAAGAAAUCAAAAGGUUAUGUAAAACUACUAAAAAUUAUGUGACUCCUACAUAUAUAAGUUGUUGUAGUAUUUUCAAAUGGCGGCACAGACAACUUCGAAACAAGAAACGAAGCAAGGCUUCUAUCACUUAUCGGUAAUGCUAUUUAAACAUGUUUUUACUUUCACAAAAAUAGAAAAUCUACCAUGAUGGAUAAAAACGGUUAAUAAAUGUACCAAAUUGUCUAAUUUCUAUCGGUAAUUUGCUAUCUGAGGUGCAUAUAGAUGCACAGACUACCCUCGAAGCAUGAAAUGGUGGAAAUGAUGUCGGAAUAUGUCGAUGAUGCUUCAUUAAUAGGUUUUCAGUUUUCAAUGAAAUGAAAAUCUAUAGUGAUGGAUCAAAAGGGAACAAAAUUUUUGAUGGAAUUAAAUGAUUACUAGUUAUAAGUUGUUAUUUGAGAUCCGUAUAUGGUCAAACAUACAACUUCCGAAGCUUGAAAGGAAGAAAUGGCGGUGGAAUUUCUAAGUGAUGCUAUUUAAGUAAGUUUUCUUUUUAGCGUAUAAAAAAUCUACGGUAACGGAUCAAAAGUUUAUGUAAUGGUGCUAAACAUGAAUAAUUUAUUUGGAUAAGCUGUUCCAUGACUUUCAUACGACGGUCGAGACUACUAUCGAAGAAUUGAAUGAUUGAAAGGCUGUUAUAAUGUGUCGAAUGUCCUAUUUAAAUGAGUUCUAUGAUUCGAAGGAGGAGAAAAUGUAAAGUAAUAAAUCAAAAGGUUAUGUAAAACUACUAAAAAUUAUGUGACUCCAACAUAUAUAAGUUGUUGUAGGAUUUUCAAAUGGCGGCACAGACAACUUCGAAACAAGAAACGAAGCAAGGCUUCUAUCACUUAUCGGUAAUGCUAUUUAAACAUGUUUUGAGUUUCACAAAAAUAGAAAAUCUACCAUGAUGGAUAAAAACGGUUAAUAAAUGUACCAAAUUGUCCAAUUUCUAUAGGUAAGUUGCUAUCUCAGGUGCAUAUAGAUGCACAUACUACCCUCGAAGCAUGAAAUGGUGGAAAUGAUUUCGGAAUAUGUCGAUGAUGCUUCAUUAAUAGGUUUUCUGUUUUCAACGAAAUGAAAAUCUAUAGUGAUGGAUCAAAAGGGAACAAAGUUGGUGCUGGAAUUAAAUGAUUACUAGUUAUAAGUUGUUAUUUGAGAUCCAUAUAGGGUCAAACAUACAACUUCUGAAGCUUGAAAGGAAGAAAUGCCAGUAGAAUUUCUAAAUGAUGCUAUUUAAGUAAGUUUUCUUUUUAGCGAAUAAAAAAUCUACAGUAACGGAUCAAAAGUUUAUGUAAUGGUGCUAAACAUGAAUAAUUUAUUUGGAUAAGCUGUUCUAUGACUUCCAUACGACGGUCGACACUACUAUCGAACAACUGAAUGAUUGAAAGGCUGUUAUAAUGUGUCGAAUGUCCUAUUUAAAUGAGUUCUAUGAUUCGAAGGAGGAGAAAAUGUAAAGUAAUAAAUCAAAAGGUUAUGUAAAACUACUAAAAAUUAUGUGACUCCUACAUAUAUAAGUUGUUGUAGGAUUUUCAAAUGGCGGCACAGACAACUUCGAAACAAGAAACGAAGCAAGGCUUCUAUCACUUAUCGGUAAUGCUAUUUAAACAUGUUUUUAGUUUCACAAAAAUAGAAAAUCUACCAUGAUGUAUAAAAACGGUUAAUAAAUGUACCAAAUUGUCCAAUUUCUAUAGGUAAGUUGCUAUCUGAGGUGCAUAUAGAUGCACAGACUACCCUCGAAGCAUGAAAUGGUGGAAAUGAUUUCGGAAUAUGUCGAUGAUGCUUCAUUAAUAGGUUUUCAGUUUUCAACGAAAUGAAAAUCUAUAGUGAUGGAUCAAAAGGGAACAAAAUUGGUGAUGGAAUUAAAUGAUUACUAGUUAUAAGUUGUUAUUUGAGAUCCAUAUACGGUCAAAGAUACAACUUCCGAAGCUUGAAAGGAAGAAAUGCCGGUGGAAUUUCUAAAUGAUGCUAUUUAAGUAAGUUUUCUUUUUUGCGAAUAAAAAAUCUACGGUAACGGAUCAAAAGUUUAUGUAAUGGUGCUAAACAUGAAUAAUUUAUUUGGAUAAGCUGUUCUAUGACUUCCAUACGACGGUCGAGACUACUAUCGAAGAAUUGAAUGAUUGAAAGGCUGUUAUAAUGUGUCGAAUGUCCUAUUUAAAUGAGUUCUAUGAUUCGAAGGAGGAGAAAAUGUAAAGUAAGAAAUCAAAAGGUUAUGUAAAACUACUAAAAAUUAUGUGACUCCUACAUAUAUAAGUUGUUGUAGUAUUUUCAAAUGGCGGCACAGACAACUUCGAAACAAGAAACGAAGCAAGGCUUCUAUCACUUAUCGGUAAUGCUAUUUAAACAUGUUUUUACUUUCACAAAAAUAGAAAAUCUACCAUGAUGGAUAAAAACGGUUAAUAAAUGUACCAAAUUGUCUAAUUUCUAUCGGUAAUUUGCUAUCUGAGGUGCAUAUAGAUGCACAGACUACCCUCGAAGCAUGAAAUGGUGGAAAUGAUGUCGGAAUAUGUCGAUGAUGCUUCAUUAAUAGGUUUUCAGUUUUCAAUGAAAUGAAAAUCUAUAGUGAUGGAUCAAAAGGGAACAAAAUUUUUGAUGGAAUUAAAUGAUUACUAGUUAUAAGUUGUUAUUUGAGAUCCGUAUAUGGUCAAACAUACAACUUCCGAAGCUUGAAAGGAAGAAAUGGCGGUGGAAUUUCUAAGUGAUGCUAUUUAAGUAAGUUUUCUUUUUAGCGUAUAAAAAAUCUACGGUAACGGAUCAAAAGUUUAUGUAAUGGUGCUAAACAUGAAUAAUUUAUUUGGAUAAGCUGUUCCAUGACUUUCAUACGACGGUCGAGACUACUAUCGAAGAAUUGAAUGAUUGAAAGGCUGUUAUAAUGUGUCGAAUGUCCUAUUUAAAUGAGUUCUAUGAUUCGAAGGAGGAGAAAAUGUAAAGUAAUAAAUCAAAAGGUUAUGUAAAACUACUAAAAAUUAUGUGACUCCAACAUAUAUAAGUUGUUGUAGGAUUUUCAAAUGGCGGCACAGACAACUUCGAAACAAGAAACGAAGCAAGGCUUCUAUCACUUAUCGGUAAUGCUAUUUAAACAUGUUUUUAGUUUCACAAAAAUAGAAAAUCUACCAUGAUGGAUAAAAACGGUUAAUAAAUGUACCAAAUUGUCCAAUUUCUAUAGGUAAGUUGCUAUCUGAGGUGCAUAUAGAUGCACAUACUACCCUCGAAGCAUGAAAUGGUGGAAAUGAUUUCGGAAUAUGUCGAUGAUGCUUCAUUAAUAGGUUUUCUGUUUUCAACGAAAUGAAAAUCUAUAGUGAUGGAUCAAAAGGGAACAAAAUUGGUGAUGGAAUUAAAUGAUUACUAGUUAUAAGUUGUUAUUUGAGAUCCAUAUAUGGUCAAACAUACAACUUCUGAAGCUUGAAAGGAAGAAAUGCCGGUGGAAUUUCUAAAUGAUGCUAUUUAAGUAAGUUUUCUUUUUAGCGAAUAAAAAAUCUACGGUAACGGAUCAAAAGUUUAUGUAAAGGUGCUAAACAUGAAUAAUUUAUUUGGAUAAGCUUUUCUAUGACUUCCAUACGACGGUCGAGACUACUAUCGAAGAAUUGAAUGAUUGAAAGGCUGUUAUAAUGUGUCGAAUGUCCUAUUUAAAUGAGUUCUAUGAUUCGAAGGAGGGGAAAAUGUAAAGUAAGAAAUCAAAAGGUUAUGUAAAACUACUAAAAAUUAUGUGACUCCUACAUAUACAAGUUGUUGUAGGAUUUUCAAAUUGCGGCACAGACAACUUCGAAACAAGAAACGAAGCAAGGCUUCUAUCACUUAUCGGUAAUGCUAUUUAAACAUGUUUUUAGUUUCACAAAAAUAGAAAAUCUACCAUGAUGGAUAAAAACGGUUAAUAAAUGUACCAAAUUGUCCAAUUUCUAUAGGUAAGUUGCUAUCUGAGGUGCAUAUAGAUGCACAUACUACCCUCGAAGCAUGAAAUGGUGGAAAUGAUUUCGGAAUAUGUCGAUGAUGCUUCAUUAAUAGGUUUUCUGUUUUCAACGAAAUGAAAAUCUAUAGUGAUGGAUCACAAGGGAACAAAAUUGGUGAUGGAAUUAAAUGAUUACUAGUUAUAAGUUGUUAUUUGAGAUCCAUAUAUGGUCAAACAUACAACUUCUGAAGCUUGAAAGGAAGAAAUGCCGGUGGAAUUUCUAAAUGAUGCUAAUUAAGUAAGUUUUCUUUUUAGCGAAUAAAAAAUCUACGGUAACGGAUCAAAAGUUUAUGUAAAGGUGCUAAACAUGAAUAAUUUAUUUGGAUAAGUUGUUCUAUGACUUCCAUACGACGGUCGAGACUACUAUCGAACAAUUGAAUGAUUGAAAGGCUGUUAUAAUGUGUCGAAUGUCCUAUUUAAAUGAGUUCUAUGAUUCGAAGGAGGAGAAAAUGUAAAGUAAGAAAUCAAAAGGUUAUGUAAAACUACUAAAAAUUAUGUGACUCCUACAUAUACAAGUUGUUGUAGGAUUUUCAAAUGGCGGCACAGACAACUUCGAAACAAGAAACGAAGCAAGGCUUCUAUCACUUAUCGGUAAUGCUAUUUAAACAUGUUUUUAGUUUCACACAAAUAGAAAAUCAACCAUGAUGGAUAAAAAAGGUUAAUAAAUGUACAAAAUUGUCCAAUUUCUAUAGGUAAGUUGCUAUCUGAGGUGCAUAUAGAUGCACAGACUACCCUCGAAGCAUGAAAUGGUGGAAAUGAUUUCGGAAUAUGUCGAUGAUGCUUCAUUAAUAGGUUUUCAGUUUUCAAUGAAAUGAAAAUCUAUAGUGAUGGAUCAAAAGGGAACAAAAUUGUUGAUGGAAUUAAAUGAUUACUAGUUAUAAGUUGUUAUUUGAGAUCCGUAUAUGGUCAAACAUACAACUUCCGAAGCCUGAAAGGAAGAAAUGGCGGUGGAAUUUCUAAGUGAUGCUAUUUAAGUAAGUUUUCUUUUUAGCGUAUAAAAAAUCUACGGUAACGGAUCAAAAGUUUAUGUAAAGGUGCUAAACAUGAAUAAUUUAUUUGGAUAAGCUGUUCCAUGACUUUCAUACGACGGUCGAGACUACUAUCGAAGAAUUGAAUGAUUGAAAGGCUGUUAUAAUGUGUCGAAUGUCCUAUUUAAAUGAGUUCUAUGAUUCGAAGGAGGAGAAAAUGUAAAGUAAUAAAUCAAAAGGUUAUGUAAAACUACUAAAAAUUAUGUGACUCCAACAUAUAUAAGUUGUUGUAGGAUUUUCAAAUGGCGGCACAGACAACUUCGAAACAAGAAACGAAGCAAGGCUUCUAUCACUUAUCGGUAAUGCUAUUUAAACAUGUUUUGAGUUUCACAAAAAUAGAAAAUCUACCAUGAUGGAUAAAAACGGUUAAUAAAUGUACCAAAUUGUCCAAUUUCUAUAGGUAAGUUGCUAUCUCAGGUGCAUAUAGAUGCACAUACUACCCUCGAAGCAUGAAAUGGUGGAAAUGAUUUCGGAAUAUGUCGAUGAUGCUUCAUUAAUAGGUUUUCUGUUUUCAACGAAAUGAAAAUCUAUAGUGAUGGAUCAAAAGGGAACAAAAUUGGUGAUGGAAUUAAAUGAUUACUAGUUAUAAGUUGUUAUUUGAGAUCCAUAUAGGGUCAAACAUACAACUUCUGAAGCUUGAAAGGAAGAAAUGCCAGUAGAAUUUCUAAAUGAUGCUAUUUAAGUAAGUUUUCUUUUUAGCGAAUAAAAAAUCUACGGUAACGGAUCAAAAGUUUAUGUAAUGGUGCUAAACAUGAAUAAUUUAUUUGGAUAAGCUGUUCUAUGACUUCCAUACGACGGUCGACACUACUAUCGAACAACUGAAUGAUUGAAAGGCUGUUAUAAUGUGUCGAAUGUCCUAUUUAAAUGAGUUCUAUGAUUCGAAGGAGGAGAAAAUGUAAAGUAAUAAAUCAAAAGGUUAUGUAAAACUACUAAAAAUUAUGUGACUCCUACAUAUAUAAGUUGUUGUAGGAUUUUCAAAUGGCGGCACAGACAACUUCGAAACAAGAAACGAAGCAAGGCUUCUAUCACUUAUCGGUAAUGCUAUUUAAACAUGUUUUUAGUUUCACAAAAAUAGAAAAUCUACCAUGAUGUAUAAAAACGGUUAAUAAAUGUACCAAAUUGUCCAAUUUCUAUAGGUAAGUUGCUAUCUGAGGUGCAUAUAGAUGCACAGACUACCCUCGAAGCAUGAAAUGGUGGAAAUGAUUUCGGAAUAUGUCGAUGAUGCUUCAUUAAUAGGUUUUCAGUUUUCAACGAAAUGAAAAUCUAUAGUGAUGGAUCAAAAGGGAACAAAAUUGGUGAUGGAAUUAAAUGAUUACUAGUUAUAAGUUGUUAUUUGAGAUCCAUAUACGGUCAAAGAUACAACUUCCGAAGCUUGAAAGGAAGAAAUGCCGGUGGAAUUUCUAAAUGAUGCUAUUUAAGUAAGUUUUCUUUUUUGCGAAUAAAAAAUCUACGGUAACGGAUCAAAAGUUUAUGUAAUGGUGCUAAAUAUGAAUAAUUUAUUUGGAUAAGCUGUUCUAUGACUUCCAUACGACGGUCGAGACUACUAUCGAAGAAUUGAAUGAUUGAAAGGCUGUUAUAAUGUGUCGAAUGUCCUAUUUAAAUGAGUUCUAUGAUUCGAAGGAGGAGAAAAUGUAAAGUAAUAAAUCAAAAGGUUAUGUAAAACUACUAAAAAUUAUGUGACUCCUACAUAUAUAAGUUGUUGUAGUAUUUUCAAAUGGCGGCACAGACAACUUCGAAACAAGAAACGAAGCAAGGCUUCUAUCACUUAUCGGUAAUGCUAUUUAAACAUGUUUUUACUUUCAACAAAAUAGAAAAUCUACCAUGAUGGAUAAAAACGGUUAAUAAAUGUACCAAAUUGUCCAAUUUCUAUAGGUAAGUUGCUAUCUGAGGUGCAUAUAGAUGCACAUACUACCCUCGAAGCAUGAAAUGGUGGAAAUGAUGUCGGAAUAUGUCGAUGAUGCUUCAUUAAUAGGUUUUCAGUUUUCAACGAAAUGAAAAUCUAUAGUGAUGGAUCAAAAGGGAACAAAAUUGUUGAUGGAAUUAAAUGAUUACUAGUUAUAAGUUGUUAUUUGAGAUCCGUAUAUGGUCAAACAUACAACUUCCGAAGCUUGAAAGGAAGAAAUGGCGGUGGAAUUUCUAAGUGAUGCUAUUUAAGUAAGUUUUCUUUUUAGCGAAUAAAAAAUCUACGGUAACGGAUCAAAAGUUUAUGUAAAGGUGCUAAACAUGAAUAAUUUAUUUGGAUAAGCUGUUCCAUGACUUUCAUAUGACGGUCGAGACUACUAUCGAAGAAUUGAAUGAUUGAAAGGCUGUUAUAAUGUGUCGAAUGUCCUAUUUAAAUGAGUUCUAUGAUUCGAAGGAGGAGAAAAUGUAAAGUAAGAAAUCAAAAGGUUAUGUAAAACUACUAAAAAUUAUGUGACUCCUACAUAUACAAGUUGUUGUAGGAUUUUCAAAUGGCGGCACAGACAACUUCGAAACAAGAAACGAAGCAAGGCUUCUAUCACUUAUCGGUAAUGCUAUUUAAACAUGUUUUUAGUUUCACACAAAUAGAAAAUCUACCAUGAUGGAUAAAAAACGGUUAAUAAAUGUACCAAAUUGUCCAAUUUCUAUAGGUAAGUUGCUAUCUCAGGUGCAUAUAGAUGCACAUACUACCCUCGAAGCAUGAAAUGGUGGAAAUGAUUUCGGAAUAUGUCGAUGAUGCUUCAUUAAUAGGUUUUCAGUUUUCAACGAAAUGAAAAUCUAUAGUGAUUGAUCAAAAGGGAACAAAAUUGGUGAUGGAAUUAAAUGAUUACUAGUUAUAAGUUGUUAUUUGAGAUCCGUAUAUGGUCAAACAUACAACUUCCGAAGCCUGAAAGGAAGAAAUGCCGGUGGAAUUUCUAAAUGAUGCUAUUUAAGUAAGUUUUCUUUUUAGCGUAUAAAAAAUCUACGGUAACGGAUCAAAAGUUGAUGUAAAGGUGCUAAACAUGAAUAAUUUAUUCUGAUAAGCUGUUCCAUGACUUCCAUACGACAGUCGAGACUACUAUCGAAGAAUUGAAUGAUUGAAAGGCUGUUAUAAUGUGUCGAAUGUCCUAUUUAAAUCAGUUCUAUGAUUCGAAGGAGGAGAAAAAUGUAAAGUAAUAAAUCAAAAGGUUAUGUAAAACUACUAAAAAUUAUGUGAUUCCUACAUAUAUAAGUUGUUGUAGGAUUUUCAAAUGGCGGCACAGACAACUUCGAAACAAGAAAUGAAGCAAGGCUUCUAUCACUUAUCGGUAAUGCUAUUUAAACAUGUUUUCAGUUUUGCAAAAAUAGAAAAUCUACCUUGAUGGAUAAAAACGGUUAAUAAAUGUACCAAAUUGUCCAAUUUCUAUAGGUAAGUUGCUAUCUGAGGUGCAUAUAGAUGCACAGACUACCCUCGAAGCAUGAAAUGGUGGAAAUGAUUUCGGAAUAUGUCGAUGAUGCUUCAUUAAUAGGUUUUCAGUUUUCAACGAAAUGAAAAUCUAUAGUGAUGGAUCAAAAGGGAACAAAAUUGGUGAUGGAAUUAAAUGAUUACUAGUUAUAAGUUGUUAUUUGAGAUCCAUAUACGGUCAAACAUACAACUUCCGAAACUUGAAAAGAAGAAAUGCCGGUGGAAUUUCUAAAUGAUGCUAUUUAAGUAAGUUUUCUUUUUAGCGAAUAAAAAAGCUAUGGUAACGGAUCAAAAGUUUAUGUAAAGGUGCUAAACAUGAAUAAUUUAUUUGGAUAAGCUGUUCCAUGACUUCCAUACGACAGUCGAGACUACUAUCGAAGAAUUGAAUGAUUGAAAGGCUGUUAUAAUGUGUCGAAUGUCCUAUUUAAAUCAGUUCUAUGAUUCGAAGGAGGAGAAAAAUGUAAAGUAAUAAAUCAAAAGGUUAUGUAAAACUACUAAAAAUUAUGUGAUUCCUGCAUAUAUAAGUUGUUGUAUGAUUUUCAAAUGGCGGCACAGACAACUUCGAAACAAGAAAUGAAGCAAGGCUUCUAUCACUUAUCGGUAAUGCUAUUUAAACAUGUUUUCAGUUUUGCAAAAAUAGAAAAUCUACCUUGAUGGAUAAAAACGGUUAAUAAAUGUACCAAAUUGUCCAAUUUCUAUAGGUAAGUUGCUAUCUGAGGUGCAUAUAGAUGCACAGACUACCCUCGAAGCAUGAAAUGGUGGAAAUGAUUUCGGAAUAUGUCGAUGAUGCUUCAUUAAUAGGUUUUCAGUUUUCAACGAAAUGAAAAUCUAUAGUGAUGGAUCAAAAGGGAACAAAAUUGGUGAUGGAAUUAAAUGAUUACUAGUUAUAAGUUGUUAUUUGAGAUCCAUAUACGGUCAAACAUACAACUUCCGAAACUUGAAAAGAAGAAAUGCCGGUGGAAUUUCUAAAUGAUGCUAUUUAAGUAAGUUUUCUUUUUAGCGAAUAAAAAAUCUAUGGUAACGGAUCAAAAGUUUAUGUAAAGGUGCUAAACAUGAAUAAUUUAUUUGGAUAAGCUGUUCCAUGACUUCCAUACGACAGUCGAGACUACUAUCGAAGAAUUGAAUGAUUGAAAGGCUGUUAUAAUGUGUCGAAUGUCCUAUUUAAAUCAGUUCUAUGAUUCGAAGGAGGAGAAAAAUGUAAAGUAAUAAAUCAAAAGGUUAUGUAAAACUACUAAAAAUUAUGUGAUUCCUGCAUAUAUAAGUUGUUGUAUGAUUUUCAAAUGGCGGCACAGACAACUUCGAAACAAGAAAUGAAGCAAGGCUUCUAUCACUUUUCGGUAAUGCUAUUUAAACAUGUUUUCAGUUUUGCAAAAAUAGAAAAUCUACCUUGAUGGAUAAAAACGGUUAAUAAAUGUACCAAAUUGUCCAAUUUCUAUAGGUAAGUUGCUAUCUGAGGUGCAUAUAGAUGCACAGACUACCCUCGAAGCAUGAAAUGGUGGAAAUGAUUUCGGAAUAUGUCGAUGAUGCUUCAUUAAUAGGUUUUCAGUUUUCAACGAAAUGAAAAUCUAUAGUGAUGGAUCAAAAGGGAACAAAAUUGGUGAUGGAAUUAAAUGAUUACUAGUUAUAAGUUGUUAUUUGAGAUCCAUAUACGGUCAAACAUACAACUUCCGAAGCUUGAAAAGAAGAAAUGCCGGUGGAAUUUCUAAAUGAUGCUAUUUAAGUAAGUUUUCUUUUUAGCGAAUAAAAAAUCUACGGUAACGGAUCAAAAGUUUAUGUAAAGGUGCUAAACAUGAAUAAUUUAUUUGGAUAAGCUGUUCCAUGACUUCCAUAUGAUGGUCGAGACUACUAUCGAAGAAUUGAAUGAUUGAAAGGCUGUUAUAAUGUGUCGAAUGUCCUAUUUAAAUGAGUUCUAUGAUUCGAAGGAGGAGAAAAUGUAAAGUAAUAAAUCAAAAGGUUAGGUAAAACUACUAAAAAUUAUGUGACUCCUACAUAUAUAAGUUGUUGUAGGAUUUUCAAAUGGCGGCACACACAACUUCGAAACAAGAAACGAAGCAAGGCUUCUAUCACUUAUCGGUAAUGCUAUUUAAACAUGUUUUUAGUUUCACAAAAAUAGAAAAUCUACCAUGAUGGAUAAAAACGGUUAAUAAAUGUACCAAAUUGUCCAAUUUCUAUAGGUAAGUUGCUAUCUGAGGUGCAUAUAGAUGCAAGGACUACCCUCGAAGCAUGAAAUGGUGGAAAUGAUUUCGGAAUAUGUCGAUGAUGCUUCAUUAAUAGGUUUUCUGUUUUCAACGAAAUGAAAAUCUAUAGUGAUGGAUCAAAAUGGAACAAAAUUGGUGAUGGAAUUAAAUGAUUACUAGUUAUAAGUUGUUAUUUGAGAUCCAUAUAUGGUCAAACAUACAACUUCCGAAGCUUGAAAGGAAGAAAUGCCGGUGGAAUUUCUAAAUGAUGCUAUUUAAGUAAGUUUUCUUUUUAGCGAAUAAAAAAUCUACGGUAACGGAUCAAAAGUUUAUGUAAAGGUUCUAAACAUGAAUAAUUUAUUUGGAUAAGCUGUUCUAUGACUUCCAUACGACGGUCGACACUACUAUCGAAGAAUUGAAUGAUUGAAAGGCUGUUAUAAUGUGUCGAAUGUCCUAUUUAAAUGAGUUCUAUGAUUCGAAGGAGGAGAAAAUGUAAAGUAAGAAAUCAAAAGGUUAUGUAAAACUACUAAAAAUUAUGUGACUCCUACAUAUACAAGUUGUUGUAGGAUUUUCAAAUGGCGGCACAGACAACUUCGAAACAAGAAACGAAGCAAGGCUUCUAUCACUUACCGGUAAUGCUAUUUAAACAUGUUUUUACUUUCACAAAAAUAGAAAAUCUACCAUGAUGGAUAAAAACGGUUAAUAAAUGUACCAAAUUGUCUAAUUUCUAUAGGUAAGUUGCUAUCUGAGGUGCACAUAGAUGCACAGACUACCCUCGAAGCAUGAAAUGGUGGAAAUGAUGUCGGAAUAUGUCGAUGAUGCUUCAUUAAUAGGUUUUCAGUUUUCAAUGAAAUGAAAACCUAUAGUGAUGGAUCAAAAGGGAGCAAAAUUGUUGAUGGAAUUACAUGAUUACUAGUUAUAAGUUGUUAUUUGAGAUCCGUAUAUGGUCAAACAUACAACUUCCGAAGCCUGAAAGGAAGAAAUGCCGGUGGAAUUUCUAAAUGAUGCUAUUUAAGUAAGUUUUCUUUUUAGCGUAUAAAAAAUCUACGGUAACGGAUCAAAAGUUUAUGUAAUGGUGCUAAACAUCAAUAAUUUAUUUGGAUGAGCUGUUCUAUGACUUCCAGACGACGGUCGAGACUACUAUCGAAGAAUUGAAUGAUUGAAAGGCUGUUAUAAUGUGUCGAAUGUCCUAUUUAAAUGAGUUCUAUGAUUCGAAGGAGGAGAAAAUGUAAAGUAAUAAAUCAAAAGGUUAUGUAAAACUACUAAAAAUUAUGUGACUCCUACAUAUACAAGUUGUUGUAGGAUUUUCAAAUGGCGGCACAGACAACUUCGAAACAAGAAACGAAGCAAGCUUCUAUCACUUAUCGGUAAUGCUAUUUAAACAUGUUUUUACUUUCACAAAAAUAGAAAAUCUACCAUGAUGGAUAAAAACGGUUAAUAAAUGUACCAAAUUGUCUAAUUUCUAUAGGUAAGUUGCUAUCUGAGGUGCACAUAGAUGCACAGACUACCCUCGAAGCAUGAAAUGGUGGAAAUGAUGUCGGAAUAUGUCGAUGAUGCUUCAUUAAUAGGUUUUCAGUUUUCAAUGAAAUGAAAAUCUAUAGUGAUGGAUCAAAAGGGAACAAAAUUGUUGAUGGCAUUAAAUGAUUACUAGUUAUAAGUUGUUAUUUGAGAUCCGUAUAUGGUCAAACAUACAACUUCCGAAGCCUGAAAGGAAGAAAUGCCGGUGGAAUUUCUAAAUGAUGCUAUUUAAGUAAGUUUUCUUUUUAGCGUAUAAAAAAUCUACGGUAACGGAACAAAAGUUUAUGUAAUGGUGCUAAACAUGAAUAAUUUAUUUGGCUGAGCUGUUCUAUGACUUCCAUACGACGGUCGAGACUACUAUCGAAGAAUUGAAUGAUUGAAAGGCUGUUAUAAUGUGUCGAAUGUCCUAUUUAAAUGAGUUCUAUUAUUCGAAGGAGGAGAAAAUGUAAAGUAAUAAAUCAAAAGGUUAUGUAAAACUACUAAAAAUUAUGUGACUCCUACAUAUACAAGUUGUUGUAGGAUUUUCAAAUGGCGGCACAGACAACUUCGAAACAAGAAACGAACCAAGGCUUCUAUCACUUACCGGUAAUGCUAUUUAAACAUGUUUUUAAUUUCACAAAAAUAGAAAAUCUACCAUGAUGGAUAAAAACGGUUAAUAAAUGUACCAAAUUGUCUAAUUUCUAUAGGUAAGUUGCUAUCUGAGGUGCAUAUAGAUGCACAGACUACCCUCGAAGCAUGAAAUGGUGGAAAUGAUGUCGGAAUAUGUCGAUGAUGCUUCAUUAAUAGGUUUUCAGUUUUCAAUGAAAUGAAAACCUAUAGUGAUGGAUCAAAAGGGAACAAAAUUGUUGAUGGAAUUAAAUGAUUACUAGUUAUAAGUUGUUAUUUGAGAUCCGUAUAUGGUCAAACAUACAACUUCCGAAGCCUGAAAGGAAGAAAUGCCGGUGGAAUUUCUAAAUGAUGCUAUUUAAGUAAGUUUUCUUUUUAGCGUAUAAAAAAUCUACGGUAACGGAUCAAAAGUUUAUGUAAUGGUGCUAAACAUGAAUAAUUUAUUUGGAUAAGCUGUUCUAUGACUUCCAUACGACGGUCGAGACUACUAUCGAAGAAUUGAAUGAUUGAAAGGCUGUUAUAAUGUGUCGAAUGUCCUAUUUAAAUGAGUUCUAUGAUUUGAAGGAGGAGAAAAUGUAAAGUAAUAAAUCAAAAGGUUAUGUAAAACUACUAAAAAUUAUGUGACUCCUACAUAUAUAAGUUGUUGUAGGAUUUUCAAAUGGCGGCACAGACAACUUCGAAACAAGAAACGAAGCAAGGCUUCUAUCACUUAUUGGUAAUGCUAUUUAAACAUGUUUUUAGUUUCACAAAAUUAGAAAAUCUACCUGAUGGAUAAAAAACGGUUAAUAAAUGUACAAAAUUGUCCAAUUUCUAUAGGUAAGUUGCUAUCUGAGGUGCAUAUAGAUGCACAGACUACCCUCGACGCAUGAAAUGGUGGAAAUGAUUUCGGAAUAUGUCGAUGAUGCUUCAUUAAUAGGUUUUCUGUUUUCAACGAAAUGAAAAUCUAUAGUGAUGGAUCAAAAGGGAACAAAAUUGGUGAUGGAAUUAAAUGAUUACUAGUUAUAAGUUGUUAUUUGAGAUCCAUAUAUGGUCAAACAUACAACUUCCGAAGCUUGAAAGGAAGAAUGCCGGUGGAAUUUCUAAAAGAUUCUGUUUAAGUAAGUUUUCUUUUUAGCGUAUAAAAAAUCUACGGUAACGGAUCAAAAGUUUAUGUAAAGGUGCUAAACAUGAAUAAUUUAUUUGGAUAAGCUGUUCUAUGACUUCCAUACGAAGGUCGAGACUACUAUCGAAGAAUUGAAUGAUUGAAAGGCUGUUAUAAUGUGUCGAAUGUCCUAUUUAAAUGAGUUCUAUGAUUUGAAGGAGGGGAAAAUGUAAAGUAAUAAAUCAAAAGGUUAGGUAAAACUACUAAAAAUUAUGUGACUCCUACAUAUAUAAGUUGUUGUAGGAUUUUCAAAUGGCGGCACAGACAACUUCGAAACAAGAAACGAAGCAAGGCUUCUAUCACUUAUUGGUAAUGCUAUUUAAACAUGUUUUUAGUUUCACAAAAUUAGAAAAUCGACCAUGUUGGAUAAAAACGGUUAAUAAAUGUGCAAAAUUGUCUAAUUUCUAUAGGUAAGUUGCUAUCUGAGGUGCAUAUAGAUGCACAGACUACCCUCGAAGCAUGAAAUGGUGGAAAUGAUGUCGGAAUAUGUCGAUGAUGCUUCAUUAAUAGGUUUUCAGUUUUCAAUGAAAUGAAAAUCUAUAGUGAUGGAUCAAAAGGGAACAAAAUUGUUUAUGCAAUUAAAUGAUUACUAGUUAUAAGUUGUUAUUUGAGAUCCGUAUAUGGUCACACAUACAACUUCCGAAGCCUGAAAGGAAGAAAUGCCGGUGGAAUUUCUAAAUGAUGCUAUUUAAGUAAGUUUUCUUUUUAGCGUAUAAAAAAUCUAUGGUAACGGAUCAAAAGUUUAUGUAAUGGUGCUAAACAUGAAUAAUUUAUUUGGAUGAGCUGUUCUAUGACUUCCAUACGACGGUCGAGACUACUAUCGAAGAAUUGAAUGAUUGAAAGGCUGUUAUAAUGUGUCGAAUGUCCUAUUUAAAUGAGUUCUAUGAUUUGAAGGAGGAGAAAAUGUAAAGUAAUAAAUCAAAAGGUUAUGUAAAACUACUAAAAAUUAUGUGACUCCUACAUAUAUAAGUUGUUGUAGGAUUUUCAAAUGGCGGCACAGACAACUUCGAAACAAGAAACUAAGCAAGGCUUCUAUCACUUAUCGGUAAUGCUAUUUAAACAUGUUUUUACUUUCACAAAAAUAGAAAAUCUACCAUGAUGGAUAAAAACGGUUAAUAAAUGUACCAAAUUGUCUAAUUUCUAUAGGUAAGUUGCUAUCUGAGGUGCAUAUAGAUGCACAGACUACGCUCGAAGCAUGAAAUGGUGGAAAUGAUGUCGGAAUAUGUCGAUGAUGCUUCAUUAAUAGGUUUUCAGUUUUCAAUGAAAUGAAAAUCUAUAGUGAUGGAUCAAAAGGGAACAAAAUUGGUGAUGGAAUUAAAUGAUUACUAGUUAUAAGUUGUUAUUUGAGAUCCGUAUAUGUUCAAACAUACAACUUCCGAAGCCUGAAAGGAAGAAAUGCCGGUGGAAUUUCUAAAUGAUGCUAUUUAAGUAAGUUUUCUUUUUAGCGUAUAAAAAAUCUACGGUAACGGAUCAAAAGUUUAUGUAAUGGUGCUAAACAUGAGUAAUUUAUUUGGAUAAGCUGUUCUAUGACUUCCAUACGACGGUCGAGACUACUAUCGAAGAAUUGAAUGAUUGAAAGGCUGUUAUAAUGUGUCGAAUGUCCUAUUUAAAUGAGUUCUAUGAUUCGAAGGAGGAGAAAAUGUAAAGUAAUAAAUCAAAAGGUUAUGUAAAACUACUAAAAAUUAUGUGACUCCUACAUAUACAAGUUGUUGUAGGAUUUUCAAAUGGCGGCACAGACAACUUCGAAACAAGAAACGAAGCAAGGGUUCUAUCACUUAUCGGUAAUGCUAUUUAAACAUGUUUUUAGUUUCACAAAAUUAGAAAAUCUACCAUGAUGGAUAAAAACGGUUAAUAAAUGUACCAAAUUGUCUAAUUUCUAUAGGUAAGUUGCUAUCUGAGGUGCAUAUAGAUGCACAGACUACCCUCGAAGCAUGAAAUGGUGGAAAUGAUUUCGGAAUAUGUCGAUGAUGCUUCAUUAAUAGGUUUUCUGUUUUCAAAAAAUGAAAAUCUAUAGUGAUGGAUCAAAAGGGAACAAAAUUGUUGAUGGAAUUAAAUGAUUACUAGUUAUAAGUUGUUAUUUGAGAUCCGUAUAUGGUCAAACAUACAACUUCCGAAGCCUGAAAGGAAGAAAUGCCGGUGGAAUUUCUAAAUGAUGCUAUUUAAGUAAGUUUUCUUUUUAGCGUAUAAAAAAUCUACGGUAACGGAACAAAAGUUUAUGUAAUGGUGCCAGACAUGAAUAAUUUAUUUGGAUGAGCUGUUCUAUGACUUCCAUACGACGGUCGAGACUACUAUCGAAGAAUUGAAUGAUUGAAAGGCUGUUAUAAUGUGUCGAAUGUCCUAUUUAAAUGAGUUCUAUGAUUCGAAGGAGGAGAAAAUGUAAAGUAAGAAAUCAAAAGGUUAUGUAAAACUACUAAAAAUUAUGUGACUCCUACAUAUACAAGUUGUUGUAGGAUUUUCAAAUGGCGGCACAGACAACUUCGAAACAAGAAACGAAGCAAGGCUUCUAUCACUUAUCGGUAAUGCUAUUUAAACAUGUUUUUAGUUUCACAAAAAUAGAAAAUCUACCAUGAUGGAUAAAAACGGUUAAUAAAUGUACCAAAUUGUCUAAUUUCUAUAGGUAAGUUGCUAUCUGAGGUGCAUAUAGAUGCACAGACUACCCUCGAAGCAUGAAAUGGUGGAAAUGAUUUCGGAAUAUGUCGAUGAUGCUUCAUUAAUAGGUUUUCUGUUUUCAAAAAAUGAAAAUCUAUAGUGAUGGAUCAAAAGGGAACAAAAUUGUUGAUGGAAUUAAAUGAUUACUAGUUAUAAGUUGUUAUUUGAGAUCCGUAUAUGGUCAAACAUACAACUUCCGAAGCCUGAAAGGAAGAAAUGCCGGUGGAAUUUCUAAAUGAUGCUAUUUAAGUAAGUUUUCUUUUUAGCGUAUAAAAAAUCUACGGUAACGGAAAAAAAGUUUAUGUAAUGGUGCCAGACAUGAAUAAUUUAUUUGGAUGAGCUGUUCUAUGACUUCCAUACGACGGUCGAGACUACUAUCGAAGAAUUGAAUGAUUGAAAGGCUGUUAUAAUGUGUCGAAUGUCCUAUUUAAAUGAGUUCUAUGAUUCGAAGGAGGAGAAAAUGUAAAGUAAGAAAUCAAAAGGUUAUGUAAAACUACUAAAAAUUAUGUGACUCCUACAUAUACAAGUUGUUGUAGGAUUUUCAAAUGGCGGCACAGACAACUUCGAAACAAGAAACGAAGCAAGGCUUCUAUCACUUAUCGGUAAUGCUAUUUAAACAUGUUUUUAGUUUCACAAAAAUAGAAAAUCUACCAUGAUGGAUAAAAACGGUUAAUAAAUGUACCAAAUUGUCUAAUUUCUAUAGGUAAGUUGCUAUCUGAGGUGCAUAUAGAUGCACAGACUACCCUCGAAGCAUGAAAUGGUGGAAAUGUUGUCGGAAUAUGUCGAUGAUGCUUCAUUAAUAGGUUUUCUGUUUUCAAAGAAAUGAAAAUCUAUAGUGAUGGAUCAAAAGGGAACAAAAUUGUUGAUGGAAUUAAAUGAUUACUAGUUAUAAGUUGUUAUUUGAGAUCCGUAUAUGUUCAAACAUACAACUUCCGAAGCCUGAAAGGAAGAAAUGCCGGUGGAAUUUCUAAAUGAUGCUAUUUAAGUAAGUUUUCUUUUUAGCGUAUAAAAAAUCUACAGUAACGGAACAAAAGUUUAUGUAAUGGUGCUAAACAUGAAUAAUUUAUUUGGAUGAGCUGUUCUAUGACUUCCAUACGACGGUCGAGACUACUAUCGAAGAAUUGAAUGAUUGAAAGGCUGUUAUAAUGUGUCGAAUGUCCUAUUUAAAUGAGUUCUAUUAUUCGAAGGAGGAGAAAAUGUAAAGUAAUAAAUCAAAAGGUUAUGUAAAACUACUAAAAAUUAUGUGACUCCUACAUAUACAAGUUGUUGUAGGAUUUUCAAAUGGCGGCACAGACAACUUCGAAACAAGAAACGAAGCAAGGCUUCUAUCACUUAUCGGUAAUGCUAUUUAAACAUGUUUUUAGUUUCACAAAAAUAGAAAAUCUACCAUGAUGGAUAAAAACGGUUAAUAAAUGUACCAAAUUGUCUAAUUUCUAUAGGUAAGUUGCUAUCUGAGGUGCAUAUAGAUGCACAGACUACCCUCGAAGCAUGAAAUGGUGGAAAUGUUGUCGGAAUAUGUCGAUGAUGCUUCAUUAAUAGGUUUUCUGUUUUCAAAUAAAUGAAAAUCUAUAGUGAUGGAUCAAAAGGGAACAAAAUUGUUGAUGGAAUUAAAUGAUUACUAGUUAUAAGUUGUUAUUUGAGAUCCGUAUAUGGUCAAACAUACAACUUCCGAAGCCUGAAAGGAAGAAAUGCCGGUGGAAUUUCUAAAUGAUGCUAUUUAAGUAAGUUUUCUUUUUAGCGUAUAAAAAAUCUACGGUAACGGAACAAAAGUUUAUGUAAUUGUGCUAGACAUGAAUAAUUUAUUUGGAUGAGCUGUUCUAUGACUUCCAUACGACGGUCGAGACUACUAUCGAAGAAUUGAAUGAUUGAAAGGCUGUUAUAAUGUGUCGAAUGUCCUAUUUAAAUGAGUUCUAUUAUUCGAAGGAGGAGAAAAUGUAAAGUAAUAAAUCAAAAGGUUAUGUAAAACUACUAAAAAUUAUGUGACUCCUACAUAUACAAGUUGUUGUAGGAUUUUCAAAUGGCGGCACAGACAACUUCGAAACAAGAAACGAAGCAAGGCUUCUAUCACUUAUCGGUAAUGCUAUUUAAACAUGUUUUUAGUUUCACAAAAAUAGAAAAUCUACCAUGAUGGAUAAAAACGGUUAAUAAAUGUACCAAAUUGUCUAAUUUCUAUAGGUAAGUUGCUAUCUGAGGUGCAUAUAGAUGCACAGACUACCCUCGAAGCAUGAAAUGGUGGAAAUGUUGUCGGAAUAUGUCGAUGAUGCUUCAUUAAUAGGUUUUCUGUUUUCAAAGAAAUGAAAAUCUAUAGUGAUGGAUCAAAAGGGAACAAAAUUGUUGAUGGAAUUAAAUGAUUACUAGUUAUAAGUUGUUAUUUGAGAUCCGUAUAUGGUCAAACAUACAACUUCCGAAGCCUCAAAGGAAGAAAUGCCGGUGGAAUUUCUAAAUGAUGCUAUUUAAGUAAGUUUUCUUUUUAGCGUAUAAAAAAUCUACGGUAACGGAUCAAAAGUUUAUGUAAUGGUGCUAAACAUGAAUAAUUUAUUUGGAUGAGCUGUUCUAUGACUUCCAUACGACGGUCGAGACUACUAUCGAAGAAUUGAAUGAUUGAAAGGCUGUUAUAAUGUGUCGAAUGUCCUAUUUAAAUGAGUUCUAUGAUUCGAAGGAGGAGCAAAUGUAAAGUAAGAAAUCAAAAGGUUAUGUAAAACUUCUAAAAAUUAUGUGACUCCUACAUAUACAAGUUGUUGUAGGAUUUUCAAAUGGCGGCACAGACAACUUCGAAACAAGAAACGAAGCAAGGCUUCUAUCACUUAUCGGUAAUGCUAUUUAAACAUGUUUUUACUUUCACAAAAAUAGAAAAUCUACCAUGAUGGAUAAAAACGGUUAAUAAAUGUACCAAAUUGUCUAAUUUCUAUAGGUAAGUUGCUAUCUGAGGUGCACAUAGAUGCACAGACUACCCUCGAAGCAUGAAAUGGUGGAAAUGUUGUCGGAAUAUGUCGAUGAUGCUUCAUUAAUAGGUUUUCUGUUUUCAACGAAAUGAAAAUCUAUAGUGAUGGAUCAAAAGGGAACAAAAUUGUUGAUGGAAUUAAAUGAUUACUAGUUAUAAGUUGUUAUUUGAGAUCCGUAUAUGGUCAAACAUACAACUUCCGAAGCCUGAAAGGAAGAAAUGCCGGUGGAAUUUCUAAAUGAUGCUAUUUAAGUAAGUUUUCUUUUUAGCGUAUAAAAAAUCUACGGUAACGAAUCAAAAGUUUAUGUAAUGGUGCUAAACAUGAAUAAUUUAUUUGGAUAAGCUGUUCUAUGACUUCCAUACGACGGUCGAGACUACUAUCGAAGAAUUGAAUGAUUGAAAGGCUGUUAUAAUGUGUCGAAUGUCCUAUUUAAAUGAGUUAUUUGAUUCGAAGGAGGAGAAAAUGUAAAGCAAGAAAUCAAAAGGUUAUGUAAAACUACUAAAAAUUAUGUGACUCCUACAUGUACAAGUUGUUGUAGGAUUUUCAAAUGGCGGCACAGACAACUUCGAAACAAGAAACGAAGCAAGGCUUCUAUCACUUAUCGGUAAUGCUAUUUAAACAUGUUUUCAGUUUCACAAAAAUAGAAAAUCUACCAUGAUGGAUAAAAACGGUUAAUAAAUGUACCAAAUUGUCUAAUUUCUAUAGGUAAGUUGCUAUCUGAGGUGCAUAUAGAUGCACAGACUACCCUCGAAACAUGAAAUGGUGGAAAUGAUGUCGGAAUAUGUCGAUGAUGCUUCAUUAAUAGGUUUUCUGUUUUCAACGAAAUGAAAAUCUAUAGUGAUGGAUCAAAAGGGAACAAAAUUGUUGAUGGAAUUAAAUGAUUACUAGUUAUAAGUUGUUAUUUGAGAUCCGUAUAUGGUCAAACAUACAACUUCCGAAGCCUGAAAGGAAGAAAUGCCGGUGGAAUUUCUAAAUGAUGCUAUUUAAGUAAGUUUUCUUUUUAGCGAAUAAAAAAUCUACGGUAACGGAUCAAAAGUUUAUGUAAAGGUGCUAAACAUGAAUAAUUUAUUUGGAUGAGCUGUUCUAUGACUUCCAUACGACGGUCGAGACUACUAUCGAAGAAUUGAAUGAUUGAAAGGCUGUUAUAAUGUGUCGAAUGUCCUAUUUAAAUGAGUUCUAUUAUUCGAAGGAGGAGAAAAUGUAAAGUAAUAAAUCAAAAGGUUAUGUAAAACUACUAAAAAUUAUGUGACUCCUACAUAUAUAAGUUGUUGUAGGAUUUUCAAAUGGCGGCACAGACAACUUCGAAACAAGAAACGAAGCAAGGCUUCUAUCACUUAUCGGUAAUGCUAUUUAAACAUGUUUUUAGUUUCACAAAAAUAGAAAAUCUACCAUGAUGGAUAAAAACGGUUAAUAAAUGUACCAAAUUGUCUAAUUUCUAUAGGUAAGUUGCUAUCUGAGGUGCAUAUAGAUGCACAGACUACCCUGGAAGCAUGAAAUGGUGGAAAUGUUGUCGGAAUAUGUCGAUGAUGCUUCAUUAAUAGGUUUUCUGUUUUCAACGAAAUGAAAAUCUAUAGUGAUGGGUCAAAAGGGAACAAAAUUGUUUAUGGAAUUAAAUGAUUACUAGUUAUAAGUUGUUAUUUGAGAUCCGUAUAUGGUCAAACAUACAACUUCCGAAGCCUGAAAGGAAGAAAUGCCGGUGGAAUUUCUAAAUGAUGCUAUUUAAGUAAGUUUUCUUUUUAGCGAAUAAAAAAUCUACGGUAACGGAUCAAAAGUUUAUGUAAAGGUGCUAAACAUGAAUAAUUUAUUUGGAUAAGCUGUUCUAUGACUUCCAUACGACGGUCGAGACUACUAUCGAAGAAUUGAAUGAUUGAAAGGCUGUUAUAAUGUGUCGAAUUUCCUAUUUAAAUGAGUUCAAUGAUUCGAAGGAGGAGAAAAUGUAAAGUAAGAAAUCAAAAGGUUAUGUAAAACUAAUAAAAAUUAUGUGACUCCUACAUAUAUAAGUUGUUGUAGGAUUUUCAAAUGGCGGCACAGACAACUUCGAAACAAGAAACGAAGCAAGGCUUCUAUCACUUAUCGGUAAUGCUAUUUAAACAUGUUUUAAGUUUCACAAAAAUAGAAAAUCUACCAUGAUGGAUAAAAACGGUUAAUAAAUGUACCAAAUUGUCCAAUUUCUAUAGGUAAGUUGCUAUCUGAGGUGCAUAUAGAUGCACAGACUACCCUCGAAGCAUGAAAUGGUGGAAAUGAUUUCGGAAUAUGUCGAUGAUGGUUCAUUAAUAGGUUUUCUGUUUUCAACAAACUGAAAAUCUAUAGUGAUGGAUCAAAAGGGAACAAAAUUGUUUAUGGAAUUAAAUGAUUACUAGUUAUAAGUUGUUAUUUCAGAUCCGUAUAUGGUCAAACAUACAACUUCCGAAGCCUGAAAGGAAGAAAUGCCGGUGGAAUUUCUAAAUGAUGCUAUUUAAGUAAGUUUUCUUUUUAGCGAAUAAAAAAUCUGCGGUAACGGAUCAAAAGUUUAUGUAAUGGUGCUAAACAUGAAUAAUUUAUUUGGAUAAGCUGUUCUAUGACUUCCAUACGACGGUCGAGACUACUAUCGAAGAAUUGAAUGAUUGAAAGGCUGUUAUAAUGUGUCGAAUGUCCUAUUUAAAUGAGUUCUAUGAUUCGAAGGAGGAGAAAAUGUAAAGUAAGAAAUCAAAAGGUUAUGUAAAACUACUAAAAAUUAUGUGACUCCUACAUAUACAAGUUGUUGUAGGAUUCUCAAAUGGCGGCACAGACAACUUCGAAACAAGAAACGAAGCAAGGCUUCUAUCACUUAUCGGUAAUGCUAUUUAAACAUGUUUUAAGUUUCACAAAAAUAGAAAAUCUACCAUGAUGGAUAAAAACGGUUAAUAAAUGUACCAAAUUGUCUAAUUUCUAUAGGUAAGUUGCUAUCUGAGGUGCAUAUAGAUGCACAGACUACCCUCGAAGCAUGAAAUGGUGGAAAUGAUGUCGGAAUAUGUCGAUGAUGCUUCAGUAAUAGGUUUUCAGUUUUCAAUGAAAUGAAAAUCUGUAGUGAUGGAUCAAAAGGGAACAAAAUUGUUGAUGGAAUUAAAUGGUUACUAGUUAUAAGUUGUUAUUUGAGAUCCGUAUAUGGUCAAACAUACAACUUCCGAAGCCUGAAAGGAAGAAAUGCCGGUGGAAUUUCUAAAUGAUGCUAUUUAAGUAAGUUUUCUAUUUAGCGAAUAAAAAAUCUACGGUAACGGAUCAAAAGUUUAUGUAAAGGUGCUAAACAUGAAUAAUUUAUUUGGAUAAGCUGUUCUAUGACUUCCAUACGACGGUCGAGACUACUAUCGAAGAAUUGAAUGAUUGAAAGGCUGUUAUAAUGUGUCGAAUGUCCUAUUUAAAUGAGUUCUAUGAUUCGAAGGAGGAGAAAAUGUAAAGUAAGAAAUCAAAAGGUUAUGUAAAACUACUAAAAAUUAUGUGACUCCUACAUAUACAAGUUGUUGUAGGAUUCUCAAAUGGCGGCACAGACAACUUCGAAACAAGAAACGAAGCAAGGCUUCUAUCACUUAUCGGUAAUGCUAUUUAAACAUGUUUUAAGUUUCACAAAAAUAGAAAAUCUACCAUGAUGGAUAAAAACGGUUAAUAAAUGUACCAAAUUGUCUAAUUUCUAUAGGUAAGUUGCUAUCUGAGGUGCAUAUAGAUGCACAGACUACCCUCGAAGCAUGAAAUGGUGGAAAUGAUGUCGGAAUAUGUCGAUGAUGCUUCAGUAAUAGGUUUUCAGUUUUCAAUGAAAUGAAAAUCUGUAGUGAUGGAUCAAAAGGGAACAAAAUUGUUGAUGGAAUUAAAUGGUUNNNNNNNNNNUACAAGUUGUUGUAGGAUUUUCAAAUGGCGGCACAGACAACUUCGAAACAAGAAACGAAGCAAGGCUUCUAUCACUUAUCGGUAAUGCUAUUUAAACAUGUUUUCAGUUUCACAAAAAUAGAAAAUCUACCAUGAUGGAUAAAAACGGUUAAUAAAUGUACCAAAUUGUCUAAUUUCUAUAGGUAAGUUGCUAUCUGAGGUGCAUAUAGAUGCACAGACUACCCUCGAAACAUGAAAUGGUGGAAAUGAUGUCGGAAUAUGUCGAUGAUGCUUCAUUAAUAGGUUUUCUGUUUUCAACGAAAUGAAAAUCUAUAGUGAUGGAUCAAAAGGGAACAAAAUUGUUGAUGGAAUUAAAUGAUUACUAGUUAUAAGUUGUUAUUUGAGAUCCGUAUAUGGUCAAACAUACAACUUCCGAAGCCUGAAAGGAAGAAAUGCCGGUGGAAUUUCUAAAUGAUGCUAUUUAAGUAAGUUUUCUUUUUAGCGAAUAAAAAAUCUACGGUAACGGAUCAAAAGUUUAUGUAAAGGUGCUAAACAUGAAUAAUUUAUUUGGAUAAGCUGUUCUAUGACUUCCAUACGACGGUCGAGACUACUAUCGAAGAAUUGAAUGAUUGAAAGGCUGUUAUAAUGUGUCGAAUGUCCUAUUUAAAUGAGUUCUAUGAUUCGAAGGAGGAGAAAAUGUAAAGUAAGAAAUCAAAAGGUUAUGUAAAACUACUAAAAAUUAUGUGACUCCUACAUAUACAAGUUGUUGUAGGAUUCUCAAAUGGCGGCACAGACAACUUCGAAACAAGAAACGAAGCAAGGCUUCUAUCACUUAUCGGUAAUGCUAUUUAAACAUGUUUUAAGUUUCACAAAAAUAGAAAAUCUACCAUGAUGGAUAAAAACGGUUAAUAAAUGUACCAAAUUGUCUAAUUUCUAUAGGUAAGUUGCUAUCUGAGGUGCAUAUAGAUGCACAGACUACCCUCGAAGCAUGAAAUGGUGGAAAUGAUGUCGGAAUAUGUCGAUGAUGCUUCAGUAAUAGGUUUUCAGUUUUCAAUGAAAUGAAAAUCUGUAGUGAUGGAUCAAAAGGGAACAAAAUUGUUGAUGGAAUUAAAUGGUUUCUAGUUAUAAGUUGUUAUUUGAGAUCCGUAUAUGGUCAAACAUACAACUUCCGAAGCCUGAAAGGAAGAAAUGCCGGUGGAAUUUCUAAAUGAUGCUAUUUAAGUAAGUUUUCUUUUUAGCGUAUAAAAAAUCUACGGGAACGGAUCAAAAGUUUAUGUAAUGGUGCUAAACAUGAAUAAUUUAUUUGGAUAAGCUGUUCUAUGACUUCCAUACGACGGUCGAGACUACUAUCGAAGAAUUGAAUGAUUGAAAGGCAGUUAUAAUGUGUCGAAUGUCCUAUUUAAAUGAGUUCUAUGAUUUGAAGGAGGAGAAAAUGUAAAGUAAUAAAUCAAAAGGUUAUGUAAAACUACUAAAAAUUAUGUGACUCCUGCAUAUAUAAGUUGUUGUAGGAUUUUCAAAUGGCGGCACAGACAACUUCGAAACAAGAAACGAAGCAAGGCUUCUAUCACUUAUCGGUAAUGCUAUUUAAACAUGUUUUUAGUUUCACAAAAAUAGAAAAUCUACCAUGAUGGAUAAAUAUGGUUAAUAAAUGUACCAAAUUGUAUAAUUUCUAUAGGUAAGUUGCUAUCUGAGGUGCAUAUAGAUGCACAGACUACCCUCGAAGCAUGAAAUGGUGGAAAUGAUGUCGGAAUAUGUCGAUGAUGCUUCAUUAAUAGGUUUUCUGUUUUCAACGAAAUGAAAAUCUAUAGUGAUGGAUCAAAAGGGAACAAAAUUGUUGAUGGAAUUAAAUGAUUACUAGUUAUAAGUUGUUAUUUGAGAUCCGUAUAUGGUCAAACAUACAACUUCCGAAGCCUGAAAGGAAGAAAUGCCGGUGGAAUUUCUAAAUGAUGCUAUUUAAGUAAGUUUUCUAUUUAGCGAAUAAAAAAUCUACGGUAACGGAUCAAAAGUUUAUGUAAAGGUGCUAAACAUGAAUAAUUUAUUUGGAUAAGCUGUUCUAUGACUUCCAUACGACGGUCGAGACUACUAUCGAAGAAUUGAAUGAUUGAAAGGCUGUUAUAAUGUGUCGAAUGUCCUAUUUAAAUGAGUUCUAUGAUUCGAAGGAGGAGAAAAUGUAAAGCAAGAAAUCAAAAGGUUAUGUAAAACUACUAAAAAUUAUGUGACUCCUACAUAUACAAGUUGUUGUAGGAUUUUCAAAUGGCGGCACAGACAACUUCGAAACAAGAAACGAAGCAAGGCUUCUAUCACUUAUCGGUAAUGCUAUUUAAACAUGUUUUCAGUUUCACAAAAAUAGAAAAUCUACCAUGAUGGAUAAAAACGGUUAAUAAAUGUACCAAAUUGUCUAAUUUCUAUAGGUAAGUUGCUAUCUGAGGUGCAUAUAGAUGCACAGACUACCCUCGAAACAUGAAAUGGUGGAAAUGAUGUCGGAAUAUGUCGAUGAUGCUUCAUUAAUAGGUUUUCUGUUUUCAACGAAAUGAAAAUCUAUAGUGAUGGAUCAAAAGGGAACAAAAUUGUUGAUGGAAUUAAAUGAUUACUAGUUAUAAGUUGUUAUUUGAGAUCCGUAUAUGGUCAAACAUACAACUUCCGAAGCCUGAAAGGAAGAAAUGCCGGUGGAAUUUCUAAAUGAUGCUAUUUAAGUAAGUUUUCUUUUUAGCGAAUAAAAAAUCUACGGUAACGGAUCAAAAGUUUAUGUAAAGGUGCUAAACAUGAAUAAUUUAUUUGGAUAAGCUGUUCUAUGACUUCCAUACGACGGUCGAGACUACUAUCGAAGAAUUGAAUGAUUAAAGGCUGUUAUAAUGUGUCGAAUGUCCUAUUUAAAUGAGUUCUAUGAUUCGAAGGAGGAGAAAAUGUAAAGUAAGAAAUCAAAAGGUUAUGUAAAACUACUAAAAAUUAUGUGACUCCUGCAUAUACAAGUUGUUGUAGGAUUUUCAAAUGGCGGCACAGACAACUUCGAAACAAGAAACGAAGCAAGGCUUCUAUCACUUAUCGGUAAUGCUAUUUAAACAUGUUUUUAGUUUCACAAAAAUAGAAAAUCUACCAUGAUGGAUAAAAACGGAUAAUAAAUGUACCAAAUUGUCUAAUUUCUAUAGGUAAGUUGCUAUCUGAGGUGCAUAUAGAUGCACAAACUACCCUCGAAGCAUGAAAUGGUGGAAAUGAUGUCGGAAUAUGUCGAUGAUGCUUCAUUAAUAGGUUUUCUGUUUUCAACGAAAUGAAAAUCUAUAGUGAUGGAUCAAAAGGGAACAAAAUUGUUGAUGGAAUUAAAUGAUUACUAGUUAUAAGUUGUUAUUUGAGAUCCGUAUAUGGUCAAACAUACAACUUCCGAUGCCUGAAAGGAAGAAAUGCCGGUGGAAUUUCUAAAUGAUGCUAUUUAAGUAAGUUUUCUAUUUAGCGAAUAAAAAAUCUACGGUAACGGAUCAAAAGUUUAUGUAAAGGUGCUAAACAUGAAUAAUUUAUUUGGAUAAGCUGUUCUAUGACUUCCAUACGACGGUCGAGACUACUAUCGAAGAAUUGAAUGAUUGAAAGGCUGUUAUAAUGUGUCGAAUGUCCUAUUUAAAUGAGUUCUAUGAUUCGAAGGAGGAGAAAAUGUAAAGUAAGAAAUCAAAAGGUUAUGUAAAACUACUAAAAAUUAUGUGACUCCUGCAUAUACAAGUUGUUGUAGGAUUUUCAAAUGGCGGCACAGACAACUUCGAAACAAGAAACGAAGCAAGGCUUCUAUCACUUAUCGGUAAUGCUAUUUAAACAUGUUUUUAGUUUCACAAAAAUAGAAAAUCUACCAUGAUGGAUAAAAACGGAUAAUAAAUGUACCAAAUUGUCUAAUUUCUAUAGGUAAGUUGCUAUCUGAGGUGCAUAUAGAUGCACAGACUACCCUCGAAGCAUGAAAUGGUGGAAAUGAUGUCGGAAUAUGUCGAUGAUGCUUCAUUAAUUGGUUUUCUGUUUUCAACGAAAUGAAAAUCUAUAGUGAUGGAUCAAAAGGGAACAAAAUUGGUGAUGGAAUUAAAUGAUUACUAGUUAUAAGUUGUUAUUUGACAUCCGUAUAUGGUCAAACAUACAACUUCCGAAGCCUGAAAGGAAGAAAUGCCGGUGGAAUUUCUAAAUGAUGCUAUUUAAGUAAGUUUUCUUUUUAGCGUAUAAAAAAUUACGGUAACGGAUCAAAAGUUUAUGUAAUGGUGCUAAACAUGAAUAAUUUAUUUGGAUAAGCUGUUCUAUGACUUCCAUACGACGGUCGAGACUAAUAUCGAAGAAUUGAAUGAUUGAAAGGCAGUUAUAAUGUGUCGAAUGUCCUAUUUAAAUGAGUUCUAUGAUUCGAAGGAGGAGAAAAUGUAAAGUAAUAAAUCAAAAGGUUAUGUAAAACUACUAAAAAUUAUGUGACUCCUGCAUAUAUAAGUUGUUGUAGGAUUUUCAAAUGGCAGCACAGACAACUUCGAAACAAGAAACGAAGCAAGGCUUCUAUCACUUACCGGUAAUGCUAUUUAAACAUGUUUUUAGUUUCACAAAAAUAGAAAAUCUACCAUGAUGGAUAAAAAUGGUUAAUAAAUGUACCAAAUUGUAUAUAGGUAAGUUGCUAUCUGAGGUGCAUAUAGAUGCACAUACUACCCUCGAAGCAUGAAAUGGUGGAAAUGAUGUCGGAAUAUGUCGAUGAUGCUUCAUUAAUAGGUUUUCUGUUUUCAACGAAAUGAAAAUCUAUAGUGAUGGAUCAAAAGGGAACAAAAUUGUUGAUGGAAUUAAAUGAUUACUAGUUAUAAGUUGUUAUUUGAGAUCCGUAUAUGGUCAAACAUACAACUUCCGAAGCCUGAAAGGAAGAAAUGCCGGUGGAAUUUCUAAAUGAUGCUAUUUAAGUAAGUUUUCUAUUUAGCGAAUAAAAAAUCUACGGUAACGGAUCAAAAGUUUAUGUAAAGGUGCUAAACAUGAAUAAUUUAUUUGGAUAAGCUGUUCUAUGACUUCCAUACGACGGUCGAGACUACUAUCGAAGAAUUGAAUGAUUGAAAGGCUGUUAUAAUGUGUCGAAUGUGCUAUUUAAAUGAGUUCUAUGAUUCGAAGGAGGAGAAAAUGUAAAGUAAUAAAUCAAAAGGUUAUGUAAAACUACUAAAAAUUAUGUGACUCCUACAUAUACAAGUUGUUGUAGGAUUUUCAAAUGGCGGCACAGACAACUUCGAAACAAGAAACGAAGCAAGGCUUCUAUCACUUAUCGGUAAUGCUAUUUAAACAUGUUUUCAGUUUCACAAAAAUAGAAAAUCUACCAUGAUGGAUAAAAACGGUUAAUAAAUGUACCAAAUUGUCUAAUUUCUAUAGGUAAGUUGCUAUCUGAGGUGCAUAUAGAUGCACAGACUACCCUCGAAACAUGAAAUGAUGUCGGAAUAUGUCGAUGAUGCUUCAUUAAUAGGUUUUCUGUUUUCAACGAAAUGAAAAUCUAUAGUGAUGGAUCAAAAGGGAACAAAAUUGUUGAUGGAAUCAAACGAUUACUAGUUAUAAGUUGUUAUUUGAGAUCCGUAUAUGGUCGAACAUACAACUUCCGAAGCCUGAAAGGAAGAAAUGCCGGUGGAAUUUCUAAAUGAUGCUAUUUAAGUAAGUUUUCUUUUUAGCGAAUAAAAAAUCUACGGUAACGGAUCAAAAGUUUAUGUAAAGGUGCUAAACAUGAAUAAUUUAUUUGGAUAAGCUGUUCUAUGACUUUCAUACGACGGUCGAGACUACUAUCGAAGAAUUGAAUGAUUAAAGGCUGUUAUAAUGUGUCGAAUGUCCUAUUUAAAUGAGUUCUAUGAUUCGAAGGAGGAGAAAAUGUAAAGUAAGAAAUCAAAAGGUUAUGUAAAACUACUAAAAAUUAUGUGACUCCUGCAUAUACAAGUUGUUGUAGGAUUUUCAAAUGGUGGCACAGACAACUUCGAAACAAGAAACGAAGCAAGGCUUCUAUCAUUUAUCGGUAAUGCUACUUAAACAUGUUUUUAGUUUCACAAAAAUAGAAAAUCUACCAUGAUGGAUAAAAACGGAUAAUAAAUGUACCAAAUUGUCUAAUUUCUAUAGGUAAGUUGCUAUCUGAGGUGCAUAUAGAUGCACAGACUACCCUCGAAGCAUGAAAUGGUGGAAAUGAUGUCGGAAUAUGUCGAUGAUGCUUCAUUAAUAGGUUUUCUGUUUUCAACGAAAUGAAAAUCUAUAGUGAUGGAUCAAAAGGGAACAAAAUUGGUGAUGGAAUUAAAUGAUUACUAGUUAUAAGUUGUUAUUUGAGAUCCGUAUAUGGUCAAACAUACAACUUCCGAAGCCUGAAAGGAAGAAAUGCCGGUGGAAUUUCUAAAUGAUGCUAUUUAAGUAAGUUUUCUUUUUAGCGUAUAAAAAAUCUACGGUAACGGAUCAAAAGUUUAUGUAAUGGUGCUAAACAUGAAUAAUUUAUUUGGAUAAGCUGUUCUAUGACUUCCAUACGACGGUCGAGACUACUAUCGAAGAAUUGAAUGAUUAAAAGGCUGUUAUAAUGUGUCGAAUGUCCUAUUUAAAUGAGUUCUAUGAUUCGAAGGAGGAGAAAAUGUAAAGUAAGAAAUCAAAAGGUUAUGUAAAACUACUAAAAAUUAUGUGACUCCUACAUAUAUAAGUUGUUGUAGGAUUUUCAAAUGGCGGCACAGACAACUUCGAAACAAGAAACGAAGCAAGGCUUCUAUCACUUAUCGGUAAUGCUAUUUAAACAUGUUUUUAGUUUCACAAAAAUAGAAAAUCUACCAUGAUGGAUAAAAACGGUUAAUAAAUGUACCAAAUUGUCUAAUUUCUAUAGGUAAGUUGCUAUCUGAGGUGCAUAUAGAUGCACAGACUACCCUCGAAGCAUGAAAUGGUGGAAAUGUUGUCGGAAUAUGUCGAUGAUGCUUCAUUAAUAGGUUUUCUGUUUUCAACGAAAUGAAAAUCUAUAGUGAUGGAUCAAAAGGGAACAAAAUUGUUGAUGGAAUUAAAUGAUUACUAGUUAUAAGUUGUUAUUUGAGAUCCGUAUAUGUUCAAACAUACAACUUCCGAAGCCUGAAAGGAAGAAAUGCCGGUGGAAUUUCUAAAUGAUGCUAUUUAAGUAAGUUUUCUUUUUAGCGUAUAAAAAAUCUACGGUAACGGAACAAAAGUUUAUGUAAUGGUGCUAAACAAGAAUAAUUUAUUUGGAUGAGCUGUUCUAUGACUUCCAUACGACGGUCGAGACUACUAUCGAAGAAUUGAAUGAUUGAAAGGCUGUUAUAAUGUGUCGAAUGUCCUAUUUAAAUGAGUUCUAUUAUUCGAAGGAGGAGAAAAUGUAAAGUAAUAAAUCAAAAGGUUAUGUAAAACUACUAAAAAUUAUGUGACUCCUACGUAUAUAAGUUGUUGUAGGAUUUUCAAAUGGCCGCACAGACAACUUCGAAACAAGAAACGAAGCAAGGCUUCUAUCACUUAUCGGUAAUGCUAUUUAAACAUGUUUUUAGUUUCACAAAAAUAGAAAAUCUAGCAUGAUGGAUAAAAACGGUUAAUAAAUGUACCAAAUUGUCUAAUUUCUAUAGGUAAGUUGCUAUCUGAGGUGCAUAUAGAUGCACAGACUACCCUCGAAGCAUGAAAUGGUGGAAAUGUGGUCGGAAUAUGUCGAUGAUGCUUCAUUAAUAGGUUUUCUGUUUUCAACGAAAUGAAAAUCUAUAGUGAUGGAUCAAAAGGGAACAAAAUUGUUGAUGGAAUUAAAUGAUUACUAGUUAUAAGUUGUUAUUUGAGAUCCGUAUAUGGUCAAACAUACAACUUCCGAAGCCUGAAAGGAAGAAAUGCCGGUGGAAUUUCUAAAUGAUGCUAUUUAAGUAAGUUUUCUUUUUAGCGAAUAAAAAAUCUACGGUAACGGAUCAAAAGUUUAUGUAAAGGUGCUAAACAUGAAUAAUUUAUUUGGAUAAGCUGUUCUAUGACUUCCAUACGACGGUCGAGACUACUAUCGAAGAAUUGAAUGAUUGAAAGGCUGUUAUAAUGUGUCGAAUGUCCUAUUUAAAUGAGUUCUAUGAUUCGAAGGUGGAGAAAAUGUAAAGUAAGAAAUCAAAAGGUUAUAUAAAACUACUAAAAAUUAUGUGACUCCUACAUAUACAAGUUGUUGUAGGAUUUUCAAAUGGCGGCACAGACAACUUCGAAACAAGAAACGAAGCAAGGCUUCUAUCACUUAUCGGUAAUGCUAUUUAAACAUGUUUUUACUUUCACAAAAAUAGAAAAUCUACCAUGAUGGAUAAAAACGGUUAAUAAAUGUACCAAAUUGUCUAAUUUCUAUAGGUAAGUUGCUAUCUGAGGUGCAUAUAGAUGCACAGACUACCCUCGAAGCAUGAAAUGGUGGAAAUGAUGUCGGAAUAUGUCGAUGAUGCUUCAUUAAUAGGUUUUCAGUUUUCAAUGAAAUGAAAAUCUAUAGUGAUGGAUCAAAAGGGAACAAAAUUGUUUAUGGAAUUAAAUGAUUACUAGUUAUAAGUUGUUAUUUGAGAUCCGUAUAUGGUCACACAUACAACUUCCGAAGCCUGAAAGGAAGAAAUGCCGGUGGAAUUUCUAAAUGAUGCUAUUUAAGUAAGUUUUCUUUUUAGCGUAUAAAAAAUCUACGGUAACGGAUCAAAAGUUUAUGUAAUGGUGCUAAACAUGAAUAAUUUAUUUGGAUAAGCUGUUCUAUGACUUCCAUACGACGGUCGAGACUACUAUCGAAGAAUUGAAUGAUUGAAAGGCUGUUAUAAUGUGUCGAAUGUCCUAUUUAAAUGAGUUCUAUGAUUCGAAGGAGGAGAAAAUGUAAAGUAAGAAAUCAAAAGGUUAUGUAAAACUACUAAAAAUUAUGUGACUCCUACAUAUAAGUUGUUGUAGGAUUUUCAAAUGGCGGCACAGACAACUUCGAAACAAGAAACGAAGCAAGGCUUCUAUCACUUAUCGGUAAUGCUAUUUAAACAUGUUUUUAGUUUCACAAAAAUAGAAAAUCUACCAUGAUGGAUAAAAACGGUUAAUAAAUGUACCAAAUUGUCUAAUUUCUAUAGGUAAGUUGCUAUCUGAGGUGCAUAUAGAUGCACAGACUACCCUCGAAGCAUGAAAUGGUGGAAAUGUUGUCGGAAUAUGUCGAUGAUGCUUCAUUAAUAGGUUUUCUGUUUUCAACGAAAUGAAAAUCUAUAGUGAUGGAUCAAAAGGGAACAAAAUUGUUGAUGGAAUUAAAUGAUUACUAGUUAUAAGUUGUUAUUUGAGAUCCGUAUAUGGUCAAACAUACAACUUCCGAAGCCUGAAAGGAAGAAAUGCCGGCGGAAUUUCUAAAUGAUGCUAUUUAAGUAAGUUUUCUUUUUAGCGAAUAAAAAAUCUACGGUAACGGAUCAAAAGUUUAUGUAAAGGUGCUAAACAUGAAUAAUUUAUUUGGAUAAGCUGUUCUAUGACUUCCAUACGACGGUCGAGACUACUAUCGAAGAAUUGAAUGAUUGAAAGGCUGUUAUAAUGUGUCGAAUGUCCUAUUUAAAUGAGUUCUAUGAUUCGAAGGAGGAGAAAAUGUAAAGUAUGAAAUCAAAAGGUUAUGUAAAACUACUAAAAAUUAUGUGACUCCUACAUAUACAAGUUGUUGUAGGAUUUUCAAAUGGCGGCACAGACAACUUCGAAACAAGAAACGAAGCAAGGCUUCUAUCACUUAUCGGUAGUGCUAUUUAAACAUGUUUUUACUUUCACUAAAAUAGAAAAUCUACCAUGAUGGAUAAAAACGGUUAAUAAAUGUACCAAAUUGUCUAAUUUCUAUAGGUAAGUUGCUAUCUGAGGUGCAUAUAGAUGCACAGACUACCCUCGAAGCAUGAAAUGGUGGAAAUGAUGUCGGAAUAUGUCGAUGAUGCUUCAUUAAUAGGUUUUCAGUUUUCAAUGAAAUGAAAAUCUAUAGUGAUGGAUCAAAAGGGAACAAAAUUGUUGAUGGCAUUAAAUGAUUACUAGUUAUAAGUUGUUAUUUGAGAUCCGUAUAUGGUCAAACAUACAACUUCCGAAGCCUGAAAGGAAGAAAUGCCGGUGGAAUUUCUAAAUGAUGCUAUUUAAGUAAGUUUUCUUUUUAGCGUAUAAAAAAUCUACGGUAACGGAACAAAAGUUUAUGUAAUGGUGCUAAACAUGAAUAAUUUAUUUGGAUAAGCUGUUCUAUGACUUCCAUACGACGGUCGAGACUACUAUCGAAGAAUUGAAUGAUUGAAAGGCUGUUAUAAUGUGUCGAAUGUCCUAUUUAAAUGAGUUCUAUGAUUCGAAGGAGGAGAAAAUGUAAAGUAAUAAAUCAAAAGGUUAUGUAAAACUACUAAAAAUUAUGUGACUCCUACAUAUAUAAGUUGUUGUAGGAUUUUCAAAUGGCGGCACAGACAACUUCGAAACAAGAAACGAAGCAAGGCUUCUAUCACUUAUCGGUAAUGCUAUUUAAACAUGUUUUUAGUUUCACAAAAAUAGAAAAUAUACCAUGAUGGAUAAAAACGGUUAAUAAAUGUACCAAAUUGUCUAAUUUCUAUAGGUAAGUUGCUAUCUGAGGUGCAUAUAGAUGCACAGACUACCCUCGAAGCAUGAAAUGGUGGAAAUGUUGUCGGAAUAUGUCGAUGAUGCUUCAUUAAUAGGUUUUCUGUUUUCAACGAAAUGAAAAUCUACAGUGAUGGAUCAAAAGGGAACAAAAUUUUUGAUGGAAUUAAAUGAUUACUAGUUAUAAGUUGUUAUUUGAGAUCCGUAUAUGGUGAAACAUACAACUUCCGAAGCCUGAAAGGAAGAAAUGCCGGUGGAAUUUCUAAAUGAUGCUAUUUAAGUAAGUUUUCUUUUUAGCGAAUAAAAAAUCUACGGUAACGGAUCAAAAGUUUAUGUAAAGGUGCUAAACAUGAAUAAUUUAUUUGGAUAAGCUGUUCUAUGACUUCCAUACGACGGUCGAGACUAGUAUCGAAGAAUUGAAUGAUUGAAAGACUGUUAUAAUGUGUCGAAUGUCCUAUUUAAAUGAGUUCUAUGAUUCGAAGGAGGAGAAAAUGUAAAGUAAGAAAUCAAAAGGUUAUGUAAAACUACUAAAAAUUAUGUGACUCCUACAUAUACAAGUUGUUGUAGGAUUUUCAAAUGGCGGCACAGACAACUUCGAAACAAGAAACGAAGCAAGGCUUCUAUCACUUAUCGGUAAUGCUAUUUAAACAUGUUUUUACUUUCACUAAAAUCGAAAAUCUACAAUGAUGGAUAAAAACGGUUAAUAAAUGUACCAAAUUGUCUAAUUUCCAUAGGUAAGUUGCUAUCUGAGGUGCAUAUAGAUGCACAGACUACCCUCGAAGCAUGAAAUGGUGGAAAUGAUGUCGGAAUAUGUCGAUGAUGCUUCAUUAAUAGGUUUUCAGUUUUCAAUGAAAUGAAAAAUCUAUAGUGAUGGAUCAGAAGGGAACAAAAUUGUUUAUGGAAUUAAAUGAUUACUAGUUAUAAGUUGUUAUUUGAGAUCCGUAUAUGGUCAAACAUACAACUUCCGAAGCCUGAAAGGAAGAAAUGCCGGUGGAAUUUCUAAAUGAUGCUAUUUAUGUAAGUUUUGUUUUUAGCGUAUAAAAAAUCUACGGUAACGGAUCAAAAGUUUAUGUAAUGGUGCUAAACAUGAAUAAUUUAUUUGGAUAAGCUAUUCCAUGACUUCCAUACGACGGUCGACACUACUAUCGAAGAAUUGAAUGAUUGAAAGGCUGUUAUAAUGUGUCGAAUGUCCUAUUUAAAUGAGUUCUAUGAUUUGAAGGAGGAGAAAAUGUAAAGUAAUAAAUCAAAAGGUUAUGUAAAACUACUAAAAAUUAUGUUUCUCCUACAUAUAUAAGUUGUUGUAGGAUUUUCAAAUGGCGGCACAGACAACUUCGAAACAAGAAACGAAGCAAGGUUUCUAUCACUUAUUGGUAAUGCUAUUUAAACAUGUUUUUAGUUUCACAAAAAUAGAAAAUCUACCAUGAUGGAUAAAAACGGUUAAUAAAUGUACCACAUUGUCUAAUUUCUAUAGGUAAGUUGCUAUCUGAGGUGCAUAUAGAUGCAUAGACUACCCUCGAAGCAUGAAAUGGUGGAAAUGAUGUCGGAAUAUGUCGAUGAUGCUUCAUUAAUAGGUUUUCAGUUUUCAAUGAAAUGAAAAUCUAUAGUGAUGGAUCAAAAGGGAACAAAAUUGUUGAUGGCAUUAAAUGAUUACUAGUUAUAAGUUGUUAUUUGAGAUCCGUAUAUGGUCAAACAUACAACUUCCGAAGCCUGAAAGGAAGAAAUGCCGGUGGAAUUUCUAAAUGAUGCUAUUUAAGUAAGUUUUCUUUUUAGCGUAUAAAAAAUCUACGGUAACGGAACAAAAGUUUAUGUAAUGGUGCUAAACAUGAAUAAUUUAUUUGGAUGAGCUGUUCUAUGACUUCCAUACGACGGUCGACACUACUAUCGAAGAAUUGAAUGAUUGAAAGGCUGUCAUAAUGUGUCGAAUGUCCUAUUUAAAUGAGUUCUAUGAUUCGAAGGAGGAGAAAAUGUAAAGUAAGAAAUCAAAAGGUUAUGUAAAACUACUAAAAAUUAUGUGACUCCUACAUAUAUAAGUUGUUGUAGGAUUUUCAAAUGGCGGCACAGACAACUUCGAAACAAGAAACGAAGCAAGGCUUCUAUCACUUAUCGGUAAUGCUAUUUAAACAUGUUUUUAGUUUCACAAAAAUAGAAAAUCUACCAUGAUGGAUAAAAACGGUUAAUAAAUGUACCAAAUUGUCCAAUUUCUAUAGGUAAGUUGCUAUCUGAGGUGCAUAUAGAUGCAUAGACUACCCUCGAAGCAUGAAAUGGUGGAAAUGAUGUCGGAAUAUGUCGAUGAUGCUUCAUUAAUAGGUUUUCUGUUUUGAACGAAAUGAAAAUCUAUAGUGAUGGAUCAAAAGGGAACAAAAUUGGUGAUGGCAUUAAAUGAUUACUAGUUAUAAGUUGUUAUUUGAGAUCCAUAUAUGGUCAAACAUACAACUUCCGAAGCUUGAAAGGAAGAAAUGCCGGUGGAAUUUCUAAAUGAUGCUAUUUAAGUAAGUUUUCUUUUUAGCGUAUAAAAAAUCUACGGCAACGGAACAAAAGUUUAUGUAAUGGUGCUAAACAUGAAUAAUUUAUUUGGAUGAGCUGUUCUAUGACUUCCAUACGACGGUCGACACUACUAUCGAAGAAUUGAAUGAUUGAAAGGCUGUUAUAAUGUGUCGAAUGUCCUAUUUAAAUGAGUUCUAUGAUUCGAAGGAGGAGAAAAUGUAAAGUAAUAAAUCAAAAGGUUAUGUAAAACUACUAAAAAUUAUGUGACUCCUACAUAUACAAGUUGUUGUAGGAUUUUCAAAUGGCGGCAAAGACAACUUCGAAACAAGAAACGAAGCAAGGCUUCUAUCACUUAUCGGUAAUGCUAUUUAAACAUGUUUUUAGUUUCACAAAAAUAGAAAAUCUACCAUGAUGGAUAAAAACGGUUAAUAAAUGUACCAAAUUGUCCAAUUUCUAUAGGUAAGUUGCUAUCUGAGGUGCAUAUAGAUGCACAGACUACCCUCGAAGCAUGAAAUGGUGGAAAUGAUUUCGGAAUAUGUCGAUGAUGCUUCAUUAAUAGGUUUUCUGUUUUCAACGAAAUGAAAAUCUAUAGUGAUGGAUCAAAAGGGAACAAAAUUGGUGAUGGAAUUAAAUGAUUACUAGUUAUAAGUUGUUAUUUGAGAUCCAUAUAUGGUCAAACAUACAACUUCCGAAGCUUGAAAGGAAGAAAUGCUGGUGGAAUUUCUAAAUGAUGCUAUUUAAGUAAGUUUUCUUUUUAGCGAAUAAAAAAUCUACGGUAACGGAUCAAAAGUUUAUGUAAAGGUGCUAAACAUGAAUAAUUUAUUUGGAUAAGCUGUUCUAUGACUUCCAUACGACGGUCGACACUACUAUCGAAGAAUUGAAUGAUUGAAAGGCUGUUAUAAUGUGUCGAAUGUCCUAUUUAAAUGAGUUCUAUGAUUCGAAGGAGGAGAAAAUGUAAAGUAAGAAAUCAAAAUGUUAUGUAAAACUACUAAAAAUUAUGUGACUCCUACAUAUACAAGUUGUUGUAGGAUUUUCAAAUGGCGGCACAGACAACUUCGAAACAAGAAACGAAGCAAGCUUCUAUCACUUAUCGGUAAUGCUAUUUAAACAUGUUUUUACUUUCACAAAAAUAGAAAAUCUACCAUGAUGGAUAAAAACGGUUAAUAAAUGUACCAAAUUGUCUAAUUUCUAUAGGUAAGUUGCUAUCUGAGGUGCAUAUAGAUGCACAGACUACCCUCGAAGCAUGAAAUGGUGGAAAUGAUGUCGGAAUAUGUCGAUGAUGCUUCAUUAAUAGGUUUUCAGUUUUCAAUGAAAUGAAAAUCUAUAGUGAUGGAUCAAAAGGGAACAAAAUUGUUGAUGGCAUUAAAUGAUUACUAGUUAUAAGUUGUUAUUUGAGAUCCGUAUAUGGUCAAACAUACAACUUCCGAAGCCUGAAAGGAAGAAAUGCCGGUGGAAUUUCUAAAUGAUGCUAUUUAAGUAAGUUUUCUUUUUAGCGUAUAAAAAAUCUACGGUAACGGAACAAAAGUUUAUGUAAUGGUGCUAAACAUGAAUAAUUUAUUUGGAUGAGCUGUUCUAUGACUUCCAUACGACGGUCGAGACUACUAUCGAAGAAUUGAAUGAUUGAAAGGCUGUUAUAAUGUGUCGAAUGUCCUAUUUAAAUGAGUUCUAUGAUUCGAAGGAGGAGAAAAUGUAAAGUAAUAAAUCAAAAGGUUAUGUAAAACUACUAAAAAUUAUGUGACUCCUACAUAUAUAAGUUGUUGUAGGAUUUUCAAAUGGCGGCACAGACAACUUCGAAACAAGAAACGAAGCAAGGCUUCUAUCACUUAUCGGUAAUGCUAUUUAAACAUGUUUUUAGUUUCACAAAAAUAGAAAAUCUACCAUGAUGGAUAAAAACGGUUAAUAAAUGUACCAAAUUGUCCAAUUUCUAUAGGUAAGUUGCUAUCUGAGGUGCAUAUAGAUGCACAGACUACCCUCGAAGCAUGAAAUGGUGGAAAUGAUUUCGGAAUAUGUCGAUGAUGCUUCAUUAAUAGGUUUUCUGUUUUCAACGAAAUGAAAAUCUAUAGUGAUGGAUCAAAAGGGAACAAAAUUGGUGAUGGAAUUAAAUGAUUACUAGUUAUAAGUUGUUAUUUGAGAUCCAUAUAUGGUCAAACAUACAACUUCCGAAGCUUGAAAGGAAGAAAUGCCGGUGGAAUUUCUAAAUGAUGCUAUUUAAGUAAGUUUUCUUUUUAGCGAAUAAAAAAUCUACGGUAACGGAUGAAAAUUUUAUGUAAAGGUGCAAAACAUGAAUAAUUUAUUUGGAUAAGCUGUUCUAUGACUUCCAUACGACGGUCGACACUACUAUCGAAGAAUUGAAUGAUUGAAAGGCUGUUAUAAUGUGUCGAAUGUCCUAUUUAAAUGAGUUCUAUGAUUCGAAGGAGGAGAAAAUGUAAAGUAAGAAAUCAAAAGGUUAUGUAAAACUACUAAAAAUUAUGUGACUCCUACAUAUACAAGUUGUUGUAGGAUUUUCAAAUGGCGGCACAGACAACUUCGAAACAAGAAACGAAGCAAGGUUUCUAUCACUUAUUGGUAAUGCUAUUUAAACAUGUUUUUAGUUUCACAAAAAUAGAAAAUCUACCAUGAUGGAUAAAAAACGGUUAAUAAAUGUACCAAAUUGUCCAAUUUCUAUAGGUAAGUUGCUAUCUGAGGUGCAUAUAGAUGCACAGACUACCCUCGAAGCAUGAAAUGGUGGAAAUGAUUUCGGAAUAUGUCGAUGAUGCUUCAUUAAUAGGUUUUCAGUUUUCAACGAAAUGAAAAUCCAUAGUGAUGGAUCAAAAGGGAACAAAAUUGGUGAUGGAAUUAAAUGAUUACUAGUUAUAAGUUGUUAUUUGAGAUCGGUAUAUGGUCAAACAUACAACUUCCGAAGCCAGAAAGGAAGAAAUGCCGGUGGAAUUUCUAAAUGAUGCUAUUUAAUUAAGUUUUCUUUUUAGCGUAUAAAAAAUCUACGGUAACGGAUCAAAAGUUUAUGUAAAGGUGCUAAACAUGAAUAAUUUAUUUGGAUAAGUUGUUCUAUGACUUCCAUACGACGGUCGAGACUACUAUCGAAGAAUUGAAUGAUUGAAAGGCUGUUAUAAUGUGUUGAAUGUCCUAUUUAAAUGAGUUCUAUGAUUCGAAGGAGGAGAAAAAUGUAAAGUAAUAAAUCAAAAGGUUAUGUAAAACUACUAAAAAUUAUGUGACUCCUACAUAUACAAGUUGUUGUAGGAUUUUCAAAUGGCGGCACAGACAACUUCGAAACAAGAAACGAAGCAAGCUUCUAUCACUUAUCGGUAAUGCUAUUUAAACAUGUUAUUACUUUCACAAAAAUAGAAAGUCUACCAUGAUGGAUAAAAACGGUUAAUAAAUGUACCAAAUUGUCUAAUUUCUAUAGGUAAGUUGCUAUCUGAGGUGCAUAUAGAUGCACAGACUACCCUCGAAGCAUGAAAUGGUGGAAAUGAUGUCGGAAUAUGUCGAUGAUGCUUCAUUAAUAGGUUUUCAGUUUUCAAUGAAAUGAAAAUCUAUAGUGAUGGAUCAAAAGGGAACAAAAUUGUUGAUGGCAUUAAAUGAUUACUAGUUAUAAGUUGUUAUUUGAGAUCCGUAUAUGGUCAAACAUACAACUUCCGAAACCUGAAAGGAAGAAAUGCCGGUGGAAUUUCUAAAUGAUGCUAUUUAAGUAAGUUUUCUUUUUAGCGUAUAAAAAAUCUACGUUAACGGAAAAAAAGUUUAUGUAAUGGUGCUAAACAUGAAUAAUUUAUUUGGAUGAGCUGUUCUAUGACUUCCAUACGACGGUCGAGACUACUAUCGAAGAAUUGAAUGAUUGAAAGGCUGUUAUAAUGUGUCGAAUGUCCUAUUUAAAUGAGUUCUAUGAUUCGAAGGAGGAGAAAAUGUAAAGUAAUAAAUCAAAAGGUUAUGUAAAACUACUAAAAAUUAUGUGACUCCUACAUAUAUAAGUUGUUGUAGGAUUUUCAAAUGGCGGCACAGACAACUUCGAAACAAGAAACGAAGCAAGGCUUCUAUCACUUAUCGGUAAUGCUAUUUAAACAUGUUUUUAGUUUCACAAAAAUAGAAAAUCUACCAUGAUGGAUAAAAACGGUUAAUAAAUGUACCAAAUUGUCCAAUUUCUAUAGGUAAGUUGCUAUCUGAGGUGCAUAUAGAUGCACAGACUACCCUCGAAGCAUGAAAUGGUGGAAAUGAUUUCGGAAUAUGUCGAUGAUGCUUCAUUAAUAGGUUUUCUGUUUUCAACGAAAUGAAAAUCUAUAGUGAUGGAUCAAAAGGGAACAAAAUUGGUGAUGGAAUUAAAUGAUUACUAGUUAUAAGUUGUUAUUUGAGAUCCAUAUAUGGUCAAACAUACAACUUCCGAAGCUUGAAAGGAAGAAAUGCCGGUGGAAUUUCUAAAUGAUGCUAUUUAAGUAAGUUUUCUUUUUAGCGAAUAAAAAAUCUACGGUAAGGGAUCAAAAGUUUAUGUAAAGGUGCAAAACAUGAAUAAUUUAUUUGGAUAAGCUGUUCUAUGACUUCCAUACGACGGUCGACACUACUAUCGAAGAAUUGAAUGAUUGAAAGGCUGUUAUAAUGUGUCGAAUGUCCUAUUUAAAUGAGUUCUAUGAUUCGAAGGAGGAGAAAAUGUAAAGUAAGAACUCAAAAGGUUAUGUAAAACUACUAAAAAUUAUGUGACUCCUACAUAUACAAGUUGUUGUAGGAUUUUCUAAUGGCGGCACAGAGAACUUCGAAACAAGAAACGAAGCACGGUUUCUAUCACUUAUUGGUAAUGUUAUUUAAACAUGUUUUUAGUUUCACAAAAAUAGAAAAUCUACCAUGAUGGAUAAAAAACGGUUAAUAAAUGUACCAAAUUGUCCAAUUUCUAUAGGUAAGUUGCUAUCUGAGGUGCAUAUAGAUGCACAGACUACCCUCGAAGCAUGAAAUGGUGGAAAUGAUUUCGGAAUAUGUCGAUGAUGCUUCAUUAAUAGGUUUUCAGUUUUCAACGAAAUGAAAAUCCAUAGUGAUGGAUCAAAAGGGAACAAAAUUGGUGAUGGAAUUAAAUGAUUACUAGUUAUAAGUUGUUAUUUGAGAUCGGUAUAUGGUCAAACAUACAACUUCCGAAGACAGAAAGGAAGAAAUGCCGGUGGAAUUUCUAAAUGAUGCUAUUUAAGUAAGUUUUCUUUUUAGCGUAUAAAAAAUCUACGGUAACGGAUCAAAAGUUUAUGUAAAGGUGCUAAACAUGAAUAAUUUAUUUGGAUAAGUUGUUCUAUGACUUCCAUACGACGGUCGAGACUACUAUCGAAGAAUUGAAUGAUUGAAAGGCUGUUAUAAUGUGUUGAAUGUCCUAUUUAAAUGAGUUCUAUGAUUCGAAGGAGGAGAAAAAUGUAAAGUAAUAAAUCAAAAGGUUAUGUAAAACUACUAAAAAUUAUGUGACUCCUACAUAUAUAAGUUGUUGUAGGAUUUUCAAAUGGCGGCACAGACAACUUCGAAACAAGAAAUGAAGCAAGGCUUCUAUCACUUAUCGGUAAUGCUAUUUAAACAUGUUUUCAGUUUUGCAAAAAUAGAAAAUCUACCUUGAUGGAUAAAAACGGUUAAUAAAUGUAUCAAAUUGUCCAAUUUCUAUAGGUAAGUUGCUAUCUGAGGUGCAUAUAGAUGCACAGAUUACCCUCGAAGCAUGAAAUGGUGGAAAUGAUUUCGGAAUAUGUCGAUGAUGCUUUAUUAAUAAGUUUUCAGUUUUCAACGAAAUGAAAAUCUACAGUGAUGGAUCAAAAGGGAACAAAAUUGGUGAUGGAAUUAAAUGAUUACUAGUUAUAAGUUGUUAUUUGAGAUCCAUAUACGGUCAAACAUACAACUUCCGAUGCUUGAAAGGAAGAAAUGCCGGUGGAAUUUCUAAAUGAUGCUUUUUAAGUAAGUUUUCUUUUUAGCGUAUAAAAAAUCUACGGUAACGGAUCAAAAGUUUAUGUAAAGGUGCUAAACAUGAAUAAUUUAUUUGGAUAAGUUGUUCUAUGACUUCCAUACGACGGUCGAGACUACUAUCGAAGAAUUGAAUGAUUGAAAGGCUGUUAUAAUGUGUCGAAUGUCCUAUUUAAAUGAGUUCUAUGAUUCGAAGGAGGAGAAAAUAUAAAGUAAUAAAUCAAAAGGUUAUGUAAAACUACUAAAAAUUAUGUGACUCCUACAUAUAUAAGUUGUUGUAGGAUUUUCAAAUGGCGGCACAGACAACUUCGAAACAAGAAACGAAGCAAGGCUUCUAUCACUUAUCGGUAAUGCUAUUUAAACAUGUUUUUACUUUCACAAAAAUAGAAAAUCUACCAUGAAGGAUAAAAAACGGUUAAUAAAUGUACCAAAUUGUCCAAUUUCUAUAGGCAAGUUGCUAUCUGAGGUGCAUAUAGAUGCACAGACUACCCUCGAAGCAUGAAACGGUGGAAAUGAUUUCGGAAUAUGUCGAUGAUGCUUCAUUAAUAGGUUUUCAGUUUUCAACGAAAUGAAAAUCUAUAGUGAUGGAUCAAAAGGGAACAAAAUUGGUGAUGGAAUUAAAUGAUUACUAGUUAUAAGUUGUUAUUUGAGAUCCGUAUAUGGUCAAACAUACAACUUCCAAAGCCUGAAAGGAAGAAAUGCCGGUGGAAUUUCUAAAUGAUGCUAUUUAAGUAAGUUUUCUUUUUAGCGUAUAAAAAAUCUACGGUAACGGAUCAAAAGUUUAUGUAAAGGUGCUAAACAUGAAUAAUUUAUUUGGAUAAGUUGUUCUAUGACUUCCAUACGACGGUCGAGACUACUAUCGAAGAAUUGAAUGAUUGAAAGGCGGUUAUAAUGUGUCGAAUGUCCUAUUUAAAUGAGUUCUGUGAUUCGAAGGAGGAGAAAAAUGUAAAGUAAUAAAUCAAAAGGUUAUGUAAAACUACUAAAAAUUAUAUGACUCCUACAUAUAUAAGUUGUUGUAGGAUUUUCAAAUGGCGGCAUAGACAACUUCGAAACAAGAAACGAAGCUAGGCUUCUAUCACUUAUCAUUAAUGCUAUUUAAACAUGUUUUCAGUUUUGCAAAAAUAGAAAAUCUACCAUGAUGGAUAAAAAGGUAAAAACUGUACCAAAUUGCCUAAUUUCUAUAGGUAAGUUGCUAUCUGAGGUGCAUAUAGAUGCACAGACUACCCUCGAAGCAUGAAAUGGUUCAAAUGAUUUCCGAUGGUGGAAAUGAUGUCGGAAUAUGUCGAUGAUGCUUCAUUCAUAGGUUUUCAGUUUUCAACGAAAUGAAAAUGUAUUCUGAUGUAUCAAAAUGGAAAAAAAUUGGUGAUGAAAUUAAAUGAUUACUAGUUAUAAGUUGUUAUACGAGAUCGAUAUGGUCAAACAUACAACUUCUAGAGCUUGAAAAGAAGAAAUGCUAGUGUAAUUUCUAAAUGAUGCUAUUUGAUUAAGUUUUCUUUUUAGCAAACAAAAAAUCUAAGAUAAGGGAUCAAAAGUUUAUGUCAAGGUUCUAAAUAAGAAUAAUUUAUGUGGAUAAGUUGUUCUUUUACUUCCAUACGGCGGUCGAGACUACUCUCGAAGAAUGGAAUGAUAGAAAGGUUGUUAUAAUGUGUCGAAUGUCCUAUUUAAAUUAGUUCUAAGUUUCGAAGGAGGAGAAAAUGUAAAUUAAUAAAUCAAAAGGUAAAAAAACUACUAAAAAUUAUGUGACUCCUACAUAGAUAAGUUGUUGUAGGAUUUUCAAAUGGCGGCAUAGACAACUACGAAACAUUAACGAAGCAAGGCUUCUAUCACUUAUCGGUAAUUCUAUUUAAACAUGUUUUUAGUUCCACAAAAAUAGAAAAUCUACCAUGAUGGAUAAAAAUGGUUAAUAAAUGUACCAAAUUAUCAGAUUUCGAUAGGUAAGUUCCUAUCUGAGGUGCAUAUAGAUGCACAGACUACCCUCGAAGCAUGAAAUGGUGUAAAUGAUUUCGGAAUAUGUCGAUGAUGCUUCAUUAGUAGGAUUUCAGUUUUCAACGAAAUGAAAAUCUAUAGUGAUGGAUCAAAAGGGAACAAAAUUGGUGAUGGAAUUAAAUGAUUACUAGUUAUAAGUUGUUAUUUGAGAUCCGUAUAUGGUCAAACAUACAACUUCCGAAGCCUGAAAGGAAGAAAUGCCGGUGGAAUUUCUAAAUGAUGCCCUUUAAGUAAGUUUUCUUUUUAGCGUAUAAAAAAUGUACGGUAACGGAUCAAAAGUUUAUGUAAUGGUGCUAAACAUGAAUAAUUUAUUUGGAUAAGCUGUUCUAUGACUUGCAUACGACGGUCGAGACUACUAUCGAAUAAUUGAAUGAUUGAAAGGCUGUUAUAAUGUGUUGAAUGUCCUAUUUAAAUGAGUUCUAUGAUUCGAAGGAGGGGAAAAAUGUAAAGUAAUAAAUCAAAAGGUUAUGUAGAACUACUAAAAAUUAUGUGACUCCUACAUAUAUAAGUUGUUGUAGGAUUUUCAAAUGGCGGCACAGACAACUUCGAAACAAGAAACGAAGCAAGGCUUCUAUCACUUAUCGGUAAUGCUAUUUAAACAUGUUUUCAGUUUUGCAAAAAUAGAAAAUCUACCUUGAUGGAUAAAAACGGUUAAUAAAUGUACCGAAUUGUCCAAUUUCUAUAGGUAAGUUGCUAUCUGAGGUGCAUAUAGAUGCACAAACUACCCUCGAAGCAUGAAAUGGUGGAAAUGAUUUCGGAAUAUGUCGAUGAUGCUUCAUUAAGAAGUUUUCAGUUUUCAACGAAAUGAAAAUCUAUAGUGAUGGAUCAAAAGGGAACAAAAUUGGUGAUGGAAUUAAAUGAUUACUAGUUAUAAGUUGUUAUUUGAGAUCCAUAUAUGGUCAAACAUACAACUUCCGAAGCUUGAAAGGAAGAAAUGCCGAUGGAAUUUCUAAAUGAUGCUAUUUAAGUAAGUUUUCUUUUUAGCGAAUAAAAAAUCAACGGUAACGGAUCAAAAGUUUAUGUAAUGGUGCUAAACAUGAAUAAUUUAUUUGGAUGAGCUGUUCUAUGACUUCCAUACGACGGUCGACACUACUAUCGAAGAAUUGAAUGAUUGAAAGGCUGUUAUAAUGUGUCGAAUGUCCUAUUUAAAUGAGUUCUAUGAUUCGAAGGAGGAGAAAAUGUAAAGUAAUAAACCAAAAGGUUAUGUAAAACUACUAAAAAUUAUGUGACUCCUACAUAUACAAGUUGUUGUAGGAUUUUCAAAUGGCGGCACAGACAACUUCGAAACAAGAAACGAAGCAAGGCUUCUAUCACUUAUCGGUAAUGCUAUUUAAACAUGUUUUUAGUUUCACAAAAAUAGAAAAUCUACCAUGAUGGAUAAAAAUGGUUAAUAAAUGUACCAAAUUGUCCAAUUUCUAUAGGUAAGUUGCUAUCUGAGGUGCAUAUAGAUGCACAGACUACCCUCGAAGCAUGAAAUGGUGGAAAUGAUUUCGGAAUAUGUCGAUGAUGCUUCAUUAAUAGGUUUUCUGUUUUCAACGAAAUGAAAAUCUAUAGUGAUGGAUCAAAAGGGAACAAAAUUGGUGAUGGAAUUAAAUGAUUACUAGUUAUAAGUUGUUAUUUGAGAUCCAUAUAUGGUCAAACAUACAACUUCCGAAGCUUGAAAGGAAGAAAUGCUGGUGGAAUUUCUAAAUUAUGCUAUUUAAGUAAGUUUUCUUUUUAGCGAAUAAAAAAUCUACGGUAACGGAUCAAAAGUUUAUGUAAAGGUGCUAAACAUGAAUAAUUUAUUUGGAUAAGCUGUUCUAUGACUUCCAUACGACGGUCGACACUACUAUCGAAGAAUUGAAUGAUUGAAAGGCUGUUAUAAUGUGUCGAAUGUCCUAUUUAAAUGAGUUCUAUGAUUCGAAGGAGGAGAAAAUGUAAAGUAAGAAAUCAAAAGGUUAUGUAAAACUACUAAAAAUUAUGUGACUCCUACAUAUACAAGUUGUUGUAGGAUUUUCAAAUGGCGGCACAGACAACUUCGAAACAAGAAACGAAGCAAGCUUCUAUCACUUAUCGGUAAUGCUAUUUAAACAUGUUUUUACUUUCACAAAAAUAGAAAAUCUACCAUGAUGGAUAAAAACGGUUAAUAAAUGUACCAAAUUGUCUAAUUUCUAUAGGUAAGUUGCUAUCUGAGGUGCAUAUAGAUGCACAGACAACCCUCGAAGCAUGAAAUGGUGGAAAUGAUGUCGGAAUAUGUCGAUGAUGCUUCAUUAAUAGGUUUUCAGUUUUCAAUGAAAUGAAAAUCUAUAGUGAUGGAUCAAAAGGGAACAAAAUUGUUGAUGGCAUUAAAUGAUUACUAGUUAUAAGUUGUUAUUUGAGAUCCGUAUAUGGUCAAACAUACAACUUCCGAAGCCUGAAAGGAAGAAAUGCCGGUGGAAUUUCUAAAUGAUGCUAUUUAAGUAAGUUUUCUUUUUAGCGUAUAAAAAAUCUACGGUAACGGAACAAAAGUUUAUGUAAUGGUGCUAAACAUGAAUAAUUUAUUUGGAUGAGCUGUUCUAUGACUUCCAUACGACGGUCGAGACUACUAUCGAAGAAUUGAAUGAUUGAAAGGCUGUUAUAAUGUGUCCAAUGUCCUAUUUAAAUGAGUUCUAUGAUUCGAAGGAGGAGAAAAUGUAAAGUAAUAAAUCAAAAGGUUAUGUAAAACUACUAAAAAUUAUGUGACUCCUACAUAUAUAAGUUGUUGUAGGAUUUUCAAAUGGCGGCACAGACAACUUCGAAACAAGAAACGAAGCAAGGCUUCUAUCACUUAUCGGUAAUGCUAUUUAAACAUGUUUUUAGUUUCACAAAAAUAGAAAAUCUACCAUGAUGGAUAAAAACGGUUAAUAAAUGUACCAAAUUGUCCAAUUUCUAUAGGUAAGUUGCUAUCUGAGGUGCAUAUAGAUGCACAGACUACCCUCGAAGCAUGAAAUGGUGGAAAUGAUUUCGGAAUAUGUCGAUGAUGCUUCAUUAAUAGGUUUUCUGUUUUCAACGAAAUGAAAAUCUAUAGUGAUGGAUCAAAAGGGAACAAAAUUGGUGAUGGAAUUAAAUGAUUACUAGUUAUAAGUUGUUAUUUGAGAUCCAUAUAUGGUCAAACAUACAACUUCCGAAGCUUGAAAGGAAGAAAUGCCGGUGGAAUUUCUAAAUGAUGCUAUUUAAGUAAGUUUUCUUUUUAGCGAAUAAAAAAUCUACGGUAACGGAUGAAAAUUUUAUGUAAAGGUGCAAAACAUGAAUAAUUUAUUUGGAUAAGCUGUUCUAUGACUUCCAUACGACGGUCGACACUACUAUCGAAGAAUUGAAUGAUUGAAAGGCUGUUAUAAUGCGUCGAAUGUCCUAUUUAAAUGAGUUCUAUGAUUCGAAGGAGGAGAAAAUGUAAAGUAAGAAAUCAAAAGGUUAUGUAAAAGUACUAAAAAUUAUGUGACUCCUACAUAUACAAGUUGUUGUAGGAUUUUCAAAUGGCGGCACAGACAACUUCGAAACAAGAAACGAAGCAAGGUUUCUAUCACUUAUUGGUAAUGCUAUUUAAACAUGUUUUUAGUUUCACAAAAAUAGAAAAUCUACCAUGAUGGAUAAAAAACGGUUAAUAAAUGUACCAAAUUGUCCAAUUUCUAUAGGUAAGUUGCUAUCUGAGGUGCAUAUAGAUGCACAGACUACCCUCGAAGCAUGAAAUGGUGGAAAUGAUUUCGGAAUAUGUCGAUGAUGCUUCAUUAAUAGGUUUUCAGUUUUCAACGAAAUGAAAAUCCAUAGUGAUGGAUCAAAAGGGAACAAAAUUGGUGAUGGAAUUAAAUGAUUACUAGUUAUAAGUUGUUAUUUGAGAUCGGUAUAUGGUCAAACAUACAACUUCCGAAGCCAGAAAGGAAGAAAUGCCGGUGGAAUUUCUAAAUGAUGCUAUUUAAGUAAGUUUUCUUUUUAGCGUAUAAAAAAUCUACGGUAACGGAUCAAAAGUUUAUGUAAAGGUGCUAAACAUGAAUAAUUUAUUUGGAUAAGUUGUUCUAUGACUUCCAUACGACGGUCGAGACUACUAUCGAAGAAUUGAAUGAUUGAAAGGCUGUUAUAAUGUGUCGAAUGUCCUAUUUAAAUGAGUUCUAUGAUUCGAAGGAGGAGAAAAAUGUAAAGUAAUAAAUCAAAAGGUUAUGUAAAACUACUAAAAAUUAUGUGACUCCUACAUAUACAAGUUGUUGUAGGAUUUUCAAAUGGCGGCACAGACAACUUCGAAACAAGAAACGAAGCAAGCUUCUAUCACUUAUCGGUAAUGCUAUUUAAACAUGUUUUUACUUUCACAAAAAUAGAAAGUCUACCAUGAUGGAUAAAAACGGUUAAUAAAUGUACCAAAUUGUCUAAUUUCUAUAGGUAAGUUGCUAUCUGAGGUGCAUAUAGAUGCACAGACUACCCUCGAAGCAUGAAAUGGUGGAAAUGAUGUCGGAAUAUGUCGAUGAUGCUUCAUUAAUAGGUUUUCAGUUUUCAAUGAAAUGAAAAUCUAUAGUGAUGGAUCAAAAGGGAACAAAAUUGUUGAUGGCAUUAAAUGAUUACUAGUUAUAAGUUGUUAUUUGAGAUCCGUAUAUGGUCAAACAUACAACUUCCGAAACCUGAAAGGAAGAAAUGCCGGUGGAAUUUCUAAAUGAUGCUAUUUAAGUAAGUUUUCUUUUUAGCGUAUAAAAAAUCUACGUUAACGGAAAAAAAGUUUAUGUAAUGGUGCUAAACAUGAAUAAUUUAUUUGGAUGAGCUGUUCUAUGACUUCCAUACGACGGUCGAUACUACUAUCGAAGAAUUGAAUGAUUGAAAGGCUGUUAUAAUGUGUCGAAUGUCCUAUUUAAAUGAGUUCUAUGAUUCGAAGGAGGAGAAAAUGUAAAGUAAUAAAUCAAAAGGUUAUGUAAAACUACUAAAAAUUAUGUGACUCCUACAUAUAUAAGUUGUUGUAGGAUUUUCAAAUGGCGGCACAGACAACUUCGAAACAAGAAACGAAGCAAGGCUUCUAUCACUUAUCGGUAAUGCUAUUUAAACAUGUUUUUAGUUUCACAAAAAUAGAAAAUCUACCAUGAUGGAUAAAAACGGUUAAUAAAUGUACCAAAUUGUCCAAUUUCUAUAGGUAAGUUGCUAUCUGAGGUGCAUAUAGAUGCACAGACUACCCUCGAAGCAUGAAAUGGUGGAAAUGAUUUCGGAAUAUGUCGAUGAUGCUUCAUUAAUAGGUUUUCUGUUUUCAACGAAAUGAAAAUCUAUAGUGAUGGAUCAAAAGGGAACAAAAUUGGUGAUGGAAUUAAAUGAUUACUAGUUAUAAGUUGUUAUUUGAGAUCCAUAUAUGGUCAAACAUACAACUUCCGAAGCUUGAAAGGAAGAAAUGCCGGUGGAAUUUCUAAAUGAUGCUAUUUAAGUAAGUUUUCUUUUUAGCGAAUAAAAAAUCUACGGUAACGGAUGAAAAGUUUAUGUAAAGGUGCAAAACAUGAAUAAUUUAUUUGGAUAAGCUGUUCUAUGACUUCCAUACGACGGUCGACACUACUAUCGAAGAAUUGAAUGAUUGAAAGGCUGUUAUAAUGUGUCGAAUGUCCUAUUUAAAUGAGUUCUAUGAUUCGAAGGAGGAGAAAAUGUAAAGUAAGAAAUCAAAAGGUUAUGUAAAACUACUAAAAAUUAUGUGACUCCUACAUAUACAAGUUGUUGUAGGAUUUUCAAAUGGCGGCACAGAGAACUUCGAAACAAGAAACGAAGCACGGUUUCUAUCACUUAUUGGUAAUGCUAUUUAAACAUGUUUUUAGUUUCACAAAAAUAGAAAAUCUACCAUGAUGGAUAAAAAACGGUUAAUAAAUGUACCAAAUUGUCCAAUUUCUAUAGGUAAGUUGCUAUCUGAGGUGCAUAUAGAUGCACAGACUACCCUCGAAGCAUGAAAUGGUGGAAAUGAUUUCGGAAUAUGUCGAUGAUGCUUCAUUAAUAGGUUUUCAGUUUUCAACGAAAUGAAAAUCCAUAGUGAUGGAUCAAAAGGGAACAAAAUUGGUGAUGGAAUUAAAUGAUUACUAGUUAUAAGUUGUUAUUUGAGAUCGGUAUAUGGUCAAACAUACAACUUCCGAAGACAGAAAGGAAGAAAUGCCGGUGGAAUUUCUAAAUGAUGCUAUUUAAGUAAGUUUUCUUUUUAGCGUAUAAAAAAUCUACGGUAACGGAUCAAAAGUUUAUGUAAAGGUGCUAAACAUGAAUAAUUUAUUUGGAUAAGUUGUUCUAUGACUUCCAUACGACGGUCGAGACUACUAUCGAAGAAUUGAAUGAUUGAAAGGCUGUUAUAAUGUGUUGAAUGUCCUAUUUAAAUGAGUUCUAUGAUUCGAAGGAGGAGAAAAAUGUAAAGUAAUAAAUCAAAAGGUUAUGUAAAACUAUUAAAAUUAUGUGACUCCUACAUAUAUAAGUUGUUGUAGGAUUUUCAAAUGGCGGCACAGACAACUUCGAAACAAGAAAUGAAGCAAGGCUUCUAUCACUUAUCGGUAAUGCUAUUUAAACAUGUUUUCAGUUUUGCAAAAAUAGAAAAUCUACCUUGAUGGAUAAAAACGGUUAAUAAAUGUAUCAAAUUGUCCAAUUUCUAUAGGUAAGUUGCUAUCUGAGGUGCAUAUAGAUGCACAGACUACCCUCGAAGCAUGAAAUGGUGGAAAUGAUUUCGGAAUAUGUCGAUGAUGCUUCAUUAAUAGGUUUUCAGUUUUCAACGAAAUGAAAAUCCAUAGUGAUGGAUCAAAAGGGAACAAAAUUGGUGAUGGAAUUAAAUGAUUACUAGUUAUAAGUUGUUAUUUGAGAUCGGUAUAUGGUCAAACAUACAACUUCCGAAGCUUGAAAGGAAGAAAUGCCGGUGGAAUUUCUAAAUGAUGCUUUUUAAGUAAGUUUUCUUUUUAGCGUAUAAAAAAUCUACGGUAACGGAUCAAAAGUUUAUGUAAAGGUGCUAAACAUGAAUAAUUUAUUUGGAUAAGUUGUUCUAUGACUUCCAUACGACGGUCGAGACUACUAUCGAAGAAUUGAAUGAUUGAAAGGCUGUUAUAAUGUGUCGAAUGUCCUAUUUAAAUGAGUUCUAUGAUUCGAAGGAGGAGAAAAUAUAAAGUAAUAAAUCAAAAGGUUAUGUAAAACUACUAAAAAUUAUGUGACUCCUACAUAUAUAAGUUGUUGUAGGAUUUUCAAAUGGCGGCACAGACAACUUCGAAACAAGAAACGAAGCAAGGCUUCUAUCACAUAUCAGUAAUGCUAUUUAAACAUGUUUUUACUUUCACAAAAAUAGAAAAUCUACCAUGAAGGAUAAAAAACGGUUAAUAAAUGUACCAAAUUGUCCAAUUUCUAUAGGCAAGUUGCUAUCUGAGGUGCAUAUAGAUGCACAGACUACCCUCGAAGCAUGAAACGGUGGAAAUGAUUUCGGAAUAUGUCGAUGAUGCUUCAUUAAUAGGUUUUCAGGUUUCAACGAAAUGAAAAUCUAUAGUGAUGGAUCAAAAGGGAACAAAAUUGGUGAUGGAAUUAAAUGAUUACUAGUUAUAAGUUGUUAUUUGAGAUCCGUAUAUGGUCAAACAUACAACUUCCAAAGCCUGAAAGGAAGAAAUGCCGGUGGAAUUUCUAAAUGAUGCUAUUUAAGUAAGUUCUCUUUUUAGCGUAUAAAAAAUCUACGGUAACGGAUCAAAAGUUUAUGUAAAGGUGCUAAACAUGAAUAAUUUAUUUGGAUAAGUUGUUCUAUGACUUCCAUACGACGGUCGAGACUACUAUCGAAGAAUUGAAUGAUUGAAAGGCGGUUAUAAUGUGUCGAAUGUCCUAUUUAAAUGAGUUCUGUGAUUCGAAGGAGGAGAAAAAUGUAAAGUAAUAAAUCAAAAGGUUAUGUAAAACUACUAAAAAUUAUAUGACUCCUACAUAUAUAAGUUGUUGUAGGAUUUUCAAAUGGCGGCAUAGACAACUUCGAAACAAGAAACGAAGCUAGGCUUCUAUCACUUAUCAUUAAUGCUAUUUGAACAUGUUUUCAGUUUUGCAAAAAUAGAAAAUCUACCAUGAUGGAUAAAAAGGUAAAAACUGUACCAAAUUGCCUAAUUUCUAUAGGUAAGUUGCUAUCUGAGGUGCAUAUAGAUGCACAGACUACCCUCGAAGCAUGAAAUGGUUCAAAUGAUUUCCGAUGGUGGAAAUGAUGUCGGAAUAUGUCGAUGAUGCUUCAUUCAUAGGUUUUCAGUUUUCAACGAAAUGAAAAUGUAUUCUGAUGUAUCAAAAUGGAACAAAAUUGGUGAUGAAAUUAAAUGAUUACUAGUUAUAAGUUGUUAUACGAGAUCGAUAUGGUCAAACAUACAACUUCUAGAGCUUGAAAAGAAGAAAUGCUAGUGUAAUUUCUAAAUGAUGCUAUUUGAUUAAGUUUUCUUUUUAGCAAACAAAAAAUCUAAGAUAAGGGAUCAAAAGUUUAUGUCAAGGUUCUAAAUAAGAAUAAUUUAUGUGGAUAAGUUGUUCUUUUACUUCCAUACGGCGGUCGAGACUACUCUCGAAGAAUGGAAUGAUAGAAAGGUUGUUAUAAUGUGUCGAAUGUCCUAUUUAAAUUAGUUCUAAGUUUCGAAGGAGGAGAAAAUGUAAAUUAAUAAAUCAAAAGGUAAAAAAACUACUAAAAAUUAUGUGACUCCUACAUAGAUAAGUUGUUGUAGGAUUUUCAAAUGGCGGCAUAGACAACUACGAAACAUUAACGAAGCAAGGCUUCUAUCACUUAUCGGUAAUUCUAUUUAAACAUGUUUUUAGUUCCACAAAAAUAGAAAAUCUACCAUGAUGGAUAAAAAUGGUUAAUAAAUGUACCAAAUUAUCAGAUUUCGAUAGGUAAGUUGCUAUCUGAGGUGCAUAUAGAUGCACAGACUACCCUCGAAGCAUGAAAUGGUGUAAAUGAUUUUGGAAUAUGUCGAUGAUGCUUCAUUAGUAGGAUUUCAGUUUUCAACGAAAUGAAAAUCUAUAGUGAUGGAUCAAAAGGGAACAAAAUUGGUGAUGGAAUUAAAUGAUUACUAGUUAUAAGUUGUUAUUUGAGAUCCGUAUAUGGUCAAACAUACAACUUCCGAAGCCUGAAAGGAAGAAAUGCCGGUGGAAUUUCUAAAUGAUGCUAUUUAAGUAAGUUUUCUUUUUAGCGUAUAAAAAAUGUACGGUAACGGAUCAAAAGUUUAUGUAAUGGUGCUAAACAUGAAUAAUUUAUUUGGAUAAGCUGUUCUAUGACUUGCAUACGACGGUCGAGACUACUAUCGAAUAAUUGAAUGAUUGAAAGGCUGUUAUAAUGUGUUGAAUGUCCUAUUUAAAUGAGUUCUAUGAUUCGAAGGAGGGGAAAAAUGUAAAGUAAUAAAUCAAAAGGUUAUGUAGAACUACUAAAAAUUAUGUGACUCCUACAUAUAUAAGUUGUUGUAGGAUUUUCAAAUGGCGGCACAGACAACUUCGAAACAAGAAACGAAGCAAGGCUUCUAUCACUUAUCGGUAAUGCUAUUUAAACAUGUUUUCAGUUUUGCAAAAAUAGAAAAUCUACCUUGAUGGAUAAAAACGGUUAAUAAAUGUACCGAAUUGUCCAAUUUCUAUAGGUAAGUUGCUAUCUGAGGUGCAUAUAGAUGCACAAACUACCCUCGAAGCAUGAAAUGGUGGAAAUGAUUUCGGAAUAUGUCGAUGAUGCUUCAUUAAGAAGUUUUCAGUUUUCAACGAAAUGAAAAUCUAUAGUGAUGGAUCAAAAGGGAACAAAAUUGGUGAUGGAAUUAAAUGAUUACUAGUUAUAAGUUGUUAUUUGAGAUCCAUAUAUGGUCAAACAUACAACUUCCGAAGCUUGAAAGGAAGAAAUGCCGAUGGAAUUUCUAAAUGAUGCUAUUUAAGUAAGUUUUCUUUUUAGCGAAUAAAAAAUCAACGGUAACGGAUCAAAAGUUUAUGUAAAGGUGCUAAACAUGAAUAAUUUAUUUGGAUAAGCUGUUCUAUGACUUCCAUACGACGGUCGAGACUACUAUCGAUGAAUUGAAUGAUUGAAAGGCUGUUAUAAUGUGUCGAAUGUCCUAUUUAAAUGAGUUCUAUGAUUCGAAGGAGGAGAAAAAUGUAAAGUAAUAAAUCAAAAGGUUAUGUAAAACUACUAAAAAUUAUAUGACUCCUACAUAUAUAAGUUGUUGUAGGAUUUUCAAAUGGCGGCAUAGACAACUUCGAAACAAGAAACGAAGCCAGGCUUCUAUCACUUAUCAUUAAUGCUAUUUAAGCAUGUUUUCAGUUUUGCAAAAAUAGAAAAUCUACCAUGAUGGAUAAAAAGGUAAAAACUGUACCAAAUUGCCUAAUUUCGAAUGGUAAGUUGCUAUCUGAGGUGCAUAUAGAUGCACAGACUACCCUCGAAGCAUGAAAUGGUUCAAAUGAUUUCCGAUGGUGGAAAUGAUGUCGGAAUAUGUCGAUGAUGCUUCAUUAAUAGGUUUUCAGUUUUCAACGAAAUGAAAAUGUAUUCUGAUGUAUCAAAAUGGAACAAAAUUGGUGAUGAAAUUAAAUGAUUACUAGUUAUAAGUUGUUAUACGAGAUCGAUAUGGUCAAACAUACAACUUCCAAAGCUUGAAAAGAAGAAAUGCUGGUGUAAUUUCUAAAUGAUGCUAUUUGAUUAAGUUUUCUUUUUAGCAAACAAAAAAUCUACGAUAACGGAUCAAAAGUUUAUGUGAAGGUUCUAAAUAAGAAUAAUUUAUGUGGAUAAGUUGUUCUUUUACUUCCAUACGGCGGUCGAGACUACUCUCGAAGAAUGGAAUGAUAGAAAGGCUGUUAUAAUGUGUCGAAUGUCCUAUUUAAAUUAGUUCUAAGUUUCGAAGGAGGAGAAAAUGUAAAUUAAUAAAUCAAAAGGUAAAAAAAACUACUAAAAAUUAUGUGACUCCUACAUAGAUAAGUUGUUGUAGGAUUUUCAAAUGGCGGCACAGACAACUUCGAAACAAGAAACGAAGCAAGGCUUCUAUCACUUAUCGGUAAUGCUGUUUAAACAUGUUUUUAGUUCACAAAAAUAGAAAAUCUACCAUGAUGGAUAAAAAUGGUUAAUAAAUGUACCAAAUUAUCAGAUCUCGAUAGGUAAGUUGCUAUCUGAGGUGCAUAUAGAUGCACAGACUACCCUCGAAGCAUGAAAUGGUGUAAGUGAUUUCGGAAUAUGUCGAUGAUGCUUCAUUAAUAGGAUUUCAGUUUUCAACGAAAUGAAAAUCUAUAGUGAUGGAUCAAACGGGAACAAAAUUGGUGAUGGAAUUAAAUGAUUACUAGUUAUAAGUUGUUAUUUGAGAUCCGUAUAUGGUCAAACAUACAACUUCCGAAGCCUGAAAGGAAGAAAUGCCGGUGGAAUUUCUAAAUGAUGCUAUUUAAGUAAGUUUUCUUUUUAGCGUACAAAAAAUCUACGGUAACGGAUCAAAAGUUUAUGUAAUGGUGCUAAACAUGAAUAAUUGAUUUGGAUAAGCUGUUCUAUGACUUCCAUACGACGGUCGAGACUACUAUCGAAGAAUUGAAUGAUUGAAAGGCUGUUAUAAUGUGUUGAAUGUCCUAUUUAAAUGAGUUCUAUGAUUCGAAGGAGGAGAAAAAUGUAAAGUAAUAAAUCAAAAGGUUAUGUAAAACUACUAAAAAUUAUGUGACUCCUACAUAUAUAAGUUGUUGUAGGAUUUUCAAAUGGCGGCACAGACAACUUCGAAACAAGAAACGAAGCAAGGCUUCUAUCACUUAUCGGUAAUGCUAUUUAAACAUGUUUUCAGUUUUGCAAAAAUAGAAAAUCUACCUUGAUGGAUAAAAACGGUUAAUAAAUGUACCAAAUUGUCCAAUUUCUAUAGGUAAGUUGCUAUCUGAGGUGCAUAUAGAUGCACAGACUACCCUGGAAGCAUGAAAUGGUGGAAAUGAUUUCAGAAUAUGUCGAUGAUGCUUCAUUAAUAAGUUUUUAGUUUUCAACGAAAUGAAAAUCUAUAGUGAUGGAUCAAAAGGGAACAAAAUUGGUGAUGGAAUUAAAUGAUUACUAGUUAUAAGUUGUUAUUUGAGAUCCAUAUAUGGUCAAACAUACAACUUCCGAAGCUUGAAAGGAAGAAAUGCCGGUGGAAUUUCUAAAUGAUGCUAUUUAAGUAAGUUUUAUUUUUAGCGAAUAAAAAAUCUACGGUAACGGAUCAAAAGUUGAUGUAAAGGUGCUAAACAUGAAUAAUUUAUUUGGAUAAGUUGUUCUAUGACUUCCAUGCGACGGUCGAGACUACUAUCAAAGAAUUGAAUGAUUGAAUGUCUCGAAUGUCCUAUUUAAAUGAGUUCUAUGAUUCAAAGGAGGAGAAAAAUGUAAAGUAAUAAAUCAAAAGGUUAUGUAAAACUACUAAAAAUUAUAUGACUCCUACAUAUAUAUGUUGUUGUAGGAUUUUCAAAUGGCGGCAUAGACAACUUCGAAACAAGAAACGAAGCCAGGCUUCUAUCACUUAUCAUUAAUGCUAUUUAAGCAUGUUUUCAGUUUUGCAAAAAUAGAAAAUCUACCAUGAUGGAUAAAAAGGUAAAAACUGUACCAAAUUGCCUAAUUUCGAAUGGUAAGUUGCUAUCUGAGGUGCAUAUAGAUGCACAGACUACCCUCGAAGCAUGAAAUGGUUCAAAUGAUUUCCGAUGGUGGAAAUGAUGUCGGAAUAUGUCGAUGAUGCUUCAUUAAUAGGUUUUCAGUUUUCAACGAAAUGAAAAUGUAUUCUGAUGUAUCAAAAUGGAACAAAAUUGGUGAUGAAAUUAAAUGAUUACUAGUUAUAAGUUGUUAUACGAGAUCGAUAUGGUCAAACAUACAACUUCCAAAGCUUGAAAAGAAGAAAUGCUGGUGUAAUUUCUAAAUGAUGCUAUUUGAUUAAGUUUUCUUUUUAGCAAACAAAAAAUCUACGAUAACGGAUCAAAAGUUUAUGUGAAGGUUCUAAAUAAGAAUAAUUUAUGUGGAUAAGUUGUUCUUUUACUUCCAUACGGCGGUCGAGACUACUCUCGAAGAAUGG